This 170690-nucleotide long non-coding RNA is filed under the name Coffea arabica (coffee). RNAcentral describes it as "long non-coding RNA (CARA_LNC001240)". The record is from RNAcentral. Lineage: Eukaryota; Viridiplantae; Streptophyta; Magnoliopsida; Gentianales; Rubiaceae.
UUUUUUUUUUUUUUUUUUGCUUCGACUCUUCAAGGAACACAAAUUCAGGUCACACCAACAAGUUCAAGAAAAACGGAUGAAAGGUUAUGCAAAUUUCAAGAAGGCCCUGAUUCUUGAUUUAUUGUCCAAGAAUUUUCAAAAGAAGACUUGAUGGUCCAAGAACUUCAAGAAUUUGUUCAAGAAGCUCAAGAACUUCCCCAAAUUACGUUGUGGUGUUUAGGGUUUGCAAGAACAACAACCAAUACUCAAGAAAUAGGCAAAACAGAAUUUCUGCAAUACUCAAAAGAAAAAUUCCAGCAAUACUCUGGCAACUUGGACACUAAAAAAAAUAAUAUAAGGUACGUGACUCCUUUUUUUUUUUUUUUUUUAAACCCUAACAACCCGAACAAAAGUAUAACAGACUCAAGAACAAAAGUUGGACAGAAAACACAAAAAGACAAUACCCAAACAGUUUUUUUUUUACUCGGAUGAACAGUAAUGUGAACAGUACGCUACAGUACGAUGAACAGUAUUUCGGAACAGUAACGAUGAACAGUAAUCGCUACAGUUUUUUUUUUUGACAAAAAGACACAAACUAAUAAGAUAUGAACAACUUCAAUUGAAAGAGAAUUAACCUGAUGCUCUGAUACCAACUGAUAUGGGCAACCCUAGGGGAAGACCCUCCUAGAAACUCCCAACCUUGAAUUAUCAGAGUUCGCGACCUUUCCCCAAUGGCAAAUUGAACUCGAUUUGUUCUCAUGAACUCGAAGACCUCUGACACACAAAGGCAAUCAGCAACCUUAAGCCAAAAAAGAUGGAUGAAGAGACACCACGAUUAGGGAACAAACUAAUCGAUAAAGUCAGAUUUGAAUCCUAAGCAAUGAACUCAAGAAUUCAAGAGUAAGUUCGAUUAAGAACUUGAAAGGAAAAUUCCUCACGAUUUCUGGUUGUAAAAUAUUCUGUCUUUUACUCAUACAAGAGGUGCCUUUUUAUAGGCUAAAACUAGGGCAAAAUCCGGCCCACAUAAACCUGGAAGAAAUUCGGUCCGCAUAAAGAGCUUAAAGAGCCAGCUCUUUAAGGCUUUCCAUGGCAAAUACUACGUGUUGGAUGGUUACUUGUUCUAUCAUGCUUUGUGUCCCUAAGGUUCUAUUCGAGAUUUGCUAGUGAAGGAAUUCAUAGUGGGGGGUUAAUGGGUCAUUUUGGAGUGACUAAGACACUUAAUAUUUUGCAGGAACACUUUUUUUGGCCUCACAUGAAGAAGGAUGUUGAAAAGGAGGUAUCACGAUGCAUACAAUGCCGGAAAGCUAAGUUUAAGGUUAAUCGUAUGGUCUCUACAGACAUUUACCUAUUCCUAGUGAACCUUGGGUAGAUUUGUCUAUGGAUUUUAUACUUAGUUUGUCUAGGACAUGAUUCUGUAUUUGUGGUAGUUGAUAGAUUUCUAAGAUGUCUAUUUUGUGCAUGCACAAAAUUGAUGACGCUUCACAUAUUGCGGACCUAUUCUUUAAAGAGGUAGUUAGGUUGCAUGGAAUACCUCGUAUUAUUGUGUCUAAUAGGGAUGUUAAAUUUCUUACUAUUUUUGGAAGACACUUUUGUCUAAGUUAGGGACUAAUUGUUGUUUUUAACUACUAAUCAUCCUCAAACUGACGCCAAACUAAAGUUGUUAAUUGAACUGCGUCUACCAUGUUGUGUGCUUUAAUUAAGAAGAAUUUAAAAACAUGGGAAGAUUGUUUACUCAUAUUAAGUUUGCUUAUAAUUGUUCUAUACAUUCUAUACUCAGUUUUCACCCUUUGAGGUUAUUUAUGGUUUUAAUCCGCUAAAACCUAUGGAUCUAAUACCUUUACCUUUGAGUGAGCAUGUUAGUCUAGAUGGUAAAAAGAAAGCUGAGAUGGUGUACAAUCUACAUGACAAAGUGCGCUUAAACUUCCUACACUUUACGUAAGUCACUAAGUUGGGGCAUCGAACAUAACAACUUAACAGAAUUCCACUUAUCUUCCCACAUUUAAUGAAAAAGUGAUAUUUUACACUCUUUCUCUAUGGAACGUUCCAAUUACAUGCCAAAAUCUCGUUUCCUAACUAAGAUAAAAUAUCAAUUAAAAUAUUAAUCUCCAAUCUCUUAACUAAGACAUAAGUAUAAUACAAAGGAAAAUACAAUUAACAUAAAAUGUCAAAAUGUUAAUCCGGCGAACACCAUUAGGUAUGCCAUUGUAGCCAACAAAAGUCAGAAUUUCUUGUUUUCAGCUAUCGAUCUCCACACUCCAACUAGGCAUGGCCACGGUUCCAGAACUGCCGGUUCUGGUUCUUCAAAGAGGUAGAACCAGAAUCGUACCAUCUAAGAUGGUUCUGGUUCUGGUUCUAGUUCUGGUUCUGGUUCCUUAUAGUUCUGAUUUCGGUUCCUUCUGGUUUCGUAUGAUUGUAUACAAUUUUAUUUAAUUCAUUAUCCUUACCAAUUUUAAUACAAAUAUAACAAUAUAUUUAAAAUUUCAAAUAAAUGUAAAAGAUUAAAUACAAAAUAAAGAUCAUAUUUUAAUUUUAUUAUUAUUCUACAAAGUACGAAGUAAUAAAUAGAUAGUACAAAUUUUAUGAAAAGUACGUUACAUUGUCAAAUUAAAAAAUACAUUAUACUAUCAAAUGGUAAUCAUUUUAAAUGGAAAAGAAAAUACAUGAUUUUUCAUUGAAAUUGAGAUGAAAUAUCAAAAUAAACAUUAAUUAUUUAAUCUUCUUCAUUGCUUGCGACGGCACUAGAAUUAGUUGUAUAAUUGAAUUCUUCUUCUUCAUUUUUUCAUUUCUUACUGUCUAUAUUCUGCUCUAGUCCAAUCAUCCAUGCAUGCUUGAAUUUCUAGUGAUUCUGGGCUUAAUCUCGACUGUGUCUCACUACUUUCUUAAACUUUCUUAAUUCUGGGCUUAAAUUUAAACUUUCUAAAACCUAUUAAGCACAACUAAUUUUUUCGAAUUAUCUCACUACUUAUAUUAAUUAUUUUUUAACGGUUCUGGAACGGUGGUUCUGAUUCUGGUUCUAUUUGUUUAGAGAACCAGAACCGAAACCUUUAUCCAAGGUUCUACCACGGUUUCUGGAUCCACAGUUUUGGUUCCGGUUCUGGUCCGGUUCCAAACAGUCCGAUUCCUGGUUCCAAAUUGAACCAUGGUCAUGCCUAACUCGAACUCCAAUACUCCUGGGCAAGCUCUGUUAUUUUUUUUAAUGCAAAAUAGGCAAGUUCUAUUAUUGUUUUUCUUUAGAAGAUUAUUAUUAUGUUGUCAAUAUUUAAUUAUUCAUUAUUUAGAAGAUAAUUUUUUUAAAAAAAAAAGUAAAAUCACUUAUACUUUUCUAAUAGCAACAAUAAUGAUGUUUGUAAUGUUUCGAAUUUUGAAUUUAAAUUCAUUAUUUUUUUCAUUUUUCAUUGUUUGUAUUCCUAUGAUUGUUAACCCCAAGCAAAAAUCCUGACUCGUUUAUGGCGACAAUGGACUUUGGUGAGAAUAGUUUGAUAAUGCACGCAAGUGACAGUGGGUUGAUGUUUUAAUAGCAAUAGUCUCUCUUUCAAUAAUUUAUUAACGCGACCCAUCAAAAUGGUACAUAGGUUCAAUUGCCCAGGCUACCUGUGGACCAAAAUUAUCCAUAAUCUUAUUCCGUUACAGCAUGUAAUCUUCAGAUUUUCCAUUUUAGUUUUCAAAAGUUGAGUUUAAUACAGCUGCACCAUUUCAGAAUUGCAUAAUAAAAAAGCACAAUUGUAACUAGUGCAAUCAAAACUCAGAACAUUUCAGAGAAAUGAAGGUAAAUUGAUCUCUUAAUAUUUUUGUUCAGUUGAUCCAAUGUACAAUUUCCAAACAAUUCGGCUGUACACUAUACAUGAUGAUCUUUUUACAAAAAGCAUACUCAGUAUACAAACUACAUGGUCUAUUACAAGUCUCUAGAACUAUAUACACUGUCCAUCCAACUAAGAAGCGAGAAUCGCAAACCUAAAUAUUCUUUUUUUCCUCAAGCACAACCAAAAAAAAAGUUAGCCUUGCAGUCUUUACCAGUUGUAUCACCAUAAACAUGACAUUCCUUGUACAGCAUAUGCUCAAGGAAAAUUUCAGCAAAAAUUACCAAGGUUCAGAGUUGUUGGAGAGGAAACUUGUGCGUUCUGAGGGUCUUGACCAAUCCUCCUCCAUCUUAAUGAGCUUAAGGCGAAUUAUUAGUUUCUCUAGAGCUUCUUCCUCCAGAUCACGGGAGGGAUGGUAUGAUUUCUCCUGUUUGGAAGAUUUCUGAAAUAGGUAAUAGAUUAGUUGACAGAUUCUCCUUUCGUUUUGGCCAUAGGGGGUGGGGUUUAGAAAGUUGCCAUUAAUCAUGCAGCUGACUAAUACGAGAACUGUACCUGUAUAUCCUGAAACAACUUGAAUACUGGAGUGCCAUCUCAUAAAACCCACAGUGGUAAAGGAGAACUCCAUAGUCUCUGAGCUCUAUUGGGUCAGUUUCAAGAAGGAUAAGACGUUCACAUGCUGAAUACAAAGGAAUAGUACUUAGAAGUAAGCAAAAGGUUUAAAUUGGCAUUCUGAUUCCAGAGAAACUUCAAAUUUGAAGCUUAAGAAAUGCUUCUAAGCAGUCAAGGACUUGAUCAUACAAAGAAAGGAGAGAUUUACAUAAGAAAAGGCCACCAUCCUCAUAUAUGAAAUAAAUUCUUAUAGAACUUUCCCAUUUUCCACGUUAGGCAUAACGAUAAUAUUCAUAUGCAUGUGGGAAGGUAGAGGAAAAGAAUCAGGAAUUACAAAGUUUUACUUAUUUAUCUUUUUUUUUUUUAAGUUUUAUCUGUCAUCAAAACUGGUAAUCCAGAAUCUUAUUUGUCUCAUCAUCAAAUGUGCUAAUCUGGUUGUCCAUUAUUCUAGCUUGUUCUUGAAAUUGAAGAGCGUUUCUAUUCACAUUUGUGAAGUCCUGUUGACCACUUAUUCUAAUUUGUUUACCUUCAUCUUCCACUGCAAGAUAUUCCCUCACUUCGUAGUUGAUUUUCUACUCUAUCCACAAGAAUGCAUGUGUUUCAAAAGGUGCAGGAACUAGUUAAGUUUAUUAACUUCGUCAGGGCAAGUAAAAGCUUAGGCCUUUUUUUCUAACAAAGAAAAAAAUAUUUUAAAAAUAUAAAACGCCCCAGAAUGCUGAUAAAAAUAAUAUGGAAACUUCUCUCCAUAUUGAUAACCUAUACAUUCUGUACCUCGAACAAUUGAUUAAAGGAUAAGAUAAAUAAAUGAGAAAAUGUAAAGAUCAUAGAUUCCUUUUGAUGGAAAUAUACAGUAGUAAUCUUCUAUCAAAACAAGGUAGUGAAAACAGUAGGAAACAGGUUCUGGGAUCUGAACCCCUUAUGGGAGCAUCACUAUGAGCAGUGUUCAAUUAAAAAACAUACCUGCUCAAUUAUCAUAGAGCUCUAAACCUUCUAACUGAGAACUCUCAGAUUCCCACUCAAGUUCUUUAGAGGUCCCUAAAGAAUUUGUUUUAACAACCAUUGUGCUUUGAACUCCAUUAACUUUGUAGUAUUUGAUAUGUCACCUAUCCUCUUGACCUAAGAACCAAGACCAGUUUAGAAAGCACUUUAAGAUGAAAGCCAAAGAAGCCUCAUACCAGCAAGUGCACGUCGCAUAUCCCCAAACUGAACACUAGUCCAAACACCUCGCAGUAGCCUAUGCUGAGCAGCCUUUGCUGAUGCAAUCUUUAAUGCACUGAAUCAAACAAAACUAAAGCUUGAGGAUGAGAAGGAAAAUGGAAUUUUGCAGGAUUUCAGUCAAAGUAUGCAAAAUACCAAACCCUUCAACACAAGGAACUCUAAAUUACAUUGGAUGGCAAUGAAGUAGCAGAGGAAAAAAUCGAACCUUUCUUCAACACUGUUGGAUGUAUCGCAAUUAGCAGCUUGAGCUGCCCUGAAGAAAAGGCUCUUAGCAGGAUCAUGUUGAAAAGGCCAAAAUGCAUUUUUUAAGUCUUUCAAAAUCUGCAAGCGAAACAGAACUAAACAACUGACCGCUCAAUGUCCAUAUACAUAAUACAAGAUUAUAUACAGUUUAAAAUUGUAGCAGGGAACAGAUUUUUUCCUCUCCUUUCAGAUGAGUUACAUUUGGACACAUAUAGAUGAAAUAUUGCUUUAUCAGAAGCAAAAGGCCACAAGUUUGUAUACAUGAGAAUGUGAAAUUAAUGUGCGAAUGCCCUUGAGGCCCCCCACAUGAGAAGCGACAAUAGAGAUGCAAAUAGUAUUUCUUUGUCAGAAAGACCACAUUUGCUUUUCCAUGAAAAUCUGAAGUUUAUGUCAGAACUGGUAGGCAACUACGAGCAAGCCAAACCGCCUCCCGGGGAGAAAUGACAAUAAAGGUUCAGAUGCAUAUAAAACAGAAAUUUUGUUGCAUCAUAAAUGUGUUCAAUUUGCAGAUAUCUCAACCAGAAUCAGACUUCCUUAAUUAUGUCUUUAUUCAUAAUUGUUUCCUGGCAGACUUUGAUGAUGCAGCUGAUCAAUGAAUUUGAAACUUGUUAUAAAACUUUACCCAAAAGCAAAAACAGUGGAUUAAGGGUGAAAUCCACACAAAUUACUUUCUUCCAGAGGUAGACCAAUAAAAAAUUAACCUGUUCUUUAGACUUUAUGAAGUCUUAGAGAUGGCACUCUAGCCAGUGAUAGAUGCUAAUGAUUGCAAAAGCAUAUUAUAGAGAAUAAAAAUGCUUGUGGUCCUUGGCAUUUACUAAGAGUGGACAGGACAUUUGUCAGUAGUUCCUAGAUAUUUUGCUUCCUUUAGAAUCAGCGGAGGGUUGGAUGAAGAUCCUAGAGCAGGGGCAAAUCUUGAAUAAUUCUUUUCAGCAUACAAUGGUGACAAGGGACAGAAAAGCCAGAAGUAAUUUUAAGACAAAUGCAUAAUCACUCAGACUUUGAUGCUUCCAGAUGACUGCAUGAUGCAGGAGCAUAUUAGAUAUUAGAUUUUGUUAGUUAUGCUUUGUGCCAACUGUUGAAGUAGUUUUAGAAAGUGUUUAGUGUAGCUGAUGCACAACUACUAGGCAUGUGCCUCAUUUGCCAUAAUUAUCCAUGACUGUUUAGGUCUCUCGCACAAACACUUGACGAAAAGUGGAGGAAAGUGGGGGAGCUAAAUUGGCCAAUAAAACUAAACUCCUGUCACUUUAGGGCAAUAAUAUGUUUGGGGACGUAAUAAGCAUCCAGUCAGGGUACCGCAACCAGCAGUUUAUACCACUAAAUUACCUAAAAUUUUAUCAGCUAUCUUAUUUUUUUUUCUUUUUAAUAUGACAGUAGGGCCAGUUGGUAGGGAGAUCAAGGCUUAUCGGUCUCAGUUCAAAUCAAAUGACCCUGCUUGGGUCACUCUUUAACUUUUCAUACUUCCUAUUCACAGUGACUUGUACCUGUACUUACUAGGCUGUGGGAGAUUCUAUUUCUUCUAUCAUCAUGGUUUUGUUGUCGUUCUGUGGCCUCUGCUUGCUGUAGAUCUUUUACUAACAUGCUGAUUAUAGGCCUUACUCAUUUACAGCAUCAAAGCAGAGGCUUUUUAUUGAUUGUAGUAGAAGUAGGAAUCAAUUCCAGGUUGGGUGACACUGUUUAUUGAUUGUCCCAUGAGCUCUUGGGCUAGGAUACGUAUUUCUUUUAGCUUGAGACAAUUGGUCAUCUUAGAAGGGUUAGCUACGUCCCCUUGGGAACAAUGAAGCAACUAACACCCUAUCUCAUACUCUGUAUAAUGAGAUAGACAUAUUGCGAGAUAAUCUGCAACCUUAACGGCCCCCAUACAGCCAGAAGCUAAUUUCUUUCAAACAUUUUGUUUUGUUUACUUCAUCAAUCCUAGUACUUCGUGCUGCUAGCUAAGAUUCCCUUUUUAUUUUCUGCACCGCUGUAGGAAGUCAUGGUCUGGAACAAAAUUUAUAUAUUAAAGAUACUUAUUAUUCCUUCUAAAUAUCACGUUUAAAGGUUCACUGUUUUUAUCCUUUCAGGCCAUCACACAAGCAUUUUAUCCAUUCAAGUGCAUUUUGCAAUUAUUCAGUUCUAACAGCAUUUAUACUUUUAUGCAUCCUUUGAUUUCCCUUCUACACAUGAAUUAAGAGCUUCAAACUCUUUGCUCCUUCAUGUGCUUAUGGGAGAAACUAGAGUUUCAGAAAAAAUUUAACCGCAUCACCACAGUUUCAGAAUAACAAAAUUUUACAUAAUGCAUAAGAUGUAUUUAAGGAUGAGAUAAAAAUACAGCAUGUUACUUAAGCAAAUUAAAACAGGAGAUGCAGGGGACUAGAUUUGUCAGGGGAAGAUGAAUAAAUUAAAAUUACAUCAUUGGAAAUUUCAUUCUUUUAAAACUUUGACUCCUGUAUGGCAGAACUUUGAAGAAUAACAAUGGUAGAGAAAGGCAUAACUUCAUAUCACAUGAAUUCAAAAGGAUUCAUGAACUCGGGAUAUAAAAAUUCAAGAAUUGAAUUGUACAGCUGAGACUCUUCUAGUUGAGUCAACUUCUGCACAACAUUUUUUAAACAAUUAGAUAGAAAGAGGUUACGAACUAAUAAACUAAAUUUAAGCCAAACAUCUUUUGUGCGCAUUUUGAGGCCCUGGAAAGUUUCGUUAGAUGAAAUUAAAAAGCGAACACAUUUAAAUGCCAGUAUCUCAAAUCAUGUCACCAUCCAGCCUAAAGAAAAGCAUUGAAGCAUCCAGUUUGAUACAAACAGAGUUUUACGAAGUGUGAGAGACAUAUUAUAACAAGUGAAGCAACCAAGCAGCAUACUUAGCAAAACAGUAUGAAGAUGGCACUAGCCCAACUCAUUUGAAGGAAGCCCCUGUUCAAGACAAAUUUAAGUGGGCAGCAGAAGAUGAGUUACCUCCACCAAUAAAGAUUGGGAUGUCAUAAUAUGUAAUUGAUCACCCUCCCUGCUUUUCUGUUUGUGAUAGCCUCUUGGAGAACUAUGAGAAUCGUGAGGGAAGAAAACCUCUACAUCAAAAUUCACCAUACCCCACAAGCGAAGCAUUUUUAGGACCUCUGAAUAUAUAAGUGACAGCAUAGAAGCCGAACCUGAACGAUGAGUCAAAACCUGACCCAAACAAUAAUGAUUAAGCAAAGCAACAUAUGACAUUCUUUAGCUUCGAUCUAAUUACUAAAGAAGGGAAAGACACAUACUGAGUGCAGAUAAAGAGAACGCUGCUCCACUUGACUAUGUUUAGAUCUCUGAAAACCCUGAAAAAGAGAUGAAGACUCUAAAAUUAGCUGCAACUCUAGCUGGCUAAAAGGAAGCACCAAGAAGAUAGCUAUGUAAUCAACAAACGCAAUCUCAAAUAUUAUACUUGCUUUGUAGAAAAGCAGCAUGGAACUCAGUCAUUCAAUAUCAUUGUCUCCUAAAUGCUCCAAUUUCGACAGUAAUGGAAAUAAUUUCAAAACCCAGCCAAAAGAGAAGAAAACGGACUGAUUAUAUUCAUCCUACAAACUUGAGAAAUAUAAUGGGAAUGUGCUCAACAGGUGAAAACUUGGAUAGGACUGACUUUUUUUUUUGUGAUGAUCAGGAAAGAGAGUGGAAAAUCAAACAGCACAAGUUGAGCACAGGAGGUUUCUCCCUAGCAUAACAACCACAAUAAAGGGACAUAAUAAUAGUUCCAUAAGGUUCAGUAAAAUGAAAACCAAUAAGUGCAUUUUUUUUCACAAGUUAAAUGCAAAUUAUCAUAAAAUGAUUAUAAGACUGACAAAACAUAUAGUUGCGACACAUAAAGAAAAUGGAACAUCAUCUGGAGGACUAAUUUUGAGUUACGUAGCUUCUAAACCAGAUUAGACCAAGGUGGUGUUUUCACCUUCAGCUCACAAAAAGUUUGACUGUAAACAUACCAAACCAGCUGUACAAAUUUAAUAUCUUGGUAGUCACUCUGCUACUGCAAAUAAAUCAUGUACGAUGUAUAUUGACAAACCGGUCAACAAUUCUACAGGCACAUAAAACACAUGCACACACACUCCUAUGCAUCUAAACAAACACAAAUGUCAGACACGUACAUAACCACAUAUACAUUUAUUCACAUUUACACAAACACGUCAGUAUGCAUAUCAGAAUGUAGAGGAUAUAUUUCGACAAACUACAAAAUCCAACUCAAAUGUAAUGCAGAGGUAAAGAUGUAACAUGUAGGAAUAUUGAGUUUUUCUUUGGUAUUAUUUGGUUAUUUCGAUGAAAUGGUUAGGCAAAUGAUUUUACAGAUCAUAGCUAAGGGCAUUAUUGCAUCGGCAUGCUCUACUACAAUGCCCAAUUUGGGCACUUUGCUUCUGUUUCAUGAAGGCUUUUAUGGAAUUAUAACUCCAAUUUGAAGUUAAUUCUUGUAAGGUUCACCCCGUAACCCCAUAUUGUAAUUCUGAUAAACUUCAGAAUUAAAAAUAGAACAGAAUGUUGCAAAUAGCCUAAAUGCCAAGCAAUUCAGAGAUAUGAAUUAUCCUAAAAGAAAUUCUCCCCAUAUUUAUAGUUCUCCCAAAUUGGACAAAUCUCCUGCAAUAGAUAGACUGUUCAGACCAAUUACGAAAGGCAUCAUGUCAUUCAAGUAGAAUAUCCAAUUCCAUUACAGAAGAAUAGUUCUCUUUUAGUAGGAUUCACCAAACAAUGCAAUAAGACGAUUUUCAAUGAAUAGAGAUAUGAAUAAGUUUGAUAUAGCAAGUUAAAUAGGCAAACAAAAAGGCCCAAAAGAGUUAUUUUGCAUCUGGAAUCCUAUUUUGGGGUAAAUACUAAAGGCAAGGUGGAAAAGGCAGAUGGCAUCAAUGAAAGGCCUAUUCUAGCAAUUUCAUUGACCUAUAUUCUGCAUAAGACAAAAUUCUGUGUUCUUGCCCCCAAGAAUUUUCCAUGACUAUUUAUACUCCCAAUAGGAGAUUGGAAGAUGUAAAUAUGAGCACAUUUCUCUAAUGUGACUAGAUUAAAUCCAUACUGCACUGCCUUGUCAUUGCAGUUUUGAACCAGAAUGACACACAAUCAGCCUAGCUAAAGAAAACAGAUAAUAUACCAAAUAAACUUACUUUAUCUACGUACAAGUAUCUAUCCAAACACUCAAGAAAUUUCUCAGGCGGGUAUCUGAAGGAAGAGCCAUAGUGCGAGCAGUAGCCCAUAGAAAGGUCAUCCAAUCUGUCAAUAAAAUCAUCAACCGGAAGUGGAACAGAAGAAUGUGAUAUGAGGGAGUCAUCCUCCGCUGCCACAUGAAGAGCUGUCUUCCCCAAAUCAACCACUCUAUUUAUACUAAUGCUAGUUUCUCUUUCCACGUCAGUUAAUUUUUGAAUCUGCUGGCAGAAACCAUUCCUUGCUGCCUGUUGGCAGUUUAUAAUGCAUCAGGUCAACAGAAGUCUAGAGUAACUAUGAAUUGAAAAUAGAAAAUACAAAUAUAAAAAUCACAUGGCAUGUUAAUGGGUCGGAUCCAACACAAACACAACAUAUUUGGGUAGUGUUUGGGUUUAAUUUCUCAAACCUAGAUCCUACCCAAACCCAGAUCUUAUAAGAGAGUUAUGGGUCAGGGUAGGACCUGGUUUGGAUCUCGGUUUUGGGUAUGAAUUAUAGAAAACCAGACCCUACCCAAAUCCAUGUAUAAAUAAUAUAUAUACGCACACAUACAUACAUAUACAUAUACAUACACACACACACACAUAUACAUAUACAUACACACACACACACACAUAAGUAAAUUUCUAACAUAAUCUAAUAUUUUAUGGCCAUUAGACCAAAUACAAUAAGACUUCAUAACUAUUAGGUUAAAGAAUACGCUCUUUGAGUUCAUAAUAUUGCAUUCAACUUCUUGAAUGUUAAUUUUAUUAUUUGAAAACAAAAAUUGAAUGGUAUUUAUUACUUUUUAACUCUAUAUAUUUUCAAAAUAUUUUUACUCUAGUUCUUCACUGUAUUUUUAGAAAAAUACCCAUCAAUACCCAUUGGAAACCUAAACCCAUGAGGGUCCAUGUUUGGUUUACUUUUUCAUAUCCAUAAGGAUCUGGGUUUGGAUCUAGGUGCAGGUCUAGGUAUAACUAAAUUUAAUGGAUCUAGAUCUGAAUCAGAGGGAUCCAAUUCAAACCCUACCCAUUAACAUAGCUAAUCAAAUCAACAUGUACUACAAUAAAAUGGACAUAAAGCAGACAAAAAAGAAAUUGAGAAAAAAUGCCCAAGGUAAAGGAGAUGAAAACUGAAACAAGAAACAUAAACAACUUCCUAACAUCAAAAGUCAACUUUAGGGUUUAUUAUCUCUAUAAUUUUGAUGCAUACUGCUUAAUUCUUUCUACAUUAUUCUCGCACGUCUAGGCAACACGAAAUUGAUAGCUUUGAAGUGGAUUAGACUUUGAUUGUCCCUUUCUUUUAUUUCUUUUAGAAGAAUGAUGUCUAAAUUGCUAAUAACAUAAGUUAACAAGUUUGACUUAGCAUAAUGCAGUUUGCUUUAAGUUGAGUGCACAAUGAAGGGAGAAGAAACAAUCACAUAAUCCUUCUUCCUAUGUCUUAAUUGAACUUAGACAAGGCAUGUAUUUCAUACUUAUUUUACAUAACUACAAAUUUGGCAUGCUAAUAAUCUGUUUGUGACAUCCUCUUCGCACUUUUGAACCCAAAGACGAGAAAAUAAGUCUUCACAGCAACAAUGAGAUUCAUAGGAUGUAAGAGUUGCUCAGCAUGUCAUUCUUAUUGCUCUUAACUUCAAAAACUUUUAAACAACUUUAGCAUUCAACUCGUAUUGUCAUAAAAUUAUGAUAAUACAAUUGUCAACCCACAAUUAGAAAUGUAAAAGCCAUAAUUAUCUACUUGUACUACAGACUUGGACACAAACUUCCCAAGUUCUGCCAAAGAUGAAGUGAAGGAAAAUGACAUAUGACUACUAAGCAACAUCCAAGACAAUUUUCGUCAUGUGAUGUCUCAUACUACACCCUUCAUUCUCCUCUUGGUUCCACAGCGCAAGUUUACAAUGACUAAUGUUAUAGAAUGUGAUUCUCUUAUACAGGAUUUAAUUUUCUAGAACCCGUUUCACAAGGAUUAUCUUCUAGAAAACAGUAUUAGCAAGCUUUGAAUGUAUUCAAUAGAUUAGGUAUAACGCAAGGAAAGCCACAUACUAUUACAAAAUAUUUUACAUAUCUCAUUGGGCAGUCAAACCCACCACAUAGGAGUGUCAAUCAACUCUCAAACUGUGAGCUCAUAAGCCGUUGGUACCACUCUCUCAUAUACAUCAUUUUACGAUCUCUUUGUGAUGGCUGGGUCUUGACUUAGCUGCCGAACUGACCUAAUGAAAUUAUAGACGUGGCCAAAGGGGUUCAAUCUUAUAUUACUCAGGGAGCGCUGUCCAACAAAAAAAUCAUUAGUUUUGAAUCCUUGUAUUCUGUCCGAGUAAGCAACUCAAAAUUCCUAUAGUUGAAUUUCAUCUCUGAGAGAGUAAACUGGCGAAAGGGCUAAGGCAAUGUUUGGUUCUCUACCAGAAUUGCACUUGUUACCUAUUGAAAUGUAGCCUUAUAUGAAUAUGAUACAAUUCCAAUUCCAAUCUAAUCAAAUCCUGGCAGAGAAGCAAAGAAAUCCAUUGUAAUUUUCAAAACCUCACGAGGUAAUAAUAAGAUUUUGAAUGUAAUUUUAAUACAAAAAAAAACAGAUGAUAAUUUGUUCAAUCUUCGAAAUUCCAAAAGAGCUUUAUCAAUUGUAAUAAUUCCAAACCGGCUGGUCGAUUAAAACAAACCAAGAACUACUACGGUAUUUAAAAAAAAAAAAAAAAAAAAAAAAAAGGCACCAAAUUACAACAUCAAAAUUGAUAAAUAGAUGAAUAAAAAGUUCGGUUAUGAAAAAGCCAUUGAAAACAGGAAAUACAUACUCGGGCAUGCGUGGUGUCCAGGCCAGAAGAUUGAAGGGCGUCAUGAAGAACAAAUUUGAGAUCAUUCGCUGGUAACGAAAAUUUACAAUAUGCCGGGCGUCUUCUAGCGCUGCUACUGCAUUGAGAUUUAUUUGGCGAUUUUGAAGACUCGGCAGAAUAUGGCGUUGAUGACAAAAGAUUGAAAGUCCCAGCGAUCCACGAAGAACUACCCAUUCCAGCACCACUCAUCUCUCUCCCCUUGUUUAGCCUGCUGGGAAUGAUAACCCCUUUUAUUUCGGCAUAACAUCAGAAACCUUGAGGUUUCUUCUAAUAUUACUUGGCACCCGUGAGGUUUUGAAAAUAUCAUUUACCUCCCCUAAUAAUUGUAAAUAGACUAUAUUAACCCUAACUUGAUACAUAAUUGACAUAUCAAAUAAAUGGAAGUCAAAGAAUUUAAAAAAAUAAAUAAAAGUCCUUUUCUUCUCUUUAUCCUUUCUCCAACAUUCUCUCUUACUCAUUUUUUGGAUGACUAUGCGAUUUUUUAUUUGUAAAUUAUAGUAAAUUGAAUUUUGUUUAUCUUUUAUUUUUUGUGAUUGUGAUAUAUGGGAUAUGAUUUCGUUAUCUAUUUUGACUUGAUUUUUAUAAUGAUUAGUACAAUUUAAAAGCUUAAGCAUGGAUUGAAAAGAAAUUGGAAAAAAACUAUAAAAUUCAUAAGAAAUCAAUUUUAAGCAUAUAAAGUUAAAUUGGUGCUAGUAUAUUUUUUGUAAGGAUUAAUCUUUCUUACACUGACAGUGUAAAUAUCUUUUUUAUUUUUUAAUUUAUAUUUUUAUGAAUUAUAGCACAUUGUGACGUGGUAGUACUACUAGAAAUUAUUUUUUAAAUGAUGAUUUUCUUGUAGUAAACAAAGUAGUUUAGGAGUGCUUUUAUUUAGCAAGCAAAAUGGUAGUUUAGGAUUUUUUAAUAUUUUGUUACACAAAUAUUAGAACUAAGAGAGGUAAGUGAUAUUUUUAAAAUUUUAGAAGUAAUAGGUGAUAUUAAGAGAAAUCUCACAGGAAGUUUAUGAUAUUAUCCCUUUUUUGAUGGGAGUAUUUUUUUUCCACACAUAUGAUAUGUGUUUUGAAAUUAAGGAAGGAAAACAGAUAAUCCUAUUAAAAAUGUUUAAAUGCACUAAAUGUGACGCCUCACAUCUCCCUAAGGCGGACCAAAGGGUAUCCGCGGACGCCUGCCCAACUCUCGCCAGGACUCAAGCAAUUCCAUUCAAUUUAAAUCCGAACUAAACAUUUCGAAGAGAGAGAAACAUGAAUACAAAUAGUGCGGAAGCGUUCAAGCUUAACAAGUCACUUAACAUGUAACCAUUACAUCGGAAAUCAUAAUACGUCUUAAAUUCAAAAUACACGUCAGGGCCCAAACUUUUACAUUUCAAUUCCAAAAGUACAACUCAAACCAGGGCCUAGUCAAAAUAUAGCAAGAGUCUUAACAAAAGUACAACGAAGGGUUUCUCCAUACUUCUCCAAGAUUCAGUCCUGUUAAGGAAAACAAAACUAUAGGGUGAGCUAAACGCUCGUGAGGCCAAGAACACACAUGCAAGCACUUUGUUCAAAUAGCAAUCCCAAAUUUAAUAAAUAAAACCAUGUCUUUUCAAUAAUCAAUCAUUCGAACAGGAAAAGAAAUCAGAAACAAUUCAAGGAUAUAGUAACUCUCAGGAGCUAAGUUCCACUCGCUCUGCCGAUGUCAUUCGUAUACCUUCCCGCGUUGACCCUCCUGUCAACCGGGUCGGUAUUUCCAUUUCCGUAGAUCACCACUUACUUCCCUCCGUCCACCGUACACCUCAAGGGCCCACAAAUCAUUUAUAAGGCGAUACUCCACGAGUAUGCCAAGCAAGACCUCUCAUUAGGUCGAGCUUAUAAAUCUCAUGGCUCGUCCAAGUUCCCGAACAAGCCCAUUGCCGGCUCGAGUCCAAGGACGGCCUAUGAGUUUGGGCGUCCCCCAUUCAUUUAAAAGUCGAGGAGGUUCACUCCAACGACAUAUGUAAUCAUAACAUAACAUUUCAUUUCAUUCAUUCAUUUAAUACAUUUCAUUCAUUCAAUACAUUUCAAUCAUUCAUUUGAAAUUAGAACGAGUGUGAUAAAGUACACACCCGCCCUUAUUUUCUUAAAUUCCAACAAUUACCACAAAUAAAUAUGUAUCAAGGAUUCACACACUUGACACUCACCGAGCAAUUCAAUAAGAAUUAUUUAUGGGAGUUCAAGUAUCCACAGUAAGAUCCUCUUGAAUGUCUCCUUGUGCGCCUGGCAAUUAAUAGUGGAUAAUCACUCAACAAUCCAAUUAUCAAGGAAGAUUGUACACUAGUACAAUCUAAAGAUUAUUUCACAAAAGGAACCUCAAUUACUCGUAAAUCGAGGUUCAACUUGCCUUUUAUUAUGUACAAUAUUAUUUGAGUUUUUAUCAUGAAAAUCGAGGGCAAAACGUUUGAAUAAUACUAAGAGAAUUAAGAGUUUUGGAAAAACUCCUUUGCCUUGAAAAUUGAGAAAUUUCAGUUUUAUCCUAAAUCUUUGAAAAUUCGAAUCUCUCUCGAUAUAAGCCCAAAACUGGAAAACUUUAUACCGUUGGAAACCUUUUGGAAAGUGCUAAAAGUUCUUAGAAGACACCUUUCCAUGAAUCUAAGUGGAAAGUACUCAAAAAUGAGCUUGAAAUACAGACUCGGCGUACAAGGCAGAAUUAAGUUGGAUUUCGGCCAACUUUGAAAAUUCGGCACGGUUCACACGUUGCAAACCAGCCUCUAAAUUUGUCAAUCAAGUAGAGUUGCAAGUGAGGUUUAUAACAAAACAAGCGGAUCAAGAAUCGGAGUUUCGAGUACCGAGAUAUGGUAGCUCGAAGUUGGGAAAUUCAAGACUGGAGAAGAAUUUCCAGAUUUGAACCUCCAACACUAGAAAUUUAAUUAGGUAUCGAAACGAACUUGGAUUGGUACCAAAAUUGGCAGUACUUUACUCCUAUAUGAAAGGUACCGCCCUAUCAAAUUUCAGGGAAAAAUACCUUCGGAAAGAUAGAUAAUUAGUCAACCAAAGUUCAGGAAAAAUUCUAAGGCAAUCUGCCUUUUGACUUUCAUUUCCCAAUUUCAAAUCGUUUAACCAAGAAAGCUAUCCAACCAUGGUUCAUUGGUGAAAUAAAGGUCUAAGAUACAUCCAUGAUACCUUUGGUAAUGGUUUAGCAUCAAAACUUCAAUUAAUAAAAAUCAUUCCCAAGUUUUGUCCCAAAUCAGUCCAAAUAUUACGUUUUUCCAAAACAGGGCAGUCCUCUUGUUUUAGUCACAACUCAAGUCAAUUUAACUCAGAAUGAGGCAUGGUUUAUGGCGUUAGAAAAUACAUUCAUAGGACUAAAAGUUUACAGAAGAAAAAUUCUGAAAUUUGGCAAGCAACCAGCUAAAAUUGAGCCUCAAGUUGCUGCCUCUACAAACCAUUCCAGCAAAUCCGAGAGACAGGACAGCUAUUUUAAAACGUUUGGUUCGGAUCACUCACAAAGAAUCAGAAUGUGCAUUUUAUCUCAAAUUAAAGCCAGGAAUGUCUAGUUUCAAACGCCACUGACGGCACUUGAUUUCGACACCCGAGGACAGAGUUAUGGCCAAAAUGCUACGCUGGACAGGGUUACCCGAAAAUAAUUUUCCAGCUUGCCUAGUUCACGAAUAAAUUCAUUUGCCCAUCCAAACGUUAAUGUUUUCCAACGAAAAUUUUUACACAUAUAGUAUAACAUAUAAACAUCAGGUUCAUGCCAAUAAAUCACCAAAAAUUGGCCUUAUAGUGGCCGAACAAAACAGGGGCACUUUCGGAAAUUUCUUGUCAUGACCUCAACUUUGAGUUUCCAACAAUAAUACUCCAUAAAUCCAUCAUUUUAACCACUAAACUACCAUUAAAUCCAACAUUAAUCCUCUAAUCAGCAACAACAACCCAAGUGUGGGAAUUCAAGAGCCCACUUUCACAAUUUCCAACUAUAUCAAGCCAUCCAUACACAUGCAAUAACUUAAAGAUGCAUUUCUACCAUCAUAAUCCAAGUUUAAGGUGUAGGAUGAAGUUAUACCUCCUUAGUGCCUUAACCCAGAAAUUUUGGCCCUCAAGAGCUCCAAGAAACCGUGAAAAUGCAGCCCUUUAGUUAGCUAAAUCCACCUCCAAGUAGUUUGCUAGAUGAUCUUCAAGUUUGGUGAAGAUUGGUUGAGGUUUUGGGUUGAUUUGAUGAAGGAAUUUGUGAAGCAAGAGAGUGAGUGAGAGGGGGUGUUGGCCGGCUGCUAGGUGAGAGAAGAUGGAGAGUGAUCAGAUUUCUUUUAGCUUCCAAGAGAAGAUUAAAUGAGUGCGCACAUUCACUCCAAAGUCAACUCUUAUUAGGGCUCGUUUGGCACGUUUUAGGCUCGAUUUUCUCGCGCGUUUGGUUCACUAGUGCACUGAACCUCCAAUGCAUUUAUAUUCAUGUAAGUAUUAUUCACUCUUAAUUGUCCGAAAUAAGGGUCUAAAGUCCCUCAAAUAAAGUCGCGCGUGUGAAAACGCGUACCGUCAAUUUUAACGCAUAACGCGAAACUUCCAAUAAAUUCUUAUAACGAUUGCACUACUAACUAUCACUUGAGUAUUUAUUCAUAAGAUUACCUAUUUUAGGACCAUAGUACAAGUCUCCAAUAUUCCAAGCUUAUUGUGCUCCUACGCGGAUAAAAUCUCCAAGCACUAUUCACUAUUUUUACUAAACGCGCUCCAGGAAAUUAAUUUUUGAAACGAGUCUCUUUAAAAAUAUAACGAAGUUAUAUUACAUGUAUUUAGGUCUAAUAAGACUAGAAAAUAUUCCUUGGGAUAAAAAUCCAAUUAAAUAAUUUAUUAAGCCAUAAAUUAGGCAUAAAAUAAUAGUUUUUACGAGUCCUCACACUAAACACCCUCAACUUUAGCCUCGGUUGUUGAUUGCUCCCUCAAACUCUUUUAUGAGCACUUAACCCCUCAUAUUUUCUUAAUUACAUUUGUAUCUAAUUAUGAUGCCCCAAAACAAAAUCUUAUGAGGGUCUAGAUCAACUACUUGGCAAGGCUAGUGGUUGGUUCUCAUCAAUGGAAUACCUAAUCUAUUUUGAAUUGUACUUAAUACUCAUUUUUUAAAUUUCACUUAUUCCUAGAUUUUUUGAAAAACUAUAAGAAUUUAGCCUGAAAAAGGUGCACUAGUAGAGAUUUAAUUAAUGAAAGAUAGACAUAUAAUUACAAGAAGCUACAUAUAGCUACCAAAUUAGGAUUUGACUUUAAUACAAAUUUUCUCUUUCUUAUUAAGAUGAGUGUAUAAGUGGAGUGGAGGGAGUUUGGGUGUAGACACCAAAUUUUUGGUGUAAUUUCAUUUACUGUUUAUUUUAGUUUGUUUAUUUGUCCUGUUAGUUUUAUUCGAUUUUUAGUUUUUAGUUUAUAGUUUUAUUUUUAUUUUUAAGUUUUUAGCAUAGAAUUUCUUGAAAUGAAAAAUAGAGAGAGAAAAAGGAAAAAUGAUGAAAAAUGCAAAAUGAAAGAAAAAGAAUGAAAAUGGCAAAAAAUAGGUGGAAGUGUGCAUGUGGAACAAGUGUACAAAACAAUCAUGGGACAAGUGUCCCUUUUGUUUAAUUGACAACACAACAUUUUGGUUUGCUUCUUCUGGGUUUAUGAUUUGGGCUUGGAAACUUGAGGCCCUUAAUUUUGUAUGAGCUAGAUUAGUGAAAAUGAUGGGCUAGCCAGAUUGUUUUCCUUGGACUUCCGUUUGGGCCGAAUGAUCUUUAGCCCAAACAAAUAAAUGAAAUAGCCCAAUAGCCUGGUCCAUGAAGAAACCAGAAAACGAUUUUUGUAAAUCAGCCCCUGACUUUCUCUUUAACUAUACUGUGGCCCUGGAUGUCUUCAAUUUCUUUCAAUUCGGUCCUUACUUUAAUUGCAAAUGAGUCCCUGAACUUUAUUUUUCUUUAAUUUUGACCCCAAGACUUUAUUAAUUUUUGCAAUCAAGUCCUUUCUUCUUGUGACUUCUUAAAUGUGGUUUGUUGACAUGAUUUAAUUGAUUCAAAUUCAUGUUUAUUUUUAUCCUUUGUGAUUAUUUGCCAAAUAAAUUGGUGCCUUGACCAUUUCUUUUAUUUUGGAGGAUAAAUAAGUUGAUUUCACUCCAUUAGAGCUUCAUUUCAAGAGAGGUAUAAUUUCUUUUAUCCCUUUUGUCUCUCCUAUGUGAUCCAAUGUGCUAAGUGUGAAUCGCAUGCCUAAUUUGCUUUCAUUACCAUUCUUUAGUUCCAUUAUUUCAUUCCUUCUUGCUUUUAUUAAAUUAUUCUUUUAAAUGGGGUAUGUGUACACCUCUUGGCUUGUAAUAGAUAGGGCUAUGGCGAGCAAUUUGGUCCAUUUUCCCUUUCCCCUUUUGUUUUAGUUAAUGAAUGUAGUAAGUUCAUUAGCUUGGUUGCAUGCCUAUGUGUUACUUGUUACUUGCUUUAUUAGGGCCUUGCAUCUAGUCGAGCCUGCUAAAUGUUACGUGCUACGUGUUUAUGAGUAUUUGGUAUAUCUACUUGCUUUCCAUAGUGUAGAUGAAUGGAAUGGAUGAAUGUACGUCACCACACUAGUCCAACGCUAGUUGUGGCUUCUUUUAUCGUUUCCACUAGUCCAACGCUAGUCGGAAUUCAUAGAAUGGGCUAGUCUAACGCUAGACCCUUAGGGUUUUUCCCUCGUUAGCACAUCAUUUGCUUGUUCACCACAUAUCACGCAUUUUCCUUAGUUUUAUCAUUUGGCAUGAUCCUCGAACCCCUUUUCCUCUCAUUUUAGGUUUUGCAUCCCAUACUAGCUAUAGGGUUCAUUUUGCUUGAGUGUCCCCUUAAAUAUGGGAUAUAGACGAGUGUGGCUUUUUCUAAGCCUUAGCACGCUUGUAUCCUCUCUAUCAAAGGGCAAAUUGAGUCACGAUUUAGGUCUCCCCGUACCCAUUAUGCAUGAAUUCCCUAGGUUCAUGCAUCCACUCUAUCAUUACACUUUCAUUUUUUCCUCCCAUUUGCACACGUACACCUUUUAUCCCUCCAUUUGCACACGUACACCUUUUAUCCCUUCAUUUGCACACGUACACCUUGUAUCCCUUCACUUGCACACGAACACUUUUAUCCUCACUUGCACACAUGCACUUCAUAUUAUCAUUUCACAUACCGCACCUUGCCCACUCACGUGCACAUUUUCACUUACAUAUUAUUGUCUUUUAUUACUUUUUCAAACUCAUGUCCUCACAUUGCAUACAUGCAUUCCAUUCAUUUGCAUCCCACUCGCAUUAUUCGUGACUUCUUCAAAGGAUCGUUAUUGGGCUUCACAAUUAAUGUGAUUGGCACCAUUCAACUUUUGAAGGGAAAUUUCCCCCAAUACCCCUAGGUCUAGGGUUUGCAUUCAUGUAGUGCAUCCAAAUGUAAUAAAUUCUUUGGUUAAAACAAGAAAAUCUUUGAUUAAAUCAACGCAACUAGCCUUGGCUAGGUCGGGGUGCCUUGGAAUUUAUCCUUACCUUCCCCUUUGUCAAAUGUGACUCCCGAACCUUUUUCUUUGGUUUACGUGGACUAGGAGUCGUUUAAAAGGGGUUUCUUACUACUUUUUCCUAAUUUUUUCUUAAAAAAUUCAUUUUUGGGUGACUUGGUACACCCUAACUCUAUACAAAGUGGCGACUCCAUUUUUCAUAUAAAAAACCCUUUUUGAACUAUUUUUCUUGGGUCAAAUCGUCGCAUUUUCAAAAGUCCCAUUUAGACCCAUUUUUUUCUUUUAAAUCACAAAUCCAUUUUUUCAAACCAUUUAUUUAUUUAUUUCAUCAAAAAAUGGGCGCGACAUUGGGAAGAAAAAGAGAAUAACAAGAUAAUAAGGAAGUAGAGAGAGAAGAAAAAUGAAGAAGUCUAUUUCUAUGAUAUUUACUUUUAAGGUUGAUCAUUGUAAGAUCAAUUUUAGAGUUGAUACUUUUUUUAAAAAGAAUAUGAUCUCCAUACUUUAAGAUCCCCAAAAAAAAUCAAUAAUUUUUUGAUAAAAAGUAUAAUAAAUAUAUCAAUAUUUAUAUAAAUAAUCCCAACUAAUUAAUUCAACUACUUACUUUAGGAGAAGAGAUGAGAAAUAGCCAUUCAAGUCUCUUUGCCUUAUUUUGAUGUAUUUGCCAAAUUAAAGUUGUUAUACUGCACUAUAAUCAAUUCUAAUAGAGUAUCUAGUAUACAAGAAUGGGUUAUUUACCUCAAUUUUGUGGUCCUAAGUUGAAAUUAGAGAAAUAUUUUCUUUUUUUAUUUAUUUUCUAGAAGUCAAUUUCUAUAAAAUAGAUUUUUAGAGUCGAGAUUGGAGAGAUCAACUUUUGAUCAUACCCCUCAUAUGAAAUGCAAGAAUGUCCAGAGUGGAAAGGUUGUUCCAUCCGAAAUAUGUUUUUGCUCAGAAUACUAGGAGAAAAUUUAUGGUUCUAAUGUCUAUUACACAAGUCAAAAUGGAAUAUUCAUUCAUUUUCUAAUAUUUGGUAUAAUCAAUAUUUAGAAAUCAGAAUGGAACAUAAUUAUUACAAAUUUAACUUGAUUGCCCUUGAUUUGUUUAUAAGAUAUAACAUGCUUAAUUACUUUUGUUUUAUUUGUUUUACUAUGUUAUUUGUUUAUUCAUGUAUAUUUUUGACAUUGUUUUUCUUUCAGAGUAGUUGAGGAUUGAUAUUAAAAUUUUGCAAUUGUAAAAAAUCAUUCAUUCUAACAUUUUUUAAAUUUUGCAUCCGCUAGCAAUAUGAUUAGCCAUUCAAAUUAAACAUUAGUCCAACACAAGUGAUAAAUUUUUAUUACAUUUUCAUUUUUAUAUGAAAUUCAAAAUUUGCAUAAUUAUUCAAAAGCCAAAGAAUGAUGUAUUUUGAAUAUUUUUUGUUAGUUAAAUGAAAUAUUUAAAUACAACAAAAUUAUGUAUUAUAACAAAUUUCCAUUCAAUUAUUAAUUGGCUCAUAUCCUAAGAUAUAGAUAUAUAAUAAAAAGAUUUAUAAGGAUAAACUUGACAUUUUGCUAUUUGGGGCAGUCUAGGAUAAAUUUGAAAUGAACUUUCUCUAAGACCUUUUUGAUAAUCCAAUUCAACACUUAAAUUUAAUGGAUUUAGAUCUUUUUGUGAUAGGAAAGAUCAUUUCAUUCAAAUAAAUUUGCACUAAUGGCAAAAAAUACAUCAAACAAAUAUGACACAGAUACAUAUAGAUCUGAAAUCACUAGAUAUAACAAAUCUAAGAAAACAAUACAAAUAAAAAUAACAUUGAUACUCCUAUAUAUAUCUUCCAUCCGGAUGAAUCACUGUAACCCAAUAAUCAGUGCAUAUCUACUGACAAUCAGAUCUAAUUAAAACUUUUUCAAUUCCAAACAGAAAUUUAGAUCUAACAAGGGUGAGCCAUCGUUGGUGAUAUCCCGUCAAGAUAUGAUACAGAUAGCAGCACCUUACUCUAACGCACUGGUUGGCAGAUUUGCAGUAGGCGCCCUUCCAUGGAGAUUAUUCGCAAAUUUAUCGUUUCUUUGGGGCUGAGGGGUGAGUGUCGAUAGGCUUAUUAGAUUCCAAGCACAUUCUUUUACGUCCAUCCGUGGAGGAAGAUUACACCAGGCUUUGGUGUCGCAAGUCUUGGUACAUUGGCAAGUUUCAUAUGUCCCUGUCGAAAUGGACAAUCGAUUUUAAACCAGGAGCAGAGUCAUCAAUUGCACCAGUUUGGGUCAAUUUUCCGGGUCUUCCAUUGCCGUUUUUCGAAAAGCAAUUUCUGCUUAAGCUGGGUAACUUACUUGGCCGACCCUUAAAAGUGGAUGAAGCUACGGCUUCACUAAAGCGUCCUUCUGUAGCCCGUAUAUUGUUGGAGGUCGAUGUAUUGCAUUCUCCCAAAUCCAGGAUUUGGAUUGGAGAUGAUCAGUGGGGUUUUUGGCAGAAAAUUGAGUAUGAAGAAUAUCCUUCUUAUUGUGCUUUUUGCUCGUUGAUUGGUCAUACAGAAAAUAUCUGUCAUAAAAAACAUCCGGAAUUGCGGCCUGUGCGCCGUUCUAGACCAUCACCUAAGCCUCACGUCAGACAAGUCUUUCAACCAAAGGGGGUAACUGCUGUUGAUGAAUCUCUUCCUGUUGUGGAUUCUGGGAUUGUAAUAGUCCGAGAGUAAAAGAGCAUGAAAACAGUACUUCUGCAACGGAUGUUUCUACUUCUGUUAUUCCAUCAUCGUCUUCUAACCCUAUUAGAGGUAAUUCUCCUCAAGCUAAUGUACCUGUUCAUGAUCCUGUUCUCCCUAAUACAACUCUGGGGGUUGAUGCAGAUACGCAGAAUGUUAUCUCUGUAGUCACCCUUGUUCUCCCAGAUUCUUCUCUCGAUUAAAGCUUUAUCGGACAAAAUCCCUACCUCCGCCCGGGAUGACAAUCUGUUGCCUAUUCCGUCUGCGUCUUUAGUACCGCACCAUGAGCGGAAUUAUUCUUCUCUCUCUCCUUGACGGUACCACGGUCAUGUUCGAUGGUGCGGUCUAAUUCCGAAGGCCAAUCAGGGGUGCAAGGUCUUUCCUUGGUUGAUUUAAAAAAUUUUCAUGAUCGGCUGCCCAACAGAAUCAUUGCAUCUAAGCUUUGCUGCGAUCCGUUUGUUACUGGAGUAUCUCUGGAUGAUACCGACACUCAUUACUGCAAAUUUGAUCCAAGGCCGCAAGGGUCGUAGUAGACAGGCCAGGAAACGAGAAGGUAUGACUUCAUCUGCUCAUUAUAAUCUUCGGUCUAAUAAUGUUAAAUCCGAUUAAGUUUAUAGUGUGGAACAUUCGUGGUGCUUCGAACAGGAAGUCAUUACGGCAUAUUCAUUUCACUUGUAGAUCAAACAAUAUUCGUUUACUGAUUCUAUUGGAGCCAUUAGCCAAUGUCUCUCAUUUGGAGAAUGUGCAACUGUUCUUGGGUUUGAUUUUGCUCGGUCCUUCGUGCACAACAAAAUUUGGAUAUUCUGGUGUUCAGAUGCUCGAUAUUCUUUUGUAGAAGCCUCGGAUCAAUUAGUUCAUAUAUGCGAAGUGUAACAGAAUUGGUAGGAGAAACGGUUAUGGGAGGCUCUGGAGCAAUUUUCCACGUCUAUUACUCUUCCAUGGAUUGCCGUAGGGGACUACAACGUUAUUUCUUCUGCGGAGGAAAGGAUUGGAGGAUCAGCCCCGAAUAUUCGUGAUUUGGAGAAUUCAACUCUGCUUUAAAUCGGAGUGGUCUAUUUCCAGUUCAGUUCGAUGGGUCUGCUUACACAUGGACAAAUGGUCGCAUGUGGCAGCGACUUGAUCGAGCGGUCGUUAAUAGCGUUUGGCUGUCUGAUAUUGAGAUGACUCGAGUUGCUCAUCUUCAGAGAAGGCGGUCUGACCAUUGUCUGUUGCUGGUCAGGGGAGGAAGUACGGCAACACGACGGUCUUCCUUUCGAUUUCUUAAUGUCUGGCGAGGUCAUUCCAAUUUUCAACAAACAGUAAGGUCUGCUUGGCUCAGCCUGUUUCUGGAGUUGGAAUGCAGAAAUUCUUUAAUAAAUUGCAUGGUUAAAAGAGUUUUAUCUAGAUGGAAUGUGGAUGUAUUUGGGAAUGUCUCUCAAAGGGUCAAAGUGGCAGCGGAUAAUUUAUUGGCAAGGAAAUUUUGUAUAAUCAAAACAGGACACGUUGUCUAGGACGGCAGUUCAUGAGGCAAGGGCAGUUCAUUCUCGGAGCUAGCGUUGGAAUGUGAAUUCUGGAGACAAAAGCAGGCGAUCAAAUGGAUCAAAGAGGGCGACGCUAAUACCUCUUUUUUUCAUGCAGCAGUUAAGCAGAAACGCAGCUCUAAUUUUAUUGCACGAAUUAGGGGCAACGGGGACAGUUGGUUUGAUAGUGUCGAGGAUAUUAAGCUGACGGCGAGUGAUUUUUUCUCCUUUUUGUUCACAGCAGACCGCGCUGUUUGCUCUGGCAGCAGACCAUCACUUGAUCUGCCCAAGCUUACGCAAGAGGAGAACGACAUGCUGCUGAAAUCACCAUCGGUAGAAGAAGUUUAUACGGUAAUAUGUUCGUUGACCCUCAGAGUUCUGCGGGGCCUGAUGGUUUUGGAGGGGGUUUUUAUCAAAGUUGCUGGGAGUGUAUAAGGGACGACUUCAUGGACACGGUGAAGGAUUUUUUCGCUGGUGCCACAAUGCCCCGCAGAUUUUCAAGUACAACGAUCACAUUACUGCCCAAAAAGGAAGGUGCAUGUGAGUGGAAAGAUUUCCGACCAAUAAGCUUAUCUAACGUUAGUUCAAAGAUCAUUUUUAAGAUUUUGUCUACCCGCAUUAAUCAACUCAUUCCUAAGUUGAUUUUAGAGUUCAGACUGGCUUUAUCCCAGGUAGGGGAAUACAAGAUAAUGUUCUGCUAGCUCAGGAAUUAAUUCUAGAUUUGGACAAGAAACUGCGUCACCCUAACGUAAUAUUGAAAUUGGAUAUGGAGAAGGCCUAUGACAGGGUGGACUGGUGGUUUUUAUUAUACAUGCUUCGUGAAUUUGGCUUUAAAGAAAGUGUGGUAGAUCUGAUUUUUCGAUUAAUAUCCAACGUUUGGUUUUCUGUCAUGGUUAAUGGGGAGCUCACGAGCUUUUUCAAGUCGACUAGAGGGUUCGUCAGGGGGAUCCUUUAUCUUCCACUCUUUUUUCUUUUUGUCUCGGAAUUUCUUGGAAGGGGCCUUCAGCAGCUGUUUACUAGCAAUCCAGGAUUUAGAUUUUUGACUAAGGGAGGGCUGGUCCCGUUUCUUGCUUUUGCCAAUGACGUGAUUAUUUUCACGCGGGCAUCGUCUGAAUGUCUGCAGGCUGUGUUGUCCUUUCUACGAGAAUAUCAAACUCUUCCUGGCCAAAAAAUUAAUCUCUCCAAGAGUCGUUUCCUUUGUUCGUCGAAGCUUUCUUCGGAUGUUAUCAACUUAAUUCAGCAAGUAACGGGAUUUCAAGGGCAGUCUUGGCCUGUCAAAUAUUUGGGAGUUCCACUUUCUCUUGGCCGUAGUAAAAGUGUCUUAUUUGAUGGAGUUAUUGCUUCCGUUAGAGCAAAGCUUCAUCAUUGGAGUUCCCGGUUUCUUUUUGCUAGGGGGAAGCUCAUCUUGCUUCGUCAUGUGUUGAAUUCAAUGCCUCUUUACCUCUUGCAAGUUACUAAACCACCUAAGCGGAUUUUUCUUAGAUUGGGCAAGCUAUUUAAUGCAUUCUUGUGGGAUGGCAAGGAUGGUAGACGGAUUCAUUGGUCUUCCUAGGAAAAAUUAUGCUUUCCAGUCGAAGAAGGGGGGUGGGAUUUGAUCACUGUUGGACUUAGAGAAGGCUUUUGCAAUGAAAUUAUGGUGGAGAAUACGUCAAAAGAGCUCUCCUUAGGCCAGAUUUAUGCACCGUAAGUACAUUGGCGAACAGUACCCAUUCUUGUCUGCGGUUGCUGUUGGGUCGGCAACAUGGAAGCGGGUCUGUUCGGUUCGGGCUAUAACUGAAGACAAUAUUCGUUGGCGGCUUGGUGAGGGAUUCAUCGAUUUGUGGCAUGAUCGAUGGCUAUUCGACGAACCUCUUAGCAGACAGUUUGCUGGUGUGCCUCCUCAUUUUUUAGUAGCUGAGUUUUAUACCUCUACGGGGUGGAAUACUGAACGUCUCCUCCAAGUUCUUCCUCGAUCUGUUGUUAAUAUUAUUUCACAAACACUUGUUGAUCCGACCCUUAAGGAUGAAUUGGUUUGGGCUCCUUCAGCGGAUGGUACAUUCACUGUGUCGUCAGCCUGGGAUUUAGUUAGACAGCGGCGUAACCUGUCAUUGGUUUGGCGUGGAAUUUGGUGUCCUUUGCUGCCUUUAAAAAUGUCAUACUUAGUUUGGAGGGUAUUGGCUGAUUUUCUUCCUCUGGACGACAAGCUCCGUUCUAGAGGAAUUUCCAUGGUUUCCAAAUGUGAUUGCUGUGGUAAUGCAGUGGAGUCUUUGAAUCAUAUUUUUUUGCAUGGCAGGUUAGCAAGUGCUAUUUGGCAGCACUUCUUUCUGGCUUGCGGAAUUCCGUGGGGGUCAUUCUCAUGUGUUUCUUCGCUGCUAGUGGUGUGGUUUCAAUCUUCUGGGAAUGGGCGAUUGGAUCAUGUUCGGUGUGUUAUACCAGUUGUAGUGUUAUGGUUUCUGUGGCGUAGUAGAAACGAUGCUCGGUUUGGAAAUAUCCCCCCUGUCUAUUCUAAAGUUAUUUUCGAUAUCAAUGGGUGGUUGGUUGCUACGGGGGCUGCACGCAUGCUGAACAGAUUUCAGUUGGAGGGGGAUACGGAUACGUAUUUUGCACGUUACUUUCAGAUCAAACCAGCUAAAUCCUUAUGUCCAAAGGCUAUAUCAUGGAUGAAGCCUCCUCGAGGGUCAAUCAAACUUAACACUGAUGCAAGUGUGUCAAAUGGUUUGUCUAAAGGCGGUGGAGUGAUACGAGAUUUUGAAGGGAAGAUGCUUGGUGCUUUUUAUAAGGAAUUCGGGGAAUAUGAGGUGGUACUUGUGGAGGGCUUAGCAUUGUUAACUGGUCUACAGUGGUGUGUUGGAACAGGGUUGUCAGAUAUUUUGGUGGAAGUGGAUUCACUAGCGUUGGUACGGUUGGUUACUAGUCAAUCUGUUGGUAAGUGGCCGUUGUGUAGCGUCUUAAGUCAAAUUCGAUUGUUACUAUGCAAGGUGAAGGGGACCAUUACACAUAUUUAUCAUGAGGCGAAUGCCGUGGCAGACAACUUAGCUGCUUUAUCUCUGGAGAGUCCAUAUGUUACUUUCCAAUCUCAUCAGCAACUUCCAAGUAGAGCUCGGUCGUUGAUUAAUUUGGAUGCAAUAGAUUAUCCAUAUAUUCGCAACUUUAAUGUUUAGGAAUAGUACUCCUAGUUCUCUGGCAUGUAUUGAAGGUUGGGACUUUUCCCUCCUUCGUAUUUUUAGCGUUUGCAAUUAAUAAAAGUUGGGGAGUUUUCCCCUUUUGGAAAAAAAAAAAAGAUCUACAAAAUCUAAAAUUUCACAGAGAUAAAAAUCUAAAAAACUCUCAUAAGGAAAAAUCCAGAAGAGAAUAAAACUCUCACUAGAACAAUUUAGGAGAGAAGAAACUCUUACUAGGAGAUCCUAGAAGAGAAGAAUCUCUCAUUAGAAAAUUUAUUCAAAUAAGAGAAACUAAAAACUAUAAAAAGUACAUCCUCCCAUGAGGAAAGACCAGAUUUAGUCUCCCUCUCAUGAGAGAAAUGAAGAAGAUCUUGAUUGGAAGAGUUCUAGAGAAAAAUGAGAGAAAAGAGUUUUUUUUAAUGGAUUCAAAUCUUUACAUGUUUAGAUACGUAUAAUAAUCAAAAAUUGAAUAUUUGAAUUAAUUAACUGGCAUUGAAUUUCCUAGGCAAAACUUGUUCCAAAAAAUAAGUAAUGAGUUAUUUGCAUAUUACUUAAUGUGAUAUACACUCAAAUAUCUCAGAUUUUGUAUUUAACAAUUCAUUAAUUUAAUGGGUUCGGAUUUCAUGUUUUAAAUUUCAAAUUUCAGAUUUCAAAAUUCAAUUUUAUCAAACGUACCUUAAGUUUUCUUGAAGAAUGGAGAUUUAAAGAAAAAGUUGAAGUAAGCAUUCUACGAGGAAAGGGCUCUCGCACUUAAACGAUCAUGCCAAGUAGGGAUGACAGUAAGGUGAGGGAACCCUCCUGCCCUCACUGCGAAACCCAAAACUCCCUUUGUGCCCUGUCCUAUCACCCACCACCCUUACCUCAACCACAUCUCUCGCCUCACUCUGUUGCCUCCGUGGGUGCCCUCACCUGACCUCGAUGCUAUUUUCUUUUUAUAUUUUAUUUUAUUUUAAUAUGUAUAACACUGAUAAUAAAUCUACUAAUCAUUCUUUUGAAUUUUCAGCAAAAAUUUUAACAUGAGAAAGUUUAGAAAUUAUUUUGAUUAUGUGAAUCUGUUUCUCUAUGUUUGAUACUACACAAGAUGUAAAUCAAUUAUGAUUUUUUUUAUAAACUACAUGCCAUAAGAACAAAAAGUAAAUUAACAUAAAGAGAUUAUCAUUUAACCACAAAAAAAUUAACAAGAAGGAUUAUAUCAUUUUAUCAUUAGAAAAUAUCAUAUUAUCAAUUUAAUAUUAUGUGUAUAUAAUUAAUUAUAUUAUGUAUUUUAAAUUAUAUACAUACAUACAUAUAUAUAUAUGUGUGUGUGUAUUUAUGUAUGUAUAUGUAUGUAUGUGUGUAUGUAUAUAAAAUUUAAGUAGGGGGCAGGACAGGGAAUACUCCUAUGCCGUUUAAAAGUGGAGAGAGUUUUCUCUCUCCGCCACUAUCCCACAUUUCCCCCACCCCGCAUUUUCCCACACCACAUAGGCAUCCGUCCUCAUUGCCAUUUUUAAUACCAAACUCAAAAUUGAAUGGAAAAGUUGGAAGGAUAUUUCCCUUUUAGGCCAUUCUUGCAUACCGAACAGUGUAGAGUGUGAGUAUCGACAACCAGAGUAGCUUUAAUACGACCCGCUUCAAAGUUUUAUGAAAGUAAGAGAGAGUUCUUCCUGCAAUAUUGGGAAGAAUAGAAAGGAGCGCAUUGUUUAUAGGGUUGUUUCACUGUGUAGAACAUUCUGAAUCAAUAAUUUAUUAGAUUUAUAUCAGUGAAUGCAAUUUUAACCACUCUUCACACUUCUAUAACCACAAAUUCUUUUCAAGUUCUUUUCUUGCCUUUUUAAGCAAAUUCCAAUUUUAAUAAUGAUCAUUGUCUACAAGAUAUGCCAAAUGGUUGGAUCAAGCUGGACAAAAUUGUACCUAUUGAUGCAAGCUAUAAUUCAAUCUCUAUUAAUCCAUUUUUUCAUUACAAAGAAUCUACUGCUUUCAUAAGUAUUAUAUGAGAUAACUACGAAGGAGGAAGUAAGAAGAGAGUUUGAAAGCAAAGAUAGAAGAAACUCUGUGAGAACCCGUAAAUUUUCUUAUUUUCUAGGGUUUUAUUUUAUUUAAUCGCACGUUUUCUGUAAUUUCUUUAUUAGGAAAAAUUUUCUAAAUCAUUUUUAUGAGUAAAUAGGGUUUUUAAAUCAAUUUUCUAAUAUAAGUGAGUUAAUGAGAUUUUAGAAGUGGAUACCGGGCGUGGGACCCGCUAGUGCCGAAAGUUCGGUAAAAUUUGGCCAGUUAGGUUAAGUUUCAUCUACCGAAAUUAAUUUACUAGGUGUUAAGAGAUAAUUAGAGGUGACUAGAUGGAUUGGUAUGAGAGGGACAAGAGGAUAGCCAUGCAUUAAUGGUGGUGACAAGUGUCACUUGGAGAGUAAUUCUUACCUUUGACCACUAUUCACUACUUUACCAAUUAAAUCAAAAAUUGACUCAAAAAUCACCCAAAUUUCAAGCUUCUUGGCCGGCCAUCUCCAAGGGAAAAGAAAGAAAAACUCUCAACUUUCUUGCUUCUCAUCUUGCACAAUCUCUCAAUUUAACCGAUUAAACUUGAGUUUCCUCAAUAAAAACCCCUAAUCUAGUGGUAGUAAGGUUGGUUGUGAAGUGGUUUGGAAGAUUAAGGUGCUAAGUUGCUUCCUUUCUUGGGUUGGUAAGGUGAGUAGCUAAGGGACCUCUCUUUUCUUUCCAAUAAUGCUUAAUUAGUGACCUUGUGACAGCCCCACUUUCCCCUAAGUCGAACCAAAGGGGUUAGCGGACUGCCUGCCAAACUCUCGCCAGGACUAACGGUGCAGUUCAGAGCGAUCUAUUGCGUUCCGAACUUAUAACGUGCGUAAACAAGGCAAAAGGGCAAAAUAACCCAAAAUAAAAAAAAUGAAAUUCGGAGUCGACCAUGAAUAGUAACCGACCCGUCAGAACGCAAUCAAAUAUCAAACAAACAUUCAUAUCUUGAACGUUAGCAAUUACAAUCCAAAGUGACAUACAAAAUUUCAAAAGUUAAUAUAUACACGGUUUGCCAAAUUGAAAGUGAAAACGACCCUAAAGAUACAUUUAGGGUUUCACUUCAUAUACAAUACAAAAGAGAUAUACAUCUAGUUCAUUCGGCAAUCAUCUAUCAAGAUUCAUUCCAAAAAGAGUCAUAUUCCUGUAAGGAAAACAAAAGGAACGGUGUGAGCUAAUUGCCCAGUGAGAUACUAUCACUUACGCAACCAAGUGCAUAUAAGCAUCAAGCUUUCAAUCAAUAUAAUAAAAAUAAACAAAGGCACACGUCAAAUAUGGUGAGAAAAGGAUACAGAUGGCUCUCAAGAGCCCUUUCCUCGUUUGCAUUUCUUGAUCGGACGUCAUUGACCCUCCGUCAAUGUUCAAAAUAACCAACCGUAGACUCCACUUUACCUCCACUCCUUCCACCUAACAUCCCCUACCGGGCCCGAACUCCAAACACUUGCACUUUGGUAUUACUCGAGUAUACCGGAAUCGAGAGUCUCGCAUACUACAAGAUUCCAUAUAACUUUACCCAAGGUUCAUUAAUUGGCACGACCAAGCCCUCGCCGGCUCGAUUCAAUCAACUACCAAUGGGGUUGAGCUCAUUGAUAACAUUUGUAGUCGUUGGAUACUCGUCCAAUCGACACCAAGUCGAGUACUUUCAUUUCAUGUAACAUUUCAUGUAACAUUCCAAUAACAUGACAACAAUGAUAUAAGGCAUAUAAGUGAGAGUGAUAAAGUACACUUUCACUGCAAUCAAGUCACAUUCAAUUCACUUCAAGCAAUUUACAUUCAAAGCCAUAUAGUAACACACAAGUGAGUAGUACACUCACCAGGGUCAUGCAGAUACCUCCCAAAAGAGAGCUUUAAUCACCAAUAAACCCUAAAAUAAUCCAAGGAAAACAAUUGAAGGUUCCACUUUCAAAAUUGAGUAUACAGAAUGCACAUGUGAGGCUCGACUACCAGUCGUAUGCCUCGCCAAAUUUACUAAAGCAAGGGUGCAAAACAUGAUUUUUGGUAACGAAAAGGUAACAUGAAGACCUAGGCUCAAACAACCCAAAAGCCCUUGCUCAAAACACAAGUAAAUCCAACUAGCCUUCAAGUAAAAUUUCGGCAGCAUAUCCCUUGUGUUUACCUAUUUUCCAGCCAUCAUGGCUUCAUUAUUUCCUCAAAUCAGUCCCAACAUCUUGUACAAAAAUAAUCUCAUUCCCAAAAGCCGUUCACUAGGCUUAAUGGUAUUCAAGUACAAAAUUUAGCUAGGAAAUAACCGAAUAUGAAAGUCAAGCCCUAACUAUUCAAAUGAACACAAUAAGACUCGAUUACAAGUCAUAAACCAAUUCUAUAUACUACCAAAACAGGGUUCCCUAAGCAUACACAAACAUUAAAGGAAACCAGAAAAUUCGGAAAUGCAAUUAGCUUUGGCCUUGAAAAAAAAACAGUUUUUGUCCUCGUUUUGCGGUAAUGGCACCAAUUUCACUACGAUUAUCGGAUGAGGUACAAGACCCACCAUCUCGAAGCUAAAAGACAGGGCUACAACAUCACAGAAGGUCACUCAACCCAGUUUUGAGUGCAAACAGGUCAAAAAUGCAAGAUACUACAUCAAAAACGUAAAACAGAUUCACCAAAACGCAUUCUAGCGGAAACAUCAUAACUCAGACUCUCCAAGUCCAAAUCCAAAAUUCCAAAACCAGCUGAAAGCUAAGGAACAGGGCUACAUUUCAUCAGAAGACCUCAACAACCAAUUCGGAAGCAAUUCCAGCCAAAACAACCAAUUACAGGCCAAUUCUUGCAUUCGGGUAAAACCAGAACAGCAAUAGUAAUUUUGACUUUUCUCACUCUAUGCUACUCCGAUUGACCUGAAAUUUUGUAGGCACCUCUAAAAUGUCAUUCCCUACAACUUUCAUGUUUUAAGCUAAGGCCAAUUCGGCCUCUAACUAGGAGCUAUAAAUUCGGGCAGAAUGUUCCUUCAUGAACCCUAGGUUUUUCAAUUUUCUUCCAAAACAGAAAUUGGUUGCAAUUAAUCACUUUUUCCACCUUCUAGAUGCCUUAAACAUCAUUUCCAAUCAUCAUACAUAGCCACACAAUCAUGCUUAUAUUAAAACAGAAAAAUCCCCAAAAAUAAUAAAACUUCAUCAUUUCAACCACAAAUCAAGAAAUAAUCCAUAAACUUGCAUCUUAUACUCCCACUAAGCAUGAUUUAAGCAUCAAUUAAAGGAGGAGGGUGGUUCUUCACAACUUACCUUAAAAACAAGAGAGAGAGAGCUAUAGGUCCUCCUAGCUUUCCAAAUCACUCCACCAAUCAACUUACUAACACUAAUUGAAGAGGUUUUAUGGAGUAAGUUCAAGUUUCAAUGGUUGGUUUUGAUGAUUUGGAGCAAAAUGGAAGCAAAACUUGAAGAGUUUCUUCCUUUCUUUUUGAGAGAGAGGGCCGGCCAACAAGGGAGAAGAAAUGAAGAAUUUUUGGUUGUUUUUUGAUUUAAUUAGUCAAUUGGUAAGACCAUGAAUAGUGGUCUUAAAGGUAGACCACUCAAAUGGUGACACUUGUCACCUUUUAUUAAAUAUCUACCUAACUUGUCUCUCUCAUAUCAAUCCAAAUUGCAACCUCUACUUAUCUCUUAACACCCAUAAAUUAAUUCCAGUAUCCAAAACUUAACCUAGUUGGCCGAAUUUUUCGAACUUUUCGCACUAGUGGGUCCCACGUCCGGUAUACGCUCUUAAUUUCUCAAAACCUAUUCGAUACUAGAAAAAUCAUCUAAAAAUUAUAUCUGCUCCUUAAAUUCAUCUAGCAAUUUUUUUCUAAUCACGAAAAUGCGGAAAACAAGCCACGGAAAAUAAUAAAACCUAGAAAAUGGAAAAAAAUACGGGUUCUCACACUCUCUCCCCCUUAAAGAAAUUUCGCCCUCGAAAUUUUACCUUCAAAAUUUAAAGUAACCAAUGGCCUGUACCUUCUCCGUCUUCAGAGUCAGAAGAAACAAGAUUCUUCAUUCCAGUCCCUUCUCCACUUGACGGUCCAGGGUCGGUCUUGGUUGGUUGUUGGUUUCUUUCUUUUUACCGCUUUAAUCGGGCAAUGAGCAAUUCGAUGCUCGGCGCUCCCACAACGCAGACAUCUCCUCCCCUUUCUCCAACAAUCAUUCUCAGUGUGAUUGGCCUUUCCGCAAUAGUCACAAGUCAAGUGGGAAGCCAUCUUUUUGCUUUCCGGAGAAGUCUCCCCCUGUCCGGUUUGGCUUCCUUUGAUAAAUCUUUUAUCUACUGCCCCCAAUGUCCAUGGCGGCCAGAAUAACUGGUUCACUUUCUGUACUUUAGAAGGUGCCAUUGCUUCGCUAGGUUCCUCACUCACGCUACCCACUGCACCCCUUUUCCGUAUUUGGAAAGCUUUCACUUGCGCCUUUGCAUUCUCGAUUCGUUGAGCCUUUUCAAGGGCCUCCUCGGAAAUCCUUCGUAUUUCCUUUUUAGCUCUAAGUUCUUGUGCAAGAGCUCAAUUUUCUCUGAAUACUCGUGCUUCCAUCGCCCUUCCCAGUAUGCGACUAGUUUCUUUUGGACUUCUAUCUCGUCUCGAAGAACCGCGAUUUCCUUAUAUAUCUCAACCCAACGUGCCAUUUCACAGAAUUGCUGGACCUCAGAUGGUAGCCUGUCGGCAAAACAAUGGGUCAUAAUAAAGUCUUGAAUACAAGUGGCACUCUUGGUCCAUGUUUGGUUCAGCUAUUGUUUCCUCCCUUUCUUCUCUUGACUCUUGGUCUCGUUUUGUUUCACUGCUAUGACCAUGUCCGCGACUACGUCUCUUUUUUUUUUCCCUCUCUCUUUUCUUUCCAAAAGGGUACUUUAAUGCAUGAAUGCAAUAAAUUGACUAAAAUAACAAAAUCUGUCAUACCAAUUACACAAAUAACAUAUCGCACAUAACACGCCAUAUUAAAAGACGGAUAAUCAAGUACACAAAUACAUAUCAAGUUGGACAGAUAACCACAUAUACAAGCACAUAUACAAGCACAUAUACUAACGUCAGGUGGUAGUAACAUACGGACGAACCAAAAGGAAAAGGUGAAGUCGUCCCAGUAUCAGCCCGUCUGGUCUCUCACGUCACUUACUAUCCAAACUAGAUGUCCAUUGAUCUCUUGUGCUCAUUCUCGUCAGACAAAGCCUGUUCAAGUUUCCGAAAUACAAGGCUGUUUCCAAAAUUCAAGGCUCAAAUACCUAGUAGCUUGCAUCGCCUCAAUUCUGGAGUACUUGGGCACGAGAAUCCGAAAUAAGAUAGUUCACAUCUUGAGCUGGCCAGUCCCAAGAGUAAACCAUCUACAAUCGAAAUUCCUACCCGACAAACCUAUCUAUGGUCCUCAGAUACCAUGAGAGAGAUUUAAGACCUAUAACAUUCACAAUUCAGAGCUUAGGCUCGAACGAGCACUUAUUCCUUCAUAUCUAUUCACCACUCAGUCCAAGCUCACUCCGCGCAGAGACCACGAGAAGCAGGCUCUGAUACCACCUGUGACAGCCCCACUUUCCCCUAAGGCGAACCAAAGGGGUUAGCGGACUGCCUGCCCAGCUCUCGCCAGGACUAACGGUGCAGUUCAGAGCGAUCUAUUGCGUUCCGAAACUUAUAACGCGUGUAAACAAGCAAAAGGGCAAAAUAACCCAAAAUAAAAAAAAUGAAAUUCGGAGUCGACCAUGAAUAGUAACCGACCCGUCAGAACGCAAUCAAAUAUCAAACAAACAUUCAUAUCUUGAACGUUAGCAAUUACAAUCCAAAGUGACAUACAAAAGUUUUCAAAAGUUAAUAUAUACACGGUUUGCCAAAUUGAAAGUGAAAAUGACCCUAAAGAUACAUUUAGGGUUUCACUUCAUAUACAAUACAAAAGAGAUAUACAUCUAGUUCAUUCGGCAAUCAUCUAUCAAGAUUCAUUCCAAAAAGAGUCAUAUUCCUGUAAGGAAAACAAAAGGAACGGUGUGAGCUAAUUGCCCAUGAGAUACUAUCACUUACGCAACCAAGUGCAUAUAAGCAUCAAGCUUUCAAUCAAUAUAAUAAAAAUAAACAAAGGCACACGUCAAAUAUGGUGAGAAAAGGAUACAGAUGGCUCUCAACAGCCCUUUCCUCGUUUGCAUUUCUUGAUCGGACGUCAUUGACCCUCCGUCAAUGUUCAAAAAUAACCAACCGUAGACUCCACUUACCUCCACUCCUUCCACCUAACAUUCCCCUACCGGGCCCGAACUCCAAACACUUGCACUUUGGUAUUACUCGAGUAUACCGGAAUCGAGAGUCUCGCAUACUACAAGAUUCCAUAUAACUUUACCCAAGGUUCAUUAAUUGGCACGACCAAUCCCUCGCCGGCUCGAUUCAAUCAACUACCAAUGGGGUUGAGCUCAUUGAUAACAUUUGUAGUCGUUGGAUACUCGUCCAAUCGACACCAAGUCGAGUACUUUCAUUUCAUGUAACAUUUCAUGUAACAUUCCAAUAACAUGACAACAAUGAUAUAAGGCAUAUAAGUGAGAGUGAUAAAGUACACUUUCACUUCAAUCAAGUCACAUUCAAUUCACUUCAAGCAAUUUACAUUCAAAGCCAUAUAGUAACACACAAGUGAGUAGUACACUCACCAGGGUCAUGCAGAUACCUCCCAAAAGAGAGCUUUAAUCACCAAUAAACCCUAAAAUAAUCCAAGGAAAACAAUUGAAGGUUCCACUUUCAAAAUUGAGUAUACAGAAUGCACAUGUGAGGCUCGACUACCAGUCGUAUGCCUCGCCAAAUAAUUACUAAAGCAAGGGUGCAAAACAUGAUUUUUGGUAACGAAAAGGUAACAUGAAGACCUAGGCUCAAACAACCCAAAAGCCCUUCGUUCAAACACAAGUAAAUCCAACUAGCCUUCAAGUAAAAUUUCGGCAGCAUAUCCCUUGUGUUUACCUAUUUUCCAGCCAUCAUGGCUUCAUUAUUUCCUCAAAUCAGUCCCAACAUCUGUACAAAAAUAAUCUCAUUCCCAAAAGCCGUUCACUAGGCUUAAUGGCAUUCAAGUACAAAAUUUAGCUAGGAAAUAACCGGAUAUGAAAGUCAAGCCCUAAACUAUUCAAAUGAACACAAUAAGACUCGAUUACAAGUCAUAAACCAAUUCUAUAUACUACCAAAACAGGGUUCCCUAAGCAUACACAAACAUUAAAGGAAACCAGAAAAUUCGGAAAUGCAAUUAGCUUUGGCCCUAAAAAAAACAGUUUUUGUCCUCGUUUUGCGGUAAUGGCACCAAUUUCACUACGAUUAUCGGAUGAGGGUGCAAGACCCACCAUUUCGAAGCUAAAAGACAGGGCUACAACAUCACAGAAGGUCACUCAACCCAGUUUUGAGUCAAACAGGUCAAAAAUGCAAGAUACUACAUCAAAAACGUAAAACAGAUUCACCAAAACGCAUUCUAGCGGAAACAUCAUAACUCAGGCUCUCCAAGUCCAAAUCCAGAAAUUCCAAAACCAGUUGAAAGCUAAGAAACAGGGAUACAUUUCAUCAGAAGACCUCAACAACCAAUUCGGAAGCAAUUCCAGCCAAAACAACCAAUUACAGGCGCAAUUCUUGCAUUCGGGUAAAACCAGAACAGCAAUAGUAAUUUCGACUUAUCUCAUUCUACACUACUGAAAUUUUGUAGGCACCUCUAAAAUGUCAUUCCCUACAACUUUCAUGUUUUAAGCUAAGGCCAAUUCGGCCUCUAUCUAGGACCUAAAAAUUCGGACAGAAUGUAGCUUCAUGAACCCUAGGUUUUUCAAUUUUCUUCCAAAACAGAAAUUACUUGCAAUCUUCCACUUUUUCCACCUUCUAGAUGCCUUAUAUACCAUUUCUAAUCAUCAUAGAUAGCCACACAAUCAUGCUUAUAUUAAAACAGAAAAAUCCCCAAAAAUAAUAAAACUUCAUCAUUUCAACCACAAAUCAAGAAAUAAUCCAUAAAUUUGCAUCUCAUACAACCACUAAGCAUGAUUUAAGCAUCAAUUAAAGGAGGAGGGUGGUUCUUCACAACUUACCUUAAAAACAAGAGAGAGAGAGCUAUUGGUCACCUAACUUUCCAAAUCACUCCACCAACAACUUCACUAACACUAAUUGAAGAGGUUUUAUGGAGUAAGUUCAAGUUCAAUGGUUGGUUUUGAUGAUUUGGAGCAAAAUGGAAGCAAAUUGAAGAGUUUCUUCCUUUCUUUUUGAGAGAGAGGCGGCCAACAAGAGAAGAAAUGAAUUUUUGGUUGUUUUUUUUAUUUAAUUAGUCAAUUGGUAAGACCAUGAAUAGUGGUCUUAAGGUAGACCACUCAAAUGGUGACACUUGUCACCUUUUAUUAAAUAUCUACCUAACUUGUCUCUUCAUAUUAAUCCAAAUUGCAACCUCUACUUAUCUCUUAACACCGGUAAAUUAAUUCCAGUAUCCAAAACUUAACCUAUUGGCCGAAUUUUUCCGAACUUUUCGCACUAGUGGGUCCCACAUCCGGUAUACGCUCUUAAUUUCUCAAAACCUAUUCGAUACUAGAAAAAUCAUCUAAAAAUUAUAUCUGCUCCUUAAAUUCAUCUAGCAAUUUUUUUUCUAAUCACGAAAAUGCGGAAAACAAGCCACGGAAAAUAAUAAAACCUAGAAAAUGGUAAAAAAAUACGGGUUCUCACAGACCUAUGUGAGAUGAAGUGAUGAUUUUAGGUGUUGUUUCAUGAUUUUUAGUUGAGUUUGGUGAAUUUUCAUAUUUAUUCAUGAUUUUUCUGUCCUUAUAUGUUUAAUAUUGUUGGGCCAUGGAUGAUAGCUUGGAAUGGUCUAGAAUGAAGCUAUAGUGCGUAAAUUGUGGUUGUUUGCGGAAAAUUUCCGCAUUUGACAGAAAAUUUCAGAAUUAGGGUUUGAAUUUGGGGCUUUUCUAGGGAUUCUAUAUAGCACUUGUAUUGGCUUGGAUGGAAGGGUUUUAUGGCACUAAAAAGGUGUAUUGAAGGGUUUAUAACUUGUAGUGGUAAUGGUGGUUAUGUUUGGAAAAUAUAGGUGAAGGUGUGUAAGUUGGAACUUAGAACAUUAAGGGGGAAAUGCCGUCCAAUUGGAACUUCUUGUGUGUGAUUGGGCUUGGGUUGUUUUAGGGAUAACAAGAGACCUUAGGGUUGCUUAAACCCUUAGUGCCAAGUGUUUCUUCUUAUAUUUGCAAGUUUCCUUGGUUUACAUUAAUGGCUUGUAGCUUUGAUUCAUGACUCGUAAUUGAGUCUCAUUGUACUUAUUUGAAUGUUUUAGGGCAUGACGGUGGUCCGAGACGUUCGUUGGGUGAACAAGUGUGAAAGUUAUCUUUGCUUGCUUGGUGAGUGUACUACUCACUUGAUUGUUACUAUGUGGCUUCGUUAUACUUGAAAUCGAUGAUUUGAUUGCCUAAUUGCAUUGUUGACAUAGAUGGAGGUGAGGGUGUACUUGAUCACUCUCACCUGUUAUAUCUUAUAUGACUGUUUACUGUGUGACUAGAAUGAUACUUGAAUAUACUUGAAUUGGUGUCGUUUGGACGAGUAUCCAACGGCCAUUACUGUGAUCACUGAGCUCAACCCCAUUGGAGGUCGAUUGAAUCGAGCCGGCAAGGGUUUGGUCGUGAAAAUUGACGCGCCAUGGGACUGUUAUGUGGAAUCGUGGAGUAUGAGACUUUCGAUUCCGAUAUACUCGAGUAUUACCAAAUCCAAACUGUUUGGAGUUCGGGCCCGGUUGGGGUAUGUGUGGUGGAAGGAAAGGGAGUAAAAUGGAAUCUACGUUGGGUUACACUUUGAACAUUGACGGAGGGUCAAUGAGAUGUGAUCAACUACGGCAAGCGAGGAAAGGGGCUCUUGAGAGCCGCCCGUAUCCUUUUACCACUUAUGGUGAUAUGUGGCCUUAUUUAGCUUUCUUGUUGGAUAAACUUGGAAUGAAUGAAGUGAUGCUUAAUUGAAUCUCUAUGCUUGAGUAAAAGUACCUCAUUGGGCGAUAGCUCAUCUUAUUCCUUUUGUUUUCCUUAUAGGGAUUUGAACCUUUUGGAAGGCCUUGAUACGUGGUUACCAAGUUGAACUAAAUGUAUAUAUGCUUUUGAGUAGCUUUUCAAUGUACAAACCCUAGUUGGAUAGAUCCGACCUUGCUUUCGAUUUGUAAAAUUGGAAUCGUACAUGUAUAAUGUGUUUGGUGUUUUAUUUGGGCUUGCAGUUAUGUGAUUUCUUGGUUAUAUGCUUUGUUGAUGUUUAAAAGGUUUUUGGGGUAGAUUCGGAUUUCAAACGGCAAAGGAAAAAAAAAUUUGGCGAGAAAGGACAGGGUCGAAUCCGGCCAGAAACUAGCCGGAUUUGCGGCGGAAUUGCCCUGAGGAAAAUUGGAAAUCCGGCCAGUGCUCUCCGGCCGGUAUCCGGCCAGGAAUCCGGCCGGAAAUCCAGCCAGAUUCCGGUCGGAUUCUGACGUGCCAGGCACUAUUCAUGUUCGGCUCCGUUUUUCAUUUUUUUUAUUUUAUGAUUUCGACUCGUUUAAGCGCGCUUGUACGUUCCGGAACGUUUUAGAUCGCAUUGAACUUGUAGACACCAAAUUUUUAGUGUAGUUUUAUUCACUAUUAUUUUUGUUUUUUAUGUUAGUUUUUAUUUUACUUUGAGUCUUUUAUUUUAUUUUUAAGUCAUUUUAGCAUAGAAUUUAUCGGAAAAAAAAACAAGGAAAAAAAACAGAAAAAUGUAGCAAAGGAAUGCUUAUCAUCUGAUUGCACUGUCAAACUAAAACAUUCAAGAAAAAGUGCUAAAGCCCUGACCAUGAAAACAAAUAAGAUACUCAGAACACAACUCACCACACACAAAUCAUACGCAUUCAGUUUCAUAGGAAGAAAAAACACGAAAGCUGACAGCUUUUUGGUUAACCAGUCUUCAGCCACACAAAUUCCGAAACACAACUUUUAGUUCAUAGGUUUUUUUUUUUUUACAAACGAAAAAAUAAAUUCCCGAUAAACAUGAAGCAGGAGUGAAGGAACAAUGAGCAACGAAAACAGUUGUCCUAAGCAAACCCAAGGAGUACACGCUUAGAAUGCUUCAAAAAUCUGAACUUUAAAAGGAAACUGCAAUUUAAAGGGAAAGGAGAGCUCACAAAGCUUUCUUUCAGUAAGGAUUCGUGGGUGAUGGUGGAUUGGGGUGAUUCUAACUCUGGUUCCUCCCGAUUCUCGAAGAACAGCACCAGACCUUCUUCCUCCUCUGGUUUUUCUCCUUUUCCGUUCUUGCUUUCCCACGAAACUCUCUCUCAGUUGUUCCUCCCUUUUCUCUCUCUAUCUUUCAGCCGUCAUCUACCCUCCAAAAACCCCCCUUUUUCAUCCGCCGUUGUUCUCUCUCACUGACUCUUGCAUUCUUAGCCCUCUCUUGUUCCCUCACUCAACCAGCCGUCAAAAACCUCCCCCUCGAAACCUUAGCUUUCCACAGCGUUUUAUAUCCGAAACUCCCUCCUGAAACCUAGCAUCUAAGGCACGGAAAAACUCCAUCUUGUUUUGCAUUUUUUACAGCCUUAGAUUUUCAUGUUUUCUGAUAAACCUUGGAUCGAGCCAAGUGUCUUCUAUUGGGAUCAUCAGACGGAGGAGAAAAUUGAGUAAACAACGGAGCUGAAAAAUUUGCCUUUUUGUAUCUGCGUUUUUGCAGAUGAAAAUGUAGCUUUGAUUGUAUGCUUUUCAGGUGCAUGAGCUCGCUUUUUUUUUUCACUUUUCCCUUCAAAGAAUUAUUUGAAACAAAAUAAUCAAAAUAACAAUUUAAGUAAAAAUCGAAUGAAAUAAACAACAAGAAAUAAAAGAUAAAAAACUAAGAUUUGUUUUUUUUUUUGAGUGAUGAUUUUCCCUUUUCCUUUUUUUUAAUUAAAUAACAAUAAAUUUGAAUCUAAAAUAAAGCAUAUUUUUGUGAAUGAUUUUCUCUCUUUUUUUUCUUCCCUUUUUUCGAUAAAUUCUAUGCUAAAAUGACUUAAAAAUAAAAUAAAAGACUCAAAGUAAAAUAAAAACUAACAUAAAAAACAAAAAUAAUAGUGAAUAAAACUACACUAAAAAUUUGGUGUCUACAGUUUGCCCCUCUUUGUCUGAGUUUUGGAAAAACUUGAGACAAAGAAAUAGACACCAAAUACUCACCUGUGUUAUUUGGCUGCGAACGACUCGAACUAUGGACGCUUUAGAAAUUGGGACUGAUCUCUUUGAUAAAAUUUUAAAAUGGGACUGACCUAACAAGAAAUUAAAAGGGGACUGACCCCAACAAGAAAUUUAAAAGGAGGACUGACUCCAACAGGAAAAUUUAAAGGGGAUUGACCCUAACAGGAAAUUUAAAUCGGGGCUGACCCAAAUAAGAAAUUUAAAUGGGACUGGCCCGAAUAGAAAAUUUAAAUCGGGACUGACCCGAAUAGGAAAUUUAAAUGGGACUAACCCGAAUAAGAAAGGAAGUGCUCACUAGUGGGGCUAACCCAUGUUUAGUGGCAAUGAAACAUGAAAUGCACGCUAGUGGGGCUGACCCAUGUUUAACGGCAAUGAAAAUGAAAUGCACGCUAAUGGGACUGACCCAUGUUUAGCGGCAAAGAAAAUAAAAUGCUCCCUAGUGGGACUGACCCAUGUUUAGUGGCAGUGAAAAUGAAAUGCGCACUAGUGGGACUAACUCAUGUUUAGUGGCAAUGAAAAUGAAAUGCACACUAGUGGGACUGACCCAUGUUUAGCGGCAAUGAAAAUGAAAUGCACGCUAGUAGGACUGACCUAUGUUUAGUGAAACUGACCCAACGGCUAGUAGCAGUGUAAAUGAAAUGCACGCUAGUGGGACUGACCCAUGUUUAGCGGCCAUGAAAAAAAUGCACACUAAUGGGACUAACCCAUGUUUAGUGGCAAAGAAAACAUGAAAUGCACGCUAGUGGACUGACCAUGUUUAACGGUAAUGAAAAUGAAAUGCACGCUAGUGGGACUAACCCAUGUUUAGCGGCAAAGAAAACAUGAAAUCCACGCUAGUGGGACUGAUCCAUGUUUAACGGUAAUGAAAAUGAAAUGCACGCUAGUGGGACUGACCCAUGUUUAGUGGCAAUGAAAAUGAAAUGAACGCUAGUGGGACUGACCCAUGUUUAGCGACAAUGAAAUGCAAUGCUGGUAUGUAUGCAAAAACUGUAUAAGACUUACCUGAAAAAUUAUCCAAAAAUUUGUCCUAGUGUGACGUGUCGUCAUUUUAUUCGAAAUUUUCCUGAACCUAUCUUCACUAGGUCAGUGGGGUAACACCCAAGCCUGUCUUGAGAGUCGGUCAGUGGAUUAAACCCAAUCCUGCCAAGGUUGGCGGAUAGAACCCAGUCCCAACGAGGUAUGAACGGUCAGCGGGAUAAAAUCCGGUCCUGCCGAGGUUGGCGGGAUAAAACCCGGUCCCAACGAGAUAUGAACGGUCAGCGGGAUAAAAUCCGGUCCUGCGAGGUUGGCAACCCGGUCCCAACGUGAUAUAAGCUGUCAGCGGGAUAAAACCCGGUCCUGCGAGGUUGGCGGGAUAGAACCCGGUCCUAACGUGAUAUAAGCGGUCAGCAGGAUAAAACUCGGUCCUGCUGAGGUUUGCGGGAUAGAACCCGGUCCAACAAGGUAUGAACGGUCAGCGGGAUAAAAACCCGGUCCUGCCGAGAUUGGCGGGAUAAAACCCGGUCCCAAUGUGAUAUAAGCGUCAACGGGAUAAAACCCGGUCCUGCCGAGAUUGGCGGGAUAAAAUCGGUCCCAAUGUGAUAUAAGCGGUCAGCGGGAUAAAAUCCGGUUCUGCCGAGGUUGGCGGGAUGAAACUCGGUCCCAACAUUCAUUGGUCAGUGGGAUAAAACCCGGUCCUGCCGUUCAUUUAAUCAAAAAUUAAAUGUGAUUGUCAAGAUGGGGAUAGGAGGGUGCGUGGCAGACGUUAAAAUUUCGCCAAAAAAGAAAUUUAAUUUAAUUUUCCAAGAAACAAAAAUUUAAACUUGAUUUGAUUGAUUUUUUUGUUUUUUUUAUUGAUGAUGAUGAUUUUUUUUGAAUUUUUGAUAUUCGGAAGAAUCUUUUCAAAAAAAAUGAUUUGCCCCAAUUUCCAUUAUUGUGUUACCGAUCUUUCGAUCUGCUUUAUGGUAUUAUUGUUUUCCUCAAAACUUUGAUUCAGUCCCUUUUCUCAGCUCAAAUCAUGAAUAUUCAAUUCUUGGACGACAUCUUACAGUUCAAAACUUGCCCCAGUUUCGUUAUUUGAAACGAGCAUGGACCUGCAAAAGAAAUAAACAAAUAAUGCCACCACCAUCCAAUCAAUUCCUCCUUCAAGAAAUGUGUAAACAUGAGUACUUUGAUGUUUUCCCCUUGAUACUUCGAAAACUCAACUUUGCUCUGUGAUCUGAUCAAACUCCAUUGACUUCCAAUGCUAAUAAGGCCCUUGUAUCCAGGGAUUUUCAAUAAAUCAGGGGGAUUGCCAUCUGAUGAACCCAAAGAGAUAAAUAAGACCAUGAAACUCAUGAAAGAAUAUUCUAUUUACACAACAAAUGAUGAAAAUUUCUGUAACAUGAAAACAAUCAUUUAUUUUUAUUGAAAGAAAAUUAAUUUUGAAAAAAUGAAUCUAUAAAUUCGGUAAUUUACGCUUGAGAAACCAAAGUAUUCCGACUUCAAACAAAAUGCCACGCUUGACCCUUUAGAUAUCAUUCGCCCGGAGUUCGAUGUUGGCCACAGAAAAACCACAAUGCGAGGAGGAAUCUCAAAUGAACCGAAUCACCAGUUUUCUAAUUCCAACCUCACUUUUUCUCAUGAAACUCUACCUUAGCGCCCUUUCAGGUUUUCACUAAGGCUACUCCUACCUUUUUUUUUUCAUUUUUCAUUCUUUUUGCUUUUCUUUCUUUCUUUUUUUUUUUCUCUUUUUUCUUUUUUCCUUUUCUUUUCAAAGGUGCCCUUUUCAGAUUUUCACCUGAUGAACAAAUCUUGCCAAUAGCCUUUAUCAACUCAAAAAAUGUGUUUUAAGAAAUAAUGGCAUCAGUGCGACAACCCCUUCCCUUACAAAAUGAGUGAAGACGUAUUGACAUCAUUUGCCAUGUGAUUUAGAAAAUUUGCUUAAAAGAGGUGAUGCCAAGAACGGAAGCCAGGACUUUUGGUUUUUGUAAUGGGGUCUAGUGAGGUGUUAAGAAAAGGUUAAGGCUUGAAGGCAGAUUUCUGAAAGUGGUUUAAAUGACCUGAAAUCGCAUUAUUGCACCAUCCCUAUUUUAGGGUUAAACCAAAACUUGCCCCAGUCUAUUUUCAACUGAGAUUCUUUGUCCUUUCAUUUUCCUUCCUUUCUUCUGCCAUUCCAUUCAUCUUUUGAAAUAUUCACAAUUUGCCCCAGUUUAUUUUUUAACUAAGGUUUUCUUUUAUUCAUUUCCUUUUCUUUCGGCUUUCUUUCGAAUAUUGAAUUUGCCCAGUAUGGGAUUUUUCUUUUCUUUUUCAAAACUACAUUUGUCCUAGUGUGGGGUUUGCGAUCUUCAGGGAUUGCCAAAUGAAGUAAUUUAUUCUGAAGGCUCAAAAGGGAUGACUAAGGAUAAAAUGUCUCAAUGGGAAAGGAAGAAGGCCUGACUUUCAUUCCAUUCUUUGCAUUAACCCUUGAAAGGAAACUUUCAUUUAUCAGAUGAAGAAUUUCUUUCACACAUAUCUGAAUUGAUCGGUUGAGAGAAAAUUUGUUCACUCCACUUCUGCGAGAACUAGUACUUUGCCAUGCAACACCUUCUUGAUAAUAAAAGAACCUUGCCCAUUCGCGGUGAACUCUUCUUUUGGCUUUAUCUCAUACCGACAAAAGCUACCUCAAUGCUUUAUUUCUUUGGGCCAUUCUCUUUUGAUAGCACUGACAAAGACAAAUGGCAUUCAGAUGCUCCUUAUCAAGUGACCACUGAAAUCGUGAUCCCACUUCAGCUUGAGUUUCUCUUUAUACCAUUUGUGUUCCUUUGAAACAUUCUCUGAUGUCUCUUCACUAUUCCCCUCAUUUUGAAAUCCAAAUUCACAUUCAUGAAAUAUCAAAUUUUGGAACAGUGAUAUCCAAAGGGUCAGAGGAUUUUAUUCUUGGCCAAUCUGAACCAAUACUCUUACCUUAUACUCAAGCCUCUGUUACUUCACAAGUUAUGAAUCCACCUGAAGAAGCCUUUACCUAUCCCACUCACGGCCCACCACCUACUUAUGCACCUAACAUCCAAAUUAACCCUUCUCAUGCCCAAAUUCCCCAAAGUUAUCCGCCAAUUGCUAUGAGCAUGCCAUUCAAACCUCAGGGACCCCAUUAUUACUCUCUACGCUGAGCCAUUUACUCUAGAUACCGCCGCCCAAGGAAAAGCUAAAGUUGGGGAAUCAUUCGCGCCAGUGGAUAAAAACUUGCUAAAGAGAUUGGAUCGGUUUGAAGAGUUCAUAAGAAAAAAUCAAGGUUUGAACAAGUAAGGAGGUUUGGACCACAACGAGCUAUGCUGGUUUUUUAGUUUGAAUGUUUUAGUUUGACGGUGCAAUCAGAUGAUAAGCAUUCCUUUGCUGCAUUUUUCUGUUUUUUUUCCUUGUUUUUUUUUUUUGACCCGGAUCCUCUCUGUGGAAACCAUUAAAGCUAGACAAACAUGCUUGGGUUUUUUUUUUUAAAUUGAUGAAUUGAGGAUCAUGUGAGUUUGGGCUGAUGAAAUAAUAGAUUUGGUUUGAGUUUUUGUAUGGACAUAAUUGCAUGGAAUGAGUUGCAAAAUUGGCAGCGGUAAUCUGAUUUAAUGGCCCUCUUUGCUCUAGAUUUCCUUGGUUUGCAUGGUUAGUUUUUGUGUGUGAUGAAGGUUUUAUGCAAGCUAAUGAAUGUUGGGCUUCAUAGCAGCGUUUAAAGUCUUUGCAAAAUUUCCUGUAGUUGCUAAUAAGCACAAAGUUGUAAAACCCAGAAACCAGCAAAUAAGAAAGUAAAGCUUCGACCAUGCUGCGUUUUUUGAUGUUGAAUGAUUAUGGCUAUGGAUUGCUAAGUCCUAUCUGCGUUUUGUUGAAAAUGGUAAGACAAGACAUGUGAAAUUUGACUAGAUUUAGGUUCCUUAGCUAAGCUUGCUUGAGGUCUUCGUUGCAUCUUCGUUGCUGCAUUUUCUUUUCUCAUGAUUCACUGGUUUGUUCAAUAGACUGUGUCUUCUAGUUGAGGUUGUGGAUCUUUGUUAACAUUUUGAACGAUUUUGCUGGGAUUUUUGAAUGGGUCUUGAUAGAUUGUUUUACCUUUUGUGGUGAUAAGUUGGCAAAUGUUUGGCUAGUUCAAUGGAAUAAUGUGGCUAACUAAAGAAGACAGCAAACUUUGUUGCAGAAAAUUUCUUCGUAACCUUGCAUGAAGAUUGCAUGAAAAACAAAAGGAAAAAUUGCCUUUUAACCCCUUAAUUUGUGUUUAAUUCUACUAUGGACCAGAAAAUUGGAAAAAUCAAUCAAAGUGGCCCCUUUAACUUCUUUAAUUGUUUCAAUUGGGUCCUGGUUUGUUUCAAUUUGAUGAAUAUGAGUUGUUUAGUUUAUUGAAUGCUUUGAGUGAUUCAAUUUCAUGUUUAUUUCCAUUUCUUGUGAUUAUUUUGUUAAUUAAAGUGAUGCCUUGACUUUUUCUUUGUUUUUGGAGGGUAAAUAAGUAAUUUCAUUUCAUUAGGACAUCCACUCAAAGGAGGUACACUCUAUCCCUUAUUUUGACUUCAUUUGGUCUUACGUGCUCUUAUGUGACUUUAUGUGUUUAAUUGCAUGCCUAUUGAAAGUGUUUUAUAUUUAUUUUUAUUAUUAUUUUACUUACUUAUUGGCUUUAUUUUUGUAUAUUUAUUUUAGUUCAAUUUUGAUCAUUUGAAAGGCACUUGAAUGCCAAAUUUGUAAUAGUUAGGUAUUUAUUUUAAUUAUUUACUCAUUUCCCCUUUUAGAUUGUAGUAGGGCCCCCCAAUGUAAUAGUUAGGGCUUGUUUGCUUUAUUUGCUUGGUAUGUUUUGCAUGCUUAUGUGUUAUGUGUUAUCCGCUUUCUUAGAGUUUUGCAUCUAGAAAUUAAUUUUUAUGUGUUAUGUGCUAUACAUGAUUUAUAUGUUUUCAUGCUUUUAUAGGCCUUACAUGAUUUAUUUGAUUGUAAUAAAUGCAUGGUGUCACCACACUAGUCCAACGCUAGUUGUGGCUCAUUGUUCCGAUUUUUCACUAGUCCAAUGCUAGUAGGAAUUAUAAAUAUGGGCUAGUCCAACGCUAGACCCUUAGGGAUCUCCUACGCUAGAUCAUGUUUGUAUGACUACAUUACAUUCUCAUGCAUAUUUUUCACUUUUUAGGGUCUUUUAUCAUGACAUCCUCCUUAUACGUAUAUCCCUUCCCCAUAUUUUCCCUUAUAUGUAUAUUCCUUACCCUUUGUAUGGAAACAUAACAUUAGACUUGCAUUUCAUUUAAGAAAUAGAAUUAGGGUAGUGCAUUUGCUUGAUUAGAUAGGGAAAUACCCCUUGAGUAUGGGAUAUGAAUGAGUUUGGCUUUCUAACCUUAGCACGCUCGUAUUCCCUCUAUAAAAGGGAAAACUGAAGUCACGAACAUUAGAUCCCCGUACCCGUUAUGAUGCCUUCCUUUAGGGGCGUGUAUAUUUGUAUAAUUAUGAUUAUUUUCCUUUUCUUAGAAUCUCAUAUUUUUGCAUUAUUCGUGACCUCUUCGAAGAGUCUUUAUUGGGCAUUACAAUUAAUGUGAUUGGUACCAAGUGAACUUUGAAGAGAAAUUUCGAUUCCCCCGAUACCUCCUAAGGUCUAUGGUUUGCAUUCAUAUAGUACAUCCAAAUGUGAUAAAUCUUUAGGUUAAAUUAAGAAAAUCUUUGACUAAAUCGCGCAACUAACAUUGGUUAGGUUGAAAGGGUGCCUUGGAUUCUUAUCCUUGCCUUCCCUUUCUUCAAAUGUGACUCCCGAAUCUUUUUCUCUGAUUUUCGUAGAUUUGGAGUCAUUUAAAAAGGGUUUUUCUACUUUUUCUUUAAAAAUUCAUUUUUAGGUGACUUGGUACACCUUAACUCGAUAUCAAGUGGGGACUCCGAUUUUUCAUUUAAACCCUUUUUAAACUAUUAUUUUGGGUCAAAAUCGUCGUAUUUCAAGUCCCAUUUAGACCCAUGUUCUUCAUUUUCUUUAUAAAUCAAAAAAUUUAUUUUCCAAUCAAAAAAUUGAAUCAAAAGCCAUUUUUCUAAACUCGUCAUUUAUUUUUUUUUCUUUAUUUUCAAAAAUAGGGUGCGACAGAACUGUCCCGUUAGUCCUGGCGAGAGUUGGGCAGGCAGUCCGCUAACUCCUUUGGUUCGCCUUAGGGGAGGUGGGACUGUCACAAACUCACAAAUAGGUCUAGUUUAAAGGAAGUAACAAACCAAAGUUGAUUUCUUAAAAAAUCAAUUUUAAAGUUAAUUUUAUAAAAGUUGAUUUCCAUGCUUAUGUAAAACCAACAAAAAGGACAAUUUUUCUUUUAUUUUUUAAAAAUCAAGUAUUUUGGUAAACGGAUUGAGUUUAGCAUGCCUCUUUGGAUGUUCAUUAUUCUACAUAUAAAGUAAGAAUAUAUUCAAAAUAUCUCUUUAUCUAUACCAAUGUGCAAGUUGGAGGAUGUUUGAAAUUUUUUGGUAAUACUAUCCUCACAGAAGGUAUUAAUGACUUUAAUGUUCUUUCAUACAUGAAUGUCUUUUUAAAUAUUGUUUAAUCUACUUAUGUAAUUUUGACAUUGAGCUUUUAAAUUAGAAAUAUAACUUUUAUUGAAGUAAUCUUUCUUAAUUUAAUUGAGCAAUCAAAUUCUGAAACCAAAGGUGCUUGGGAGAAAUUUUUUUUAUACACAUGAAUGGAAGGAAAUCUUUUGGAUGAUUAAUGGAUUAAUCUUGUACACACUGACAAUGUAUACACUGUCAUGAUUGGAUAAAUGUCACAUAUGCUAAAUUUGAAUUUUAACUCUAAAUUUCACUUAUGUGACAUUUAUCUAAUCAUGAUAGUGUAUACACUCUCAGUAUAUAUAAGAUUUACUCAUGAUUAAUAUGUAAAUUCUAUCCUAUCUUAGUGCCUAAGUUUCCUGAUGGAAGUUUUCCUACAUUUCCUAUUUUCGAUUGAUUGAUCCUAGCAAAUGAUAAAUGUAAGUUAAAAGCACAUGGCAUCUAGAAGUUAGGAAGGCUAGAGGCAUAUGGGAGAAUGUCAAUAAAUUUAUGAGGUAGGGCACUUCCAUCAACUACUUUAUCAUAUAACAUAUUAGGAGUUAAGACAAUGUUAUCACUCUAGACUUGAAUGUCAUCCCAACAUUAUUGAGAGCAUUGGUGCAAGGCAAGUGAUAUUGUCAGGGUAAUUAUCUUCCUGCCAUAGCGCAUUUUACUCAAAUGCUAAGGUUACCCUCAAUCAAUCAACUUUAUAUAUAUUUAUUGAUUUUCCUAUGAUUCAUUAUGCAUUAAUUACUUCUCUUUUCUCUUUCCAAUUAAGUAUUUUCUAUUAGGGUCUCUCACUUUUCUUCUUAUUAUUCUCAUCUCUCUCUUUCUCACUCACACACUAAUAUAUCUAUUAAUUUAUAAUUAAAUAAUGCAAUUUUUAACUUAAUCAAUUCUAAAGUUUUAUUUAUGCAUUUAUUUAUUUUUUGCAAAUAGAACUUCGUUUAACUCCAACAAAUUUCAAUUUAAAAUAAUUAUUAUUAUGAUAUCAUUGUAACUCAAUACUUAGCAUGAAAUUCUUUUGACAUGCAACAUGCAUUUUUCCUUGGAGUUCUACUAGUUUAUCAUGCCUUUAAGCAACUAAAACUAUUGAAACUUAACCAUCUUUUCCUCUUUUAUACUUGUCAUAUAAGUCUUGACUUUUAUCUGUUAUCAAAUAUCAAGUUUAACUUAUAUUACGUUAUAUAUCUCAUGAAUGUUGAAGAGAAAGUAAGGCUAUUUUUUGGGAUUAUUUUCAUUUUCAAUUAUUAUUUAUUUUGACUUAAAUUACAUUGUAUUUGAAAAAAGAAUCUUUUCAGUAAAAUUAUAAAAAUUAAAAAACUAUAAGAGCAUGUAGAAUUAGUAUACGAGAAAUUAUUAAAUUCAAAACCAAUUUAGUAAAUCAUGAAAAUAAUUGAUGAAUUAAUGUGUGUGUGUGUGUGUGUGAGAGAGAGAGAGAGACAGAGAGAGAGAGAGAGAUGUGAGUGAGUGAGUGAGUAGGAAAAAACUUUAAGUGGAGAGAAGAGAAGAGAAGUAAUUAGUACUUAAUGGAUCUAAAAAUAAUCAAGAAGAAUACAUGGAAUUGAUUGAUUGAGAGUAAAGUUAGCAUUUAAGAAAAGUUUGCUUUGACACAAACAUUAUUGCCCUCGAAAUAGCGCUACCAUUAGUGUAAUAGCGAUUUUGAGAUACUAUUUUAGGAAGAAAAUUUUGAGUAAAAUAUAAUUUAAAAUAUAAAAUGAAAUUACAUUAAUGUUAAUUUCUAAAAGGACAUACAAAUUAAACAAGGGAACCAAACUAGAAAAAUUCGGCAAAUACCUUUAUAAUUUGAAUGUAGUUGCGAUAAUAAGGUUAACUAAGCACUACAUAGUGUAGGUCAUGCAUUUGGUUGGCAAUGCUGCUUUAAGAAUCACGCUGGUCACUAGGCAAUCAGAUCUUUUUGAUUCUCGAAGAUGAGGGUCAAAGAUCUCUUGUUCUUAUUAUAUAGAUCCUGAUUGGAUCCGUAUAUGUUUGUUAAAGAGAAUAAUCUUCUCCUUUGAGAAUAAUAAAAAAAUAGAAAGUGUUCAAUUGGAACAUGAAAAUGUGACUAAAAUGGUCCUAGUUAUUGUACUUUUCGGGACGGAGUGGAAGAAGGGAGGGGAUUCUUGAAUACGGAAAGGGAUCCAAUGAACUCAAAUGAAUUGAACGAGGAGGUGAAAAUCUCACGUACGGUUCUGUGAGUGGGAGUAAGGGUAGCUUAUUUGUCAACUUUUUCACUAUCACCCCCAAAAAACCAAACUCUGCCUUACUUAAAGUUGCCAGAGUAUGAUUAACCUCUAGAUUUGAAAUCACUGCUUAUAUACCUGGUAUUGGCCAUAUUUUACAAGAAUAUUCUAUAGUUUUAGUAAGAGGGGGAAGCAUUAAAGAUCUACCCGGUGUGAGAUAUCACAUUGUUUGAGGAACCCUAGAUGCUGUCGGAGUAAAGGAUCGUCAACAACAGCAUUCUAGUGCGUUGUAGAUUCUUAUCCAAGACUUAUAUCAUUUGAUGAUGCUAUGUGAAUCGCUGGAAACAUGUGAAGUUUUUUUGGACUUGGCGAGUUUAUUUGGGAUUUUACGGAAGCAAAAGACAAAAGGGCCUUUUUUUAUAAAAUUUUAUCAAUUAUUUGAUAAUUGUUAGUACCAAUCUUAGUAUUUUGAUUACUCAUAGUAUUGAUUUUGACCCAGGAUUCAAUAUCGACCCUUUUUCUAAGAAAAAUUAGUGAAAAAUUAGCUUUUUAUAAUUACAUCGUAAAUAAUCCAGCGAAAGGGAGAUUAUUCAGGGCAGGUUCCAUGGAUAACGGGGAUGGAAUAGCGAUUAGAUGGUUGGGACGGGAAAUUUUUGUACAUUGUAUGCCUGCUUUUUUUUGAAAUAUUUCCAGUCGUUUGGGUAGAUGGCGAUGGAAUUGUUAGAACUGAUGUUCAUUUUAGAAGGGCAAAAUCAAAGUAUAGUGUUGAACAAGUAGGUGUAACCGUUGAGUUCUACAGGUUAAUAAAAUGAAUCACACUUUUACCGCUAAACUAUACCCCCUGCAAUGGAGUUAUUGCAUACAACUAAACUUUUUGUUGAAUAGGGAAAUUGGACAUAUUCAAGAUAGGGUCAUCAAAAAACCGACAUAAAAAAACCAUCACAAUUAGAGUUUUGACCCUUUUUUUUUAAUUCUGCAAUAGUCCUUUCUUGUUCUUGCUUGAAUAUUUUUUAUUUAAUUUUCUAUAAUAAUAUAUAGUUUGAUUUUUAAAUCAGAUAAAUCAUCAUUAUUUAUCUAUAAAUUUGUUCAACGAGUUGGUUCAUUGAAAUAAAAUUAUUCCUAUGAGCUCCCUCACAAGAAUUCUUUAAAACAGAAAACUAAAAGCAAAAGGGGGAUAUUUCAAUCGAUCUAAUUGAUAUUUUUCCAAUCGCGGAUAAACAAAGCAACCUUUCGUCAUUAAUCUUCGAAGGUAAAGGUGAAUUUCAUAUGAAUUUUCCUGGUAAGGUUCUUCGCUUUGCAUCGAAUUAAACCACAUGCUCCACCACUUGUGCGGGCCCCCAUCAAUUCUUUUGAGUUUCAUUCUUGCGAACGUACUCCCUAGGCAGGAUACUUAACGCGUUAGCUACAGCACUGCACGAGUCGAUAUGCACAGCGCCUAGUAUCCAUCGUUUACGAUUAGGACUACUAUGGUAUCUAAUCCCAUUCACUCCCCUAGCUUUCGUCUCUUAGUGUCAAUGUUAGCCCAGCAGAGUGCUUUCGGCAUUGGUGUUCUUUCCGAUCUCUACGCAUUUCACCGCUCCACUAGAAAUUCCCUUUGCCCCUACUGUACUCCAUCUUGGUAGUUUCCACUACCUAUCCAGGGUUGAGCCCUGGGAUUUGACGACGGAUUUAAAAACCACUUAUAGACGCUUUACGCCCAAUCAUUCCAGAUAACACUUGCAUCCUCUGUCUUACCGUGACUGCUGGCACAAAGUUAGCCGAUACUUAUUCCCUAAAUACAGUCAUUGAUUCUUCUUCAGGAAAAGAAGUUCACAACCCGUGGGCCUUCUAUCUCCACGCGGCAUUGCUCCGUCAGGCUUUCGCCUAACAGCAUGACACUUGUAUUGCUCUCCCACAGGCCACAACCUCGUUUUCAUGGUUUAGGCUGCUCUCAUUUCGUUCGUUGCUACUACAAGAAUCACUUUUACUUUCUUUUCCUCAGGCUACUAAGAUAUUUCAGUUUGCCAAGUUGUCUCUUGACUGCCUAUGGAUUCAGCUAGGGUGUAAAUGAGCCGAACUCGAGUCGAGACUUGGUUAAUCGAGCCGAGCUCGAGUUAAUUUUGUGAAACUCGAACUCGAGCUCGAGCUUGAUGAGCUCAAAAUAUCAAGCUCGAGCUCGAGCUCGACUCAAAUUCAAGUCGAGUUCGAGCUCGAGCUCGAACUUAAAAAAUAAAAAAAUAAUUAUUAUUAUUUUAUUUUUAAAAAAUAAAAAAUAAUUAUUUAUUUUUAAAAAUGAAUAAAAUAAUAAGUUUUUUAACAAAUAAUAAAAUAUUAGGGAUAUAUAUAUGUAAUUUUAUUAUUAAAAUAAAAAAUAAAAAAUAUAUAUAUAAUUGAGCUCGCGAGCCGCUCGCGAACCAACGAGUGUAAUGUUUUUGAGCUCGAGCUCGAGAUCGACUUAAUUAGCUCGAGCUCGACUCGAGUUCAAUAUUGACGAGCUCGAAUCGAGCUCGUAUUUGAGCCGCUCGCGAGCCGAUCACGAGUCGCUCGAUUCGCGAAACACCCCUAGAUUCAGCAACGGUUCGAAAGGUUGCCCUGUUUGGGAAUCUCUAGAUCUAUGGUUAUUUUCAACUCUCUGAAGCAUUUCAUCAAUUACUACGCCCUUUCUCGUCUCUGUGUGCCUAGGUAUCCAUCAUAAGCCUCUCUUCGUUUGAACCUCGUCCUUCACUUUUAUUUUGUACGCCAUCCUACGAUGCUGCUAAAUGGAUGGAUCUUAUCGGCGCUUGACCCUGAGAUAUGGAUCAUCCAAGGCACAUUAGCAUGGUAUACUCCUAUUCGAACUUGGGUUUGAAACCAAACCUCUUCUUGGGAGGAUAGAUGGGGCGAUUCGAAUGAGAUCUAAUGUAGAUCCAACUUUCGAUUCACUUAUGAGAUCCGAGCGGUUUAGGGGACCAACAUGGUUCCUCUCUUCUCGAGAAUCCAUACAUCCCUAUGAUCGAAGUUUUAUACUCUAUAAUAUAGGCCUUUUCCACACAAGUAAUGGAGAACAUACGAAAGCUUUGGAAUAUUAUUUUUGAGCCCUAGAGCGAAACCCAUUCUUAUCACAAGCUUUUAAUGAUAUGGCUGUCAUCUGUCAUUACAUGCGACUAUCUCCACUAUAGAACGAAAAAAGAAAAUCUACUAAUAAAAUAAAUACUAGAAAAACUAGGCUUUCUACAUAUGUAUCGUCUAAAACAAUGAUUUUUAUCAGCAGUAGCAAAGAAACUUCAUAGAAGACGAGAAAUAUGAAGAAAUAUAUAAUAUGUCUAGUUACUUUUUCUAUGGAUAAAAAAGGAUCUAAUUGAUAUAGGAAACACCGUAAAGAUCAAUUAGCCUGUAACGACCCCACUUCUCCCAAGGGCGAACCCAAGGGUAUCGGCGGGCCGCCUGCCUAGCUCGCGCCAGGACUCAAAACUUAAAGUUCGAAAGAGCACUAAAUACAAUAUAUACAAUCCCAAAAGAGUUAUAAAUACAUUCUCCAAAAGUAUCGAGUCAAACCACCAAAACAAAAACAAACAUCCUAACUGUUCAACUAUUACAAGCCAAUCUAACUAUACUAGUAUACGAGCCAAAAGUCCCCGCGUCGGCCCCUGCUAAGGAAAACAAAAGGAAUGGGGUAAGCUAUAUGCUUAGUAAGUAAACAGGGGCGAAAGCAUAAAUUUCACGUAACAGUUACACAAUAAGAGUAAAGCAAAAGCAGAAAAGUAACAUCACAUAAUAAGGAUACAGGUGGCUCCAAAGCCAACUCAUGUGCCAUGCGUGAUCUCCUGCCGACACUCCGUCGAUUGCAAAUAAUAGUCCGUAGAACUUCACUUGUACACCCACCGACACCUUAUCACCCUCACUGGCCAGUCACCUCACAAACUUGCCCGGGCGAACGAAAUCACAAACUUGAGCUUGAGUCACAAGCUCGGGUCACAAACUUGGUCACCUUCUCGGUGAACCGGAUUCACAAAAUUGGUUCAUAACAUGAACCUACAAACUUGGUGACCUCAGACUAAGUUGGACUGCCUUCGACCAAGCCCUAACCGGCUCGAAUAGUCCAACCAGGUCAAGAGUUCGCCCCAAACUCACAAACUUCACAAAAUUAUUCAAAAUCACAAACUUUGCAAACUUCACAAACUUUAUUCGAAAGUCGCCCCGAGCCACAAGCUCAAGGGUUUUGGUUCCAAAAGGUUCAUAUACAUAUGUCAAGUACAAUUAUACAUUCAAAUUAGGGUUUAGGUCGAGUGCGAUAAAGUACACCCUCGCCUAAGUGCCCUUUUCACAUAUCUCAACCACAUAGCAAAGAAAACACACCAAACCGGCCUGAAUACUUACUCAAAAUACCAAAAGUAGUUCGGAAGCAAAAUCGCUUCGCGCGUUCACUAGUAGUGGGCCCCACCGGCUCCGCCUAGCUCACCGCUGUCUGAAAUAGAAGAUUUUAUCACAAACGGCCACUAACAUGCCCAAAACAAGCAAAACGGCAAAACAACACGCGCGCACGUAAAUAUGACAGACGGAAACGGAAACGGCAGAUUUGACACUCGUUUCUAGUUUACUCAUAAAUUGAGCUACGAAUAUCGGAUUAAGGCGUAUGAGACGCCAUAUCGAAGCUUAAAGGAUGAACAACAACUGUUAUGAAGACAUCCAGAACUGAAACUAGAGGCUUUAGUCCCAAAUGAACCAAACACAAUCACUUACGAAGUCUGGCCAAUGCACAAAUGGUCAGUUUUGAGUGCUAACUGUUUUCUAUGCUACACACGGUCAAAAGAGCUGAAAAUUGGUAGUUAGAUAGUUCAUUCCAAAUGGAACAACUUUCAUGAAGGUCGGCAAUCCAAAUUCGGAACGGAAAUUGGUCAUCAGGACCAAAACAGAUUUCUGGUCAUUUUCACGGGCAGGCCUUGUUUGCUCGGCUAUAUCUCAGGUUUUAUAAAUCCGAUUCAUGAAAUUCCAAGGGUGUUAGAAAGCCCUGAUAUAGGGCUAUAAGUUUGGUGUUUUGGUCGGAAGCCCAAACAGCUUGUAACUCAGCCAAAUGUGAAGCCAAAGUUCCAGCCAUAAACUUUCCAAAAACGUACCAGAAUCACAAACCGUAUUUGACCUCAAUAUGCGGUAAUGGCACCAAAUUCACUACGGUUAUCGGAUGGGGGUGUAAGACCCACCGUUUCGAAGCUAUGAAACAGGGAUACAACAAUGUAGAAGGUCACUCAAUCCGGUUCCUAGCUUAACUAGGUCGAAAAUGCCAAAUACUAUACCAGAAUUACCAAAACAGGUUUGCAAAUCACACAAAACUGUAAUUACUAUAACAUAGUCUAUACAUGUCCAAAUGCCGAAAUUCCAAAGGCAUAUGUUAGCUAAGACAUCCUGAUACAUUUCAUCAGAAGACACCAACUUCAAAAUCCAAACCAAAACCAGUCAAAAUGGCCAAUUACUAUCGCAGUUUUCGCAUUCUGUCCAAAGCAGAACAGCUACAGUAAUUUCGUCAUAACUUAUUCUACAUUAAUCUAAAUGACCUGAAAUUUUGCAGGCAUCUCAAUCACAUCAAUACCUACAACUUUCAUGUUUUGAGAAAAGUCAAAUUCGGCCUCUAACCCUAUGAUCCAAAACCAGACAGAAUUGGGGAUUUAAGAACCCUAGCUUUGCAAUUUUCACACCAAAUCCAAAAUUGGUUGCAUUUAUCCACAUUUCACAUCCACUAGAGCCAUUAUAGUCCAUUGCCAAUCAUCACAAACAACCACACCAUCAUAAUCCAAUUAAACCAGAAAAAUCAUCAUAAAAUGGAAAACUUCACCAAAUCAAUUCAAACCAAGCUAAAAACCAGAAAUUUCAGCACUCUUAUCACUAAUAAGCACAACAUAAGCAUCAUUAGGUGUAGUAGGAUGUUUCAAGCUUCACUUACCAAAAACCAAGAGAGAGGAAGAUGUUGGACACCUUAAGUCUUCAAACAAACUUCAAUAGACCACUCACAAGCACCCAAAGGAUAGAUUUUAUGGAGUAGAAUCUAAGUUAUGUGGUUGGUUUUGGAAGAUUGAGUGAAAUGGAAGCUUGAAAGUUGAAGAAUUUCUUUCUUCUUGAGCUUGAGAGGUUCGGCCAUCAAGAGGUGAAAAUGGUGAUUUUUUUGUGAAUUUUUGGAGAUAUUAACUAAUUUUGGUCAAAAGUCAAAAAUGUGAAUAGUAAACCAUAAAGUCCAACCAAUCAUAUUGUGACACUUGUCACACUCAUUAAUGCAUUCUUAUCUUUCUUUUUCCCUCUCACAUCAAUCACUUCUCACUCUCUACUUAUCUCUUAACACCCGAUAAAUUUUACACAGUAUCCGGAAUUUAACCUAAUUGGCCGAAUUUUUCCGAACUUUUCGCACUAGUGGGUCCCACGUCCGAAAUACGUUCUUAAUUUCUCAAAAACUAACUAAUACUAGAAAAAUCAUCUAAAAACUAUAUUUACUCAUAAAAAUUAUCUGGGGAAUUUUCUAAUAAAGAAAAUGUAGAAAAAAACACGGGUUUUCAAUCUUAACCGGAACUUAGGGUUUAAAUCUUAAUUCCUACUUAGGGUUUUCGAAAUACUCCCAAAACCAAACGUUACCGCCAAAUUAAUGAAUAUAUCAACGUAGUACGAACUGGGGCCUCACAAUCUCCCCUCCUUAAAAGAAUUUCGUCCUCGAAAUUCCAACUUGCACUAAUCAGAUCAAAUAAUCCUCAAAAGCAGUCAAGUACACAACAGGCAAUGCCUCAAAAGUUCAACCACUCGAGUAGUAGCCGGUCUACAACCACACAAGUACGAAUAAGUUCAAAAGCCGGGUUCAAACAAAUAAGUUCAAAAGAUUAUACUCAAAUAUACAUAUUUUUACAAAGUCACACUAAAAAUAUACAAGUUAUCCGACAUCCGGUUGGUACAAAAUCCAUUAUUUACGUGAGCACUACGGCUCCAAAAAUGUAGUCAAUCACCGGGUAACAAAAGAAACCAGGCAUGCUGGUUAUAACAAAAUAAACAUGUCAGAUAUAACAAAAUAAACAUAUCAGAUAGUCAAAAGGAAAUCCCAUCAACGGCCCUACGCGCCUCCCCUACGGAACCUACCUAAUCCACUAGCACCGCCCCGGCGGCCCUAGGGUGCAAACCUAAAGAAUAGGUCCAAAUAGCUAACUUCAAUAUUAAGUAAGAACCAAAUCGAUUCACACUGGGACUGGCCAUCUCCAAGUGCAAUCAACUCAAUCCCCACUUUGCCUUAUGGAAAAAUUACAAAAGUCAAUAUCAAAAUCUUAGCAUUAAAUAUUUACCUUAAUAGCCAAGUAUCCCACAGUCCGGCAUCCUAAACUUCAAGCCUAGGAUACACUACAGAAAUCUGAAGCCUAAGCUCUGAUACCAACUGUAACGACCCCACUUCUCCCAAGGGCGAACCCAAGGGUAUCGGCGGGCCGCCUGCCUAGCUCGCGCCAGGACUCAAAACUUAAAGUUCGAAAGAGCACUAAAUACAAUAUAUACAACCCCAAAAGAGUUAUAAUUACAUUCUCCAAAAGUAUCGAGUCAAACCACCAAAACAAAAACAAACAUCCUAACUGUUCAACUAUUACAAGCCAAUCUAACUAUACUAGUAUACGAGCCAAAAGUCCCCGCGUCGGCCCCUGUUAAGGAAAACAAAAGGAAUGGGGUAAGCUAUAUGCUUAGUAAGUAAACAGGGGCGAAAGCAUAAAUUUCACGUAACAGUUACACAAUAAGAGUAAAGCAAAAGCAGAAAAGUAACAUCACAUGAUAAGGAUACAGGUGGCUCCAAAGCCAACUCAUGUGCCAUGCGUGAUCUCCUGCCGACACUCCGUCGACUGCAAAUAAUAGUCCGUAGAACUUCACUUGUACACCCACCGACACCUUAUCACCCUCACUGGCCAGUCACCUCACAAACUUGCCCGGGCGAACGAAAUCACAAACUUGAGCUUGAGUCACAAGCUCGGGUCACAAAUUUGGUCACCUUCUCGGUGAACCGGAUUCACAAAAUUAGUUCAUAAAAUGAACCUACAAACUUGGUGACCUCAGACUAAGUUGGACUGCCUUCGACCAAGCCCUAACCGGCUCGAAUAGUCCAACCAGGUCAAGAGUUCGCCCCAAACUCACAAACUUCACAAAAUUAUUCAAAAUCACAAACUUUGCAAACUUCACAAACUUUAUUCGAAAGUCGCCCCGAGCCACAAGCUCAAGGGUUUUGGUUCCAAAAGGUUCAUAUACAUAUGUCAAGUACAAUUAUACAUUCAAAUUAGGGUUUAGGUCGAGUGCGAUAAAGUACACCCUCGCCUAAGUGCCCUUUUCACAUAUCUCAACCACAUAGCAAAGAAAACACACCAAACCGGCCUGAAUACUUACUCAAAAUACCAAAAGUAGUUCGGAAGCAAAAUCGCUUCGCGCGUUCACUAGUAGUGGGCCCCACCGGCUCCGCCUAGCUCACCGCUGUCUGAAAUAGAAGAUUUUAUCACAAACGGCCACUAACAUGCCCAAAACAAGCAAAACGGCAAAACAACACGCGCGCACGUAAAUAUGACAGACGGAAACGGAAACGGCAGAUUUGACACUCGUUUCUAGUUUACUCAUAAAUUGAGCUACGAAUAUCGGAUUAAGGCGUAUGAGACGCCAUAUCGAAGCUUAAAGGAUGAACAACAACUGUUAUGAAGACAUCCAGAACUGAAACUAGAGGCUUUAGUCCCAAAUGAACCAAACACAAUCACUUACGAAGUCUGGCCAAUGCACAAAUGGUCAGUUUUGAGUGCUAACUGUUUUCUAUGCUACACACGGUCAAAAGAGCUGAAAAUUGGCAGUUAGAUAGUUCAUUCCAAAUGGAACAACUUUCAUGAAGGUCGGCAAUCCAAAUUCGGAACGGAAAUUGGUCAUCAGGACCAAAACAGAUUUCUGGUCAUUUUCACGGGCAGGCCUUGUUUGCUCGGCUAUAUCUCAGGUUUUAUAAAUCCGAUUCAUGAAAUUCCAAGGGCGUUAGAAAGCCCUGAUAUAGGGCUAUAAGUUUGGUGUUUUGGUCGGAAGCCCAAACAGCUUGUAACUCAGCCAAAUGUGAAGCCAAAGUUCCAGCCAUAAACUUUCCAAAAACGUACCAGAAUCACAAACCGUAUUUGACCUCAAUAUGCGGUAAUGGCACCAAAUUCACUACGGUUAUCGGAUGGGGGUGUAAGACCCACCGUUUCGAAGCUAUGAAACAGGGAUACAACAAUGUAGAAGGUCACUCAAUCCGGUUCCUAGCUUAACUAGGUCGAAAAUGCCAAAUACUAUACCAGAAUUACCAAAACAGGUUUGCAAAUCACACAAAACUGUAAUUACUAUAACAUAGUCUAUACAUGUCCAAAUGCCGAAAUUCCAAAGGCAUAUGUUAGCUAAGACAUCCUGAUACAUUUCAUCAGAAGACACCAACUUCAAAAUCCAAACCAAAACCAGUCAAAAUGGCCAAUUACUAUCGCAGUUUUCGCAUUCUGUCCAAAGCAGAACAGCUACAGUAAUUUCAUCAUAACUUAUUCUACAUUAAUCUAAAUGACCUGAAAUUUUGCAGGCAUCUCAAUCACAUCAAUACCUACAACUUUCAUGUUUUGAGAAAAGUCAAAUUCGGCCUCUAACCCUAUGAUCCAAAACCAGACAGAAUUGGGGAUUUAAGAACCCUAGCUUUGCAAUUUUCACACCAAAUCCAAAAUUGGUUGCAUUUAUCCACAUUUCACAUCCACUAGAGCCAUUAUAGUCCAUUGCCAAUCAUCACAAACAACCACACCAUCAUAAUCCAAUUAAACCAGAAAAAUCAUCAUAAAAUGGAAAACUUCACCAAAUCAAUUCAAACCAAGCUAAAAACCAGAAAUUUCAGCACUCUUAUCACUAAUAAGCACAACAUAAGCAUCAUUAGGUGUAGUAGGAUGUUUCAAGCUUCACUUACCAAAAACCAAGAGAGAGGAAGAUGUUGGACACCUUAAGUCUUCAAACAAACUUCAAUAGACCACUCACAAGCACCCAAAGGAUAGAUUUUAUGGAGUAGAAUCUAAGUUAUGUGGUUGGUUUUGGAAGAUUGAGUGAAAUGGAAGCUUGAAAGUUGAAGAAUUUCUUUCUUCUUGAGCUUGAGAGGUUCGGCCAUCAAGAGGUGAAAAUGGUGAUUUUUUUGUGAAUUUUUGGAGAUAUUAACUAAUUUUGGUCAAAAGUCAAAAAUGUGAAUAGUAAACCAUAAAGUCCAACCAAUCAUAUUGUGACACUUGUCACACUCAUUAAUGCAUUCUUAUCUUUCUUUUUCCCUCUCACAUCAAUCACUUCUCACUCUCUACUUAUCUGUUAACACCCGAUAAAUUUUACACAGUAUCCGGAAUUUAACCUAAUUGGCCGAAUUUUUCCGAACUUUUCGCACUAGUGGGUCCCACGUCCGAAAUACGUUCUUAAUUUCUCAAAAACUAACUAAUACUAGAAAAAUCAUCUAAAAACUAUAUUUACUCAUAAAAAUUAUCUGGGGAAUUUUCUAAUAAAGAAAAUGUAGAAAAAAACACGGGUUUUCAAUCUUAACCGGAACUUAGGGUUUAAAUCUUAAUUCCUACUUAGGGUUUUCGAAAUACUCCCAAAACCAAACGUUACCGCCAAAUUAAUGAAUAUAUCAACGUAGUACGAACUGGGGCCUCACAGUUUCCAUUUUUCUCUAAGAUUUUGAUUUUUGACCAUGAAUAUGUAUAAUUUGGCUUUGGAGGUCUUCAUAAGAAAUGUUGGUAUAUGUCUUAGUUUCGUAACGCCAUAAGAUUUGUUUCAAUCAGAUAAGUGUAGCUGUCGCGCCUCAUUUUUUGAUAAAUAAAUAAAUGGUUUAAAAAUGUAUUUUUUGAUUCAAUUUGUGAUUGGAAAAUGAAUUGUGAUUUAAAAGAAAAAUGGGUCUAAAUGGGGGGGUUUGAGAAUGCGACGAUUUGACCCAAAAUUAUAGUUUAAAAAGGGUUUUUGAAAUAAAAAAAUCGGAGUCGCCACUUGGUAAUGAGUUAAGGUGUACCAAGUCACCUAAAAAUGAAUUUUAAAGAAAAAAUAUGAAAAAGUAGUAAGAAACCCCUUUUAAACGACUCCUAGUCCACGAAAACCAACGAAAAAGGUUCGGGAGUCACAUUUGACGAAGGGGAAGGCAAGGAUAAAAUCCAAGGCACCCCUUUGACCUAGCCAAGGCUAGUUGCGUGAUUUAAUCAAAGAUUUUCUUGUUUUAACCAAAGAAUUUAUUACAUUUGGAUGUACUACAUGAAUGCAAACCCUAGACCUAGGGGGACAUGGGGGAAAUUUCUCUUCAAAGGUUGAGUGGUGCCAAUCACAUUAAUUGUGAAGCCCAAUAAUAACCCUUUGGAGAGGUCACACAUAAUCCUAAAUGAAAAAAAAAUGAGUGAAAUGAAUGCAUGCCAUGUGAAAAUGUGAGUUUGUGUGAAGUGAAAAAAAUGAUAAAAACAAGAGUGUGUAAGUGGAAGUGUGCAAAUGUAUUUACAAGGUAAGGUGAGUAAAGAAUGAUGAUGUGAAAAUAACGUAAAGUGCAUGUGUGCGAGUGAUAUGGUGCAUGUGUGCACAUGUAAGGAAAGUGUACGUGUGCCAAGUGAGAAAGUAAGAAUGUUUGUGUGCAAAUAGAUGAAAAUAGGGUAUGAUAGUAGUAAAUAAGUGUAAUGUGCGAGACAUGUCAUUUGAAUUUAAAAAGGUAUAAGUAGUGAAAAAUGUGGAUAAAAAGGUGAGGAAAUGGUAUGAGAAUAUAUGAACCUAGAGGAAUGCAUCAAGUUGGGUACGGGGACUCCUAACUUUGUGACUUUAAUUUUCCCUUUGAUUAGAAAGGAGAACUAGCGUGCUAAGGCUCUUUUGGAGCCACACUCGCUCGUUUCCCUUAUCGAAAGGAGACUCGUCAAGCAAAUGUCCCUAUAACUAGUAUGAAUAUGCAAAACCUAAAAUGAAAGGGAAAGGAUCGGAGGAACAUGCUAAAUGCUAGAAAACUAAGAAAAAUGCAUGAAAUAAAAUGAAACAUGCACGUAUGGACUCACGAGAGAAAUCCCUAAGGGUCUAGCGUUGGACUAGCCCAUUCUAUGAAUUCCUACUAGCGUUGGACUAGUGGAAACGUACAUUCAUCCAUCACAUUCAUUCAUGGCUAUGGAAAGCAAGUAGACAUGCAAAUCACCUAUAAACACGUAGCACAUAACACUUAACAUGCUCGACUAGAUGCAAGAGCCUAAUAAAGCAAAUUAACACAUAGCAACAAAAGCAAACAACCAAACUAAUAAACCUAUUACAUUUGCUAGCUAGGCACACGUCUUCAAUAGGUCUUCAUCAAAUGCUCCUCCAAGCCCUAUCUAUUACAAGCCAAGAGGUGUACACAUACCCCAUAAAUAAAAGAAUGACUUAAUAAAAGUAAAAGUAAAUGAAAUAAAGGAAUUAAAGAAAGGUAAAGAAAGCAAAUUAGACAUGCAAUUCUCACUUAGCACGUUGGAUCACAUAAGAGAGGCAAAAAGGAUAAAAGAAGUUAUACCUCCCUUGAAUUGGGGUCCCAAUUGAGUGAAACCACUUAUUUGCCCUCCAAAAUAAUAAAAGAGUCAAGGCAUCACUUUAAUCAAGAAAUAAUCACAAAAAGAUAAAAGUAAACAUGAAAUUGAAUCAAUUAAAUCAUGUAGACAACCCACAUUUAAGAGGUCAAAAGAAGAAAGGAUUUGAUUGCAAAAAUUAACAAAGCUUUGGGGUCAAAAUUUGAAGAAAAAUAAAGUUCAGGGGUCUAUUUGCAAUUAAGUUAGGGACCCAAUUGAAAGAAGUUGAAAAUGUCCAGGGCCGCAGUACAGUUAAAGAGAAAUUCAGGGACUGAUGUGCAAAAUCAUUUUUUGGUUUCUUAAUGGACCAAACCAUUGGGCCAUUUCCUCUAUUUGUUUGGGCCCAAGCUUCCCAAAUCCAAACGAAAGUCCCAACAAAACAAGCAGGCCAGCCUACUUUAGAUCCAAGCAAAGCCCCACUAAAAUAUAUGGCCUUUGCCCCUCAAGCCCAUGUAUAAAGACCCAAAAAAAAAGUCAUCAAUCCAUUUAUCAAAUCCAACCAAAAGAGUGGACUUUAGCAUACCUAGCCCGGAUCAUAAACCCAAAAUAAAUAGAACGAAGCCCAUUAUCAAAAAUCCAAACAAAACAUCCCUCUAAUCCAAAAUAUCAACAAAUUAGCAACUCAACUAAAAUUAUUAAACCCCAAUUAUGAUCUAAAACUAACGUUGAUCUACAAGAACAAACUAAUUAAGAUAUAAAAAGAUGAUUAAAACCCAUAAAUAAAAAAACUCAAUUGAAAGAAUUAUGAAAGGUUCAAUUCGAGGGGGGUUCCAAUGUAGCAAAAACCAGGGACUUAAUUGAAAGAAUUAUGAAAGGUUUGGGGCGAAUUAUUGAGUUCUGAAAAUUCUGGAGGUGAAUUACAAAACAAAAUAAAAAUGGAGGGACUGAAAUUGCAGUUUUACACCAAAAGGUCUUCUCCCCCAACGGAUCAGACGUCAAUCUACCAUUUCUAUCUUUCUUUGUAGAGGAAGAACGUUCGAAGAUUCAAAUUCCAACUCACACGAAUCUCAUCUCAUUCAAAUUCAUGCCAUUAAAUCAAGUUCGUGCAAAAGGAAAUCUAAGAAAACGAAAUUCUUCUAACUCUACUUUUUCAUAAAAAAAACAAUUAUUCGGACAAGCAUGGACUUCACUGACCAUUUGUUUUCCCCACCCGCAAAUGCAGAUAAACUACCUUCCAAUUAAAUUUUCAAACAAGCAUUUCAUCGAACAGGAAAUAGGCAUUAAAAUUUCACCAGAUUUUUUGCUCGAAUUGAAGUAUAACUAGCCCAAAAAUUUGUCAGCAAACCAAGGAUUUCAAUUCCAAUCAUUAUGUAUAACAUACAUACUCCAAAUUCACAAAUAGUCGACAGGAAAUUGCUACAAACCAAGGCAUGGAAAAAAAACAGGUUCCGGGAGCUUGAGGAAGGAAUGAAAUUUGAAAGAAAAGGGACAACUUACCGUAUCCAGAAUGGCGUCCCUUUCUCUUCGUCUCCUUCAUUCUGGAAUCGGCCAUGGAGAUUUCGUUGCCUUCAUUGGGGUCCAACCAGACCUUGCCUAGUGUUUUCUUGGUGACAUUUGCAGGCGGUGGUGAUGCAUUGACGGUGAGGUGGUAGUAGAAGCCUCUGCUGCUUCGACGGCUGCGGUGGCAGAGGUGGCAGCGUGGCGGAGCACUAGAAAGCGUCUGGCGGGCAGCAAUCAUCUGCUGCUGCUGGACCAUGAAGUUGAUAAUGGUAUGAUCGGCAGCAGCCGACAGCGAUGGCUUCGUUGACCUGAGCAUCGCAGGGUUUGGGUUGGGGUGAUCGGCGGCUAGCGAUGAGGAAGCGGUCGGCGACGGUAAUUGUAAGUCGUCCAAGAACGAUUUUCAGCCGCUGUCUCUUUUAUUUCUUGAUUUUUCAGCCGACCUCCUUCCAUACUUCUUUUUUCAGAUUUCCUUUCUCUGUUUUUUCUUAAUUCUUCCCUUUUCCUUCAUUUCUUCGGAGCUUUCUGUCCCCCCCCCGAAACCCUUUUUUCACUCUUUUUGUUAUCUUUUUGUUCUCUCCAGCUCCUAGCCCAGCCGAAGCCUUACUCUUUUCCAUUCGCUUUUCCAGAUUUUCCGUUAGCCUUUUCGUAGCUCCCACUCCAGUUGUUCCCCCUGAUCCUGCUCUCCUCCUUUUCUUUUCAUCCGACCCCCUAAAACCUCUCCUCUCGGCUCUCUUUUCUUCUUCCUCUGUUUUUUCUGUUUUUUUGUUCUCAAUGCCCGAUAGCUCCUCUUUCGGUCUCUCUCUUUUCCUUCUGCCGCCCUCACUCUAGCUCCCUGAUUUCUCUCUUGUCUGUCUAACCCCCAAAACCUCUCCUUUCAGCCGCCCCCUACCCUCUAUCUCGGUUCCUCUCCCCCCUGUUUUCUUGCCCUUGUCCUUUUUUUCUUGUUUUUUCUUUUUCUUUCCAAAAUUCUCUAUCCUACAAGUGUCUUCUCCCCUUGCCACCCAAGUGAUGUGUUGUUAGCAAAUAAGAAGGGACACUUGUCCCACAUGCAAGUUUCCACUUGUCAAGUUUCUUUUUUUUCUUCUUUUUUUUUCUGCAAUUUAGUAUAAGGACCAAAAUAAACUAGAAUAAAAUAAAGUAAAAGACCUAAAAAUAAAUAAACUAAAAAAACCUAAAAAUUGAACACAUAAAUCUAAACUUAAAUCAAUUAAAUAAACAGAGUUGAAAAAUAAAAAAUUUGGUGUCUACAGUAGCCUCAAUUAUGAUUAAAAUGCCAAAAGGUAAUAGGAACUUGUUGUUUUUAGAAUUUCCUUUGCUUGACUUGAUAUGUGUGAUCUAGGGUUUGGACUUGAGUAAGGCAAUGAUAUAUGAUGGAUGAGGUUCAUAAGCAUUGUGAGGACUCGCAAAUUCCUUGUAUUUUUCCUCAAAAAUUUCCUUUUAUUUGAAAAUUAGUAUUUAUCAAAGGCCACUACCCAAAUAUUUCACAUUAAGUGUAGAUAAACCUAGAAAAUAGGGUUUUACGCUUCGGUUUCAAGUUUGGAGCGAAAUUAGGGUUUUCGCGAUUUUCCGCCGAAUGAAUUUUCGGUACAGAGUAAGAAUUAAUUUGGGGAUUAAAAGUGACUUUUAAGUGAGAAAUAAUAUGUGACUAGUGGCAAUGAUAUAAGGUUAGUGAAUGGGAAGUAAAAACCCUAGUACGUGAGUUUUUAAGAAAAACGGCGCGAACCGGCGGGUCUCGCGCACUACCGAUUGAACGCACUGCUUAACCACCAUUUUUCCUUACCAAAAAAAUUUAUUGAACUUGAGCAAAAUAUCUUCUCUCUUGGCAACAAGCUUGACCGAAUGUGAGGCUAGGAAAUAACAAGAGAAAGAGAAAAGAAAGAAAGGUGGUGGUGGCGACACUUGUCGCCACCUUAAGGCUUCUUGACCCAAGACAAUUAUCAUCCAUUUAAGCACCAAAAUUCAGCAUUUUACCCCUUAUUUCUGCUGCUGCUGGCCGAGAGAGAGAAGAGGGAAAACACCAAAGGAAAACAUUUCAUUUCAUCUUCAAUCCAACAACUUAGGAAGAAAUCAAACAAAAUAAACCGAUUAAACUUGUUCUUGAGUGACUAGUUAGUGAGUUGUGGUGAGUUUUUGAAGGAGAAAGCUUGGGCUACUCUUAGUGACCUCUAGUCAAGGUAAGAGAGCUUAUCUCUCCAAGUUUUACUUUCAAUCUUGUGAAAUUAAGUUUUACUUCCAGAGUGGGACCUUGUCUUUAACAUCUCUUUUAGCUCGCUAGCUGAUCAGCUAGUGGACAUGGUGAUUAGCUCUUCUGCUGGUUCGUUUUUCUUCUCUGCAAUCUAUGCCCGCUGCACCAGAGUUGCUAGACAUCCACUCUGGGGGGCCAUGGAGAAUUUGGCCGCGUCAAGACUGGGGCCCUGGAUGGUGGCUGGGGAUUUUAAUAUCAUUGCGGAGGCCUCAGAGCGGCUUGGGGGCGCACCACCGAAUGCAAGAAACAUGGAGGAGUUUAAUCACACUCUGUUUAAGUGUGAUCUUACCUCGGUGGAAUUCGACGGCCCUCAAUACACUUGGACAAACGGGAGGGUGUGGCAGCGCUUAGAUCGGGCGUUGGUUAACAGGGAGUGGGCUGAACAGUUUGCAGUUUCCCGAGUGGUACAUUUGGCGCGGGGGCGGUCUGACCAUGCUCCCCUACUAAUCCAAUGUGGGUCAGGAAGGAAAGGGACAUCAUCAUUCAGGUUCCUCAAUGUGUGGCCUCGACAUAAUUCCUUUCUUGGGAUUGUUCAGGAAGCAUGGGGAAGGGGAGGCCCUUCGCAUACGAUGUCAGGGUUCUAUAGAAAGUUGUUAGGGGUGCGGGACAAGCUGAGGGUAUGGAAUAAGGAAGUUUUUGGACAUAUUGGAAACCGGGUGGCGGACUUAGAAAAGGAAAUGCGGACCGCGGAAUUGCAGUAUGACACGGAGAGGACAGUGGCGUCAAAGAUUGCUUAUCAUGAGGCGCGGGCGACGUAUAUGCAUCAAUUGGCCGUUGAGUGUGGCUUUUGGCGUCAAAAAUCGAGGAUCAAAUGGAUUCAGGAGGGGGACGCGAAUACGACUUUCUUCCAUGCGGUGGUUCGGCAACGGAGGGCCUCAAAUUACAUCUCUAGGAUUCGGGGUCCGACAGGGCAAUGGCUUACUCAGGUUGAGGACAUCAAGAGUUCGGCAGUAUCUUUCUUCGAGUCUUUGUUCAGUUCAGAUAGGGGUACUGAUCGGCAUCCCGUGCUGCCUUUUGACCUCCCACAGGUGACUUUAGGGGAUAAUGAGAAGCUACUGGCACUGCCAACAUUAAUUGAAGUGCGCGAUGUGGUAUUCUCGAUAUGUCCAGAUAGUGCUGCUGGGCCAGACGGCUUUGGAUCAGGUUUCUAUCAGGCAUGUUGGGAGAUAAUUAAGGAGGACUUGGUGGCUGCAGUACAGGAUUAUUUUAAAGGGGGAUGGCUACCAAAAGGGGUGACAAGUACGUCAAUCGUGUUAAUACCGAAACUUCAGGGGGCUUCUCAGUGGCAGGACUUUCGGCCCAUCAGCCUAUGUAACGUUAGCUCCAAGAUUAUUUCUAAGCUAGUGUCCAAUAGGUUGAAUCAGCUCCUUCCCCGCCUGAUCUCUCCUUGGCAGUCGGGCUUUGUGCCGGGGCGCCAAAUAAUGGAUAAUAUCCUUGUGACGCAGGAGCAUGCAAAGGAUUUGGACCGUCGGUUGGAGGCUCCGAACCUCAUGUUAAAACUGGAUAUGGAAAAAGCAUAUGACAGAGUUGAGUGGUCCUUUCUCCUAUUCAUGCUUAGAUCGUUUGGCUUCCAGGAGCCAGUGGUGGAUUUACUAUUUCGUUUGGUCGCAAAUAACUGGUUUUCUGUGCUUGUAAAUGGGGAGCCGGCUGGAUUUUUCAAAUCGACGAGGGGGGUCAGACAGGGGGAUCCAAUCUCCCCGGGGCUCUUUGUAUUAGUUACAGAGUAUUUUGGCAAGGGCCUCUACUCCUUGUUUCGGCAAGGUCGACACAGGUUUUUUCAGGCAGGAGGAAUGCGGGUACCAUAUCUGGCGUUCGCUGAUGAUGUCAUUAUUUUCACCAGGCUUUCACGGGAGACUUUACAAGCGAUUAGUGCCUUCUUCAAGCAGUACCAGCAAUACUCUGGACAGAAGAUCAAUGUGUCGAAGAGUGGUUUUGUGUGCUCGUCUGGGGUGUCGGCGGCACAAGUGGAGUUGGUGACUCGUAUACUGGGGUUCCAGCGGCAAUUUUUCCCGCUGGUCUAUCUUGGUGUCCCCAUUUCCCGGGGUCGGAGUUCCAUUGUUGAUUUCGAUGGGAUUAUCGCAAAGGUGAGGGCGCGGGUCUACCACUGGAGUGCGAGGUUGUUAUCUAUGGGGGGGAAAUUAAUUCUUACAAAGCACGUCUUGAGUUCGAUGCCUCUAUACCUUUUACAAGUGCUUAAGCCCCCCAAGGCAGUCUUAGUGGCCUUGGGUCGAAUUUUCAACUCCUUCUUAUGGGAUAAAUCCCACGACGCUAAACGUACGCACUGGGCGUCCUGGGAGAGGUUGUGCUUUCCCACAGAGGAGGGUGGAUUGGGGGUCAGGUUGUUGGAAGAUAUGGUCAAAGCUUUCUCUUAUAAGCUGUGGUGGAGAUUACGCCAAAGGGAUUCCAUAUGGUCGGACUUCAUGUAUUCUAAGUACAUUGGGGACCGACAUCCGUUGCAGGCGGAGGUGGCUCGCCCGUCGGGGACAUGGAAACGGCUAAUCGGCAUACGCGAGUUGGUGGAGGUACAGAUCACAUGGAGUCUGGGACCAGGAAUGGUAGAUUUCUGGUUGGACACUUGGUGUGAGCUGGGCCCCUUAUAUGCAUUGGUUCCAACAGAUGGAGACAGGCCGCACUUUUUGGUGGCUGAGUUUUUGGGGCGGGAAGGAUGGAAUAGGGACCGACUACUUCGCUGGCUCCCGGGUAAUUUGGUGGAUGUCAUAGUGGAGACUCCAUUCGACUUGGAUGGGCAUGAUCAAAUCCUGUGGGCGAAGUCGGCGACCGGGUUUUUUUCUUUAAACUCGGCUUGGGAGCUGUGCCGGCAACGUCGGGGCGGUUUAACUUUGGCUGGGAUGAUUUGGAAUAAAGGUACACCAUUGAAAAUAUCAUUUUUUGCUUGGCGGCUGAUGAACAAUUUUGUGGCCUUGGAUUCGGUGAUGCGUAGAAGAGGGCUGCCCGUGGUGUCCAGGUGCUCCUGCUGCCUGGAGGAGGCAGAAACCUUGCCACAUCUCUUCUCAAUGGACCGGUGGCAAGAGAGGUUUGGGGGCAUUUUGCAGGUAUGUUUGGCAUUAUUCACUUGCCGUCGGAUGAUAUUCAGCUCUUAUGGAGGGAAUGGGCCACAUCGCUGAUACGCAUCCCCACUCAUCAUAUUCGGUGUGUACUCCCGCUGGUGGUAACAUGGUUUAUAUGGCAGGGAAGGAAUAAGGCAAGGUUUGAAGGAUAGGCUUUUUCGGCUCGGAAGGUCAUUGUUGAGGUGAGCAAUUUCUUGCAUGACUUGGGAAGAGCAAAAAAGUUGGACAAGGCACAGUUCAACGGCGACCGGGACUGUGUAUGGGCACGCUUCGUGUCCGACGGAACUCGUAAAAGACGUCCAGUGCUGGUGACUUGGGAGAAGCCACCGCCCCUGCGGUACAAAUUAAACACGGAUGCUAGUGUGGUCAACGGGAGGGCAAGUGGAGGAGGAGUGCUCCGGGAUUCUUUUGGUAGGGUUAUCCUGGCCUUUUACAAGGAGUUUGGGGAAAAAGGAGUUCUGCAGGCAGAGGCUCUAGCAGUAUUAGAGGGGCUCCUUAUAUGUGCGGCAAAGGGGUUACGAGGGAUUCUAGUGGAGGUGGACUCGGCAGUACUCGUAUCGUUAGUCAACUCUUCGGCUCAGGGAGGCUGGUUGUUAUGUAAUGUGCUGCGGCGGAUUCGGCGCCUUUUGGAUCAAGUGGCUAUGUCGUUUACUCACAUAUUCCGAGAAGCAAAUGGGGUGGCAGAUAGGCUAGCUGCUCUACAAGGGGGUAUCAAUCAAGUUUUUGAUUCGCAUCUGCAGCUUCCUAGGGAGGUGCGAGGUUGUAUUGCUAUGGAUGCUGCCCAAAUCCCGUCUUUUAGACUAGUGGCUCAGUAGGGGGAAUAAUCCUUCAAUUAUCUUGUAUUUGGUUUGUUCACAUCUUGAAUAAAUGAAUAUUUAAAAAAAAAAAAAGUUUAGCAACUUGAUUUUGUGGUGGAAUCAUGGAUGAUUAUCAUGUUUUAGUAGUUUUCCCCUUUUUAUUUCAUGAACUAGGGUUUGGGGAAAUUCUGCCCAAUUUGUUGUAUGAUGCUUAUAUGUUGCAAUUGAAGUGUUAUAAGGUGUUGUGGUAGGGAUUAGACCAAGAAAUUAAGGAAAGUUGCACUAGAAACUCAAAAUUCCAGAAUCUGGAAAAUUUCCCCAACUUUCUGUCCGAAUUUAUAUCUGUAUGUUAGAGGUCGAUUUGGCCUUAGGUCAAAGAAUAAAAGUUGUAGAGAAUGGCAUUUUAUAUGUGCCUAAAAAUUUUUAGCUCAAUCGGAGCAACGUAGGACGUGAAAAGUCCAAAAUACCCUUACUAUUUUAAGUAUUUCCUAAGCAGUCCGUGUGAUCAGUUAAGUCCAGUUUAUCCCGUUUUUUGACUAGGAUCCAUUCUGAUUUAGUGUUUCACCAAAACAUGAAAGUUGUACCAGUCUGAAUUAGCUUUCAAAUGCCUCUAAGAACACCUGAUUCGGAGUUGUGUACUCUGAGUUAUGUCCAUUACAGUGUUCUGCGUUUAAACAGCCGACGAAUUGAUUUCUGGUUUAGUAAUUCGAGAAUUUGACCAAGUUACAUUAGAAACUGGACUAUGUGACCUUCAUGAACAUUGUAGCCCUGAGUCUUAGCUUCUAAAUGGCAUAGGUUGCGUCUUAAUCGGAUAAGCGUAGCCUCGGAUAAGUUAUUUCCGUUUUCAUACGUCAAAUCUGUCUUUUGCUAAAUUGAAUUUAUGCACUUGUUAUUACUGUAUUUCUUAUUCUUAUGAUAUUGUGAGCCUAUGGAAUGGCUCUUGACUUGAAUUGCUUAUGUGUGAUGUUGGGUUGUGGUUGAGGAAAAAUAAUGAAGCCAAAAUGGCUGAAAAAUUAGUUAAACACAAAGGGCGUGCUGCCCAAAUUUUCGCCCGAGGGCUAGGUUUCUAUUUGAACUUGUAUACUUUUGUUAGGCCAAUACCAUGACCGGUUUUCCAUUUUAAAACAUGAUUUUUCAUCCUUGGGUUCAAACAACCCUCUUCUUACUUGAAAGUCAUCUUUACACGUUUUACUCUUAAUUAGUCGGGUUUCUUUGUUUCCCUUAAAUGUUUUGCUCGAUAAACUAUAAUAAUGUUCUCUUGUUCAACCUUAGGUUUCAUUGGUGAUUAAGGGUAAUAUCCGGAAGGAUAUUUUGCACGAUAUUUUGCAUUUCUAGGUGAGUGUUCCUUAUUUGAUUCUAUGGCUUGUUGUUAUCAUUUGCUAAUGUGUUAAGUGCUUUUAAUGAUUUCCAAAACGAGCUUUCUAGGCGAGUGUGUACUUUAUCGCACUCGACCUAAAUAACUGUGCAAUUUUCAAGGAUUUAAUGAUUGAAAUGUUACUUGAGCAUGAAUGUAAGCCUUUUGGGCUGAACUGGCCAUUGCCCCUUGUUACCGGUCGUCUCGAGCCAGAAGCGGACUCGGUCGGGCGAUUAGGGACUUGGGUAAACGUUUGGUAUACUCGAGUAUUACCCUGUUGGUUGGUGGAGACUGGCCAACGGCCAGGACGGGGGUGAAUGAAUGAAUGAAUGAACGAACGAAUGAACGAGGGUUUAUUGAUAAACGAAAAAUGCAUUUUCAAAUGAUUGGAGGAAUAAGGGGAAAUGUCAGGAGAACGAAUGAACGAAAUAACGAAUUGCUCCUUGUGAGCCGUAUCCUUUUAAUGAAUGUGUUACUAUCGCUUUCCAUUGUAAAUGUUUCUUGAGUUAUUGAUACUCCAUGUUUAAUGUAUUGGAUUGAUUAUCUGAUUAUGUGUUCGGAACCUCACUGGGCUUUUAGCUCAUUCCUUUAGUUUUGUUUUCCUUACAGGGGAAGGCGAGCGAGGACGUGAGCUUGAGAUAGACUAGCCAAUCUAGUUUUGUUUCUUUUUUUUUUUCUUUUGUAGUGGUUCUCGCCUAGUGCUUGGCACGGGCUGGACGUAUGAAGGAUUGAGAACCCUUGUAUAUUUGAUGUUUAUAUUCUCUUUUGGGUUGGCAAUGUAUAUAAGUUCCGCUUUAAGUUUGGAUCAAUGCCCUAUUUAUUCUUGUGAUUUAUUUCAAUUUUUAAUUGAGGAUUGUAGCGAACGACUGAGUCCCAGCGAGAGCUGGGCAGGCGGCCCGCCGAACCCUCUGGUACGCCUUAGGGGGAGGUGGGGUCGUUACAAGCAUGGUUGGUGAGUGAUCUCCAAACUAUUUGCAAAGUUACUUUUCGACUUAAUUCUUGCAUUGGUUACUCGAUUGCAUAUCAUUUGUGUUUGUGUAUGUGCUAUGACAUGAUUUGGCUCCAUUCAGUUCUUGAAAAUCUUGUGCUUAGAACCAACAUCUCCACCCUUGUUUACCUGGAGCCAUGAUGGCUCCCUUUUGCUAUUUGACUGUUCAUUGAUCUAUUUGAGCGUUGGAAUUCUAAGUACAAUGACUUCACUGGUUCACGAGAGCAAAAUACGUACAUUUGAUCACUGAUUCAUAACAUCAUUUACAUGCAAUGUUGUGAAGCUUAUUUGAUUUCUGAUUUUACUGGUUACUCGCUGAGAUUCUAGCUCACUCCAAAAUAUUUUUCCCCUCCACAGGGCUCGAGGCAAAGGAAGCGAGUGUAAUGAGUUAUUAGUAUGACUGGAUGAAUUGUCUCCUGUACCGUUUGAAUUCAAUUCACUUGAUGAAUAUUCAAUGUAAUAUUUGGGACUGAUAUUGUAGUUGUAAUUGGUGAGAUUUGAAUGUCUAUAAGUAUACGCUAAGCGUGGGAAAUGUUAUUUCGCUUAUUAUUGAGGUUGUACUCUAUGUUCUUGGAUGUGAGUGAUGUAAUUUAUUUGAAAACUGUAGUGAGUGAGUGAGUCCCGGCAAAAGCUGGGCAGGCGGUCCGGCGAAUCCUUUGGUUCGCCUUAGGGGAAGGUGGGGCUGUCACAGUAUGAGAUGACCAAAUCUAGUUUAUUCAGUAUACUUGGACUCAUUUAAGCUUUUAAUUUUAAUUAUAAGUUACGGAAGGUAACGGUGGUAUUGAACCGUCUCGGAGACGCCUUCCGGUGAUCCGUUAUUGAGAAAUGCCUAGGAAAAAUUCAUUGGAGAUAUAAUCCAACUGGCUGAACUAGGACCCUAUGUGAUUACUAGAGGACUUACUCGUACCCAAAUAACAGAGUGUUACAGGGUUCAACGACUGGAGAUGGCUAUCCGAAGAAACAGGGGUAGUUCGAGAGGAUAUUCCAAAACUGAGGGUAAUUGUGGAUGCCUAGAUUACUAGAAUUCCUGAAGUGGAGACAGAGAUACUUGAGGAGUAAGGAAAAGACAAAGGCUCCUAGUGGGCAGCUUCAAGAAGCUAAGAAUCGGCUUGCUAGGGUAGUACACGAAAUUAGAGACCGGACGGAUAAGACGAUGGCUGGGUGUAUUACCUUGGUUGAACAAGUGAAGAAUGACAAGAUACUCAAUAAGGGACAUGAGAUUAAAACUCCUAGUGGAGGAAAUAUAAAUGAUCCUACUGAAGUAGCAGAGACUUCUGGCUCCACCAAUCACUAAGGUCACUCUACUUUAACGGCUUUGUCAAAGAUAGACGGGGUGGUGCUCGUUUAAAGGCCAUUGCAUUUUGUAUUUUAUUUUACUAUGUUUCCUAUCUUUUUGAAACAAUUAAACGUUACUCAUGAGAUACUUGACUUUAUUGCUUUAUGAUUUCAAAUCUAUGAUUGGGUUGUGCACAUUUAUGAUUAUUUCGGUGUCUUCCCUUUUAUUCUUGUAUUUGGUUGGCAUGAUCAAAAUGUCACUUUUCAAACUUCAUUGAUGUGCAUUCAUUUUAUGUUAUGCCUUUAUAAAUGUUAAAUUUAUGAGUGGCCAAAGAAGUGGAAAAAGACCGAGCGUGAGGGGUUAAGUAACCCCAAGCUCAAGGGAUGGUUAGAGAACGACUACUAGACCGAACCAAAAUCCUAGAAACGAAAGAAAACAAUCACGUAGCUACUGCUAUUGACUGUACGAUUGAUGUCCUAGCAUGGUUGGUUGAGCACCAAAGCUUUAGACCAAUAAGCCAACCUAAGAAUCAAGAGAGGUGUGAAAGUGGAAUGAUUCUCGAAGUUCGCCUAUCUAAGUUUCAUGGAAGAUCUAUUCUCAAAAUAGUAGAAUUGAUUUGAGGGAAUAAAAUAAGGUGCUAGUGAAAGCAAGAGGUUGGGGUAUCUUCUCAAGCAACUUUGUAAUUGAGUAUGGAGAGUGAAUUAGGGUGUGGAACUUUUAAGGAAUAAGAUCUCCGUAUUUUGUUAUGUUUAGAAGCAAUGAUAGUAAUCUUGUAGAGACUCGAGAGCCCGUCCAUGUUAAGCCGAGAACAGGUAAGAUUUAUAAGUUGAAGUAACCUAUAAGUCAAAUAAUGAAAGAGUGGCAUGGCCAGAGAUUCCAUUGUGGAUAGCUACUUAUUUUGAUCCUUUGAUUUACCUGGAAGGCUAGCAUUUGAUUUAAACCAACUGAUAAGAUGACAACUUUGGAAGAAAUGCAUAAGGAAAUGGAUAUUCUUCGAAAUGAGGUAGAAUUUCAGAGGAAAUUGGCUGACUAUUGGGAAGGACGGUGCAAACAAGAAUAUACAGAGAAAACUGAGUUGCUAAACCAGAACGAGAACUGGAGAAGAAAUACAAAGGAAAACCUCAAACUGGUCAAGCCGUCACUUCUCGCGCAAAUGGUGGAUACUGCGGAAAGAUUAACCACGCUGAGACUGAGUGUUGGAGAAAACAAGGAAAAUGUUUCAUAAGUUUUCAAAUUGUCUUAGAGUUUCUAAGAAAAGAGGAAAAACUCGGCAGUCUGUUGGAUCUACUGCAAAGCAGUCGAGGGCCAGAAGAGGUGAUUAAUGCUAAUGGCUAUGAGAGAGACUCAAGUAAUGGAAGUAAUACGAGCGGGAAUGGAUUUGACUCUGUCCGAGAAAUAGAGGUUAUAGUUUACCUAGUCUAGACUGACACUUUAGAAGUGGCAAUCUUUUGUAAAAAGGGAAAAAUACUUUUGUUGUUUUGUAUUUUGGUAACUCGGCACGUUCAGUUAUGACCUUGUGGUUUCUCUUCUUCUUUUGAAAUGAUUUGAUAGACCUAUUCCAACUUGAAGUAACUAUUAUGAUCUUUUAUAACAUAUGGCAAUUUAUUUGCUUUUAAAUGAUUUCAUGGCUUACAGGUAUAUUUAAACUUUACCCCACACCUUUAGUUUGGUGAUAAGACAUGGACAGUAGUAGACAUGGUCGAGAUUAUAAUUGAAAGCAUAGGCAACCCCGAGAUCUCAGAGAUGACCAGGGAUCGGUGAAAAAAAAAUCGAGAACUUAGGGUUGAAGUUGGGACCCGAUAUUUGAUUGCCAAAUUGAUAUAUUAAGGUUGUGAGGUUUGGGUUAGUGAAAGGAAAUAUUUGAUAGAUUGAAUGAGUCUAACAAUUAAGGGACAGGGUAUAGUAUCUGGGAUGGAAGUUUGAGGCUAUACAUAGACUACUGAGACUUGAACAAUAUGACUAUUAAGAACAAUUGCCCUUUCGCCUCGUAUAGAUAAGAGUGUGAUCAAUUGCAAGGGCCGUGGAAUUAUUCAAGUUGGGUUUACAACAGAAGCUAUUGCUAGUUGAGAAUCCUGGAAACUAACGUAUUCAAGAUCACUUUUAAUUUAAAACAUGGCACUUCGAAUUCACAGCUAUGCCUUUUGGGUUGACUAAUGCGCUAGCAGUAAUUAUGGACUUAAUGCAUCGAUAUUUUAAACCGUAUUUGGAUCAAUUUAUGGUGGCAUUUAUUGAUGGUAUAUCAGUAUGCUCUAAGGUUAGAGAAAAUCAUGAAAGACACCUGAUGAUAGUUUUACAAACCCCGAGGGGGCACCAAUUUUUGUUAAAUUCAAUAAGUGUGAGUUUGAAUGAAAGAAAUAGGACUUGACGAGAAUUUGACCUAUGAUAAAGGACCGGUAAAGAUUUUAGAUUGAAAAGUGAAGAUCUUAUUUGUAUGGAAUAACUUUUGAGUAUUUCAUGGAUCACAAGAGUCUUAAGUACCUGUUUUCCCCAAAAGGAGUUGAACUUGAGAUAACGAAGGUGGGUGGAGUUGGAGGACUAUGAUUGUACGAUCAAUUACCACCCAUAGACUGAUGGACAGUCCGAGAGGACAAUUCAGGCCCUUAAGGACAUGUAUCUUGGAUUUUUGGAGAAAGUUGGAAUAAGUACUUAACACUGGUAGAAUUUACUUAGCUAAGGUUCUAUGUAACAUCCCGAAUAUUAGGAGGUUGUUUGUGAAGAAAAUAUUAAAGUGUAUUUCUUUGGGGUUUGAUUUAAAACCUUAUUUUGUUUUAAAAGACUAGAAACCCUAAUUUUAAUUUCUGAAGUUGUAAAACCCUCACGGUUUCUUAAAAAUGCUCUUUUAUUUGGAAAUUAUUAUUUAUUAAAGCUCUACUAUCUAAUUAUUCCAUAAUAAGUGCAAAUGAAUCUAGAAAGUAGGGUUUUACUCUUUGUUUUCAAGAUUUGAGCAAAUUAGGGUUUUAGCGAUUUUUCCGCCGGAUGAAUUUUCGGUACUGGCCAAGGAUCAAUUUGAUGAUUAAAAGUGACCUUUAAGUGAGAAAUAAUAUGUGAAUAGGAGCAAUUAUAUAAGGUUAGUGAAUGGGAAGUAAAAACCCUAGUAAGGGUGUUUUUAAGAAAAACGGCGCGAACCGGCGGGUCCCGCGCACUACCGAUUGAACGCACCGUUUGACCACCAUUUUUCUUACCAAACAAGCUUAUUGACUUUUGUACAAAAUAUCUUCCUAAUUUGCAGCUGGUUUGACCGAAAUUAUAAGGCUAGAAAUGUAAGGGAAGAAAGAGAAAAAUUUGUGGACAAGAUUAGUCCAAGUGUUGGCCAAAAAUUGUGGACACAAUUAGCCUUAAUCUUCUUACUUCCUUAUAAGACAAGUUAAGCUCCAUUUCCUUCAUUUUUCUGCUCCAUAACCGAAAUAAGAGAGAGAGGGAAAGACCAAGAGAAAAACUUCUUCAUUUCUUCUUGAUUCAAGCUACAAAGUGAGAAAUCCAAAGAACUAAACCGAUUAAUCUUGUCCUUGAGUGGUUAGUUAGUGUUUGGUGGUGAAAGUUUGGAAAGAGAAGGCUUGGGCUGCUCUUUGUAACCUCUAUUCAAGGUAAGAGAGCUUAUCUCUCUAAGUGUUGCUUUCAAUUUUGUUAAAUUAAGUUUAGUAGUUUGAUUAUAGUGGUGGAAUCAUGGAUGAUUAGCAUGUUUUAGAGGUUUUUCCCCAAUUUAUUUGAUGAACUAGGGCUUAUGGAAAUUCUGCCCAAAUUGUUGUAAGAUGCUUAUAUGUUGCAAUUGAGGUUUCAUAAGGUGUUGUGGGAGUGAUUAGACCAAGAAAUUAAGGAAAGUUCCACUAAAAACUAAAGAUUUCAGAUUUCUGGAAAUUCUUGCUUACAUUCUGUCCGAAUUUUUAUCUGUGUGUUAGAGGCCGAAUUGGCCUUAGGUCAAAGAAUAAAAGUUGUAGAUAAUGACAUUUUAUAGGUUCCUACAAAAUUUCAGCUCAAUCGGAGCAACGUAGGAUGUGAAAAGUCCAAAAUACCCUUACUGUUUUAAAUAUUUCCCAGCAGUCCGUUUCAUCAGUUAAGUCCAGUUUAUCACGUUUUUUGACUAGGAGCCGUACUGAUUUAGCUCUGAGCCAAAACAUGAAAGUUGUAGUGUUCUGAAGUAGCUUUAAAAUGCCUCAAAGAACACCUGAAUUGGACUUUUGUACACUGAGUUAUGACCAUUACAGUGUUCUGCGGUUAAACAGCCGACGAAUUGGUUUCUGGUUUAGUAAUUCGAGAAUUUGACUGAGUUACAUUAGGAACUGGACUAAGUGACCUUCAUGAAUGUUGUAGCUCUGUGUCUUAGCUUCGAAACGGCAUAGGUUUCGUUUUAAACCGAUAAGCGUAGCCUCGGAUAUGUUAUUUCCGCAUUUGUACGUCAAAUCUGUUUUGAACUAAAUUGAAUUUCUGCACCUGUACUUAAUAUGAUUCUUGUUAUUAUGAUAUUGUGAGCCUAUGGAACGGCUCUUGACAUGAAUUGCUGAUUUAUAUAAUGUUGGGUUGUGUUUGAGAAAAAUAAUGAAGCCUAAAAGGCUGGAAAAUUAGGUAAACACAAAGGGCAUGCUGCCCAAAUUUACGCUCGAGGACUAGAAAACUAUAUUAGCGACUUGAGUGAAGGUUAAGUACUUAUUACUUGAACUAGCGAGAACCUUGGCCACUAUGUUUCUUGAGUGUUAUACGUUAGGACUUGGCCGAACUUGUACCCUUGAGAAAUGAAAUAAUGAUUGCUCGAAGUACGUUUUCCUUGUACUUUCGACUCGCAUGACAAUUUCAAGUAUAAAUAUUACAAAGUUUUAUCAUUGAAAAAGUGAGCAAGUAUUUCACGAGUACUCUCCAAGUGAAUUUCUAUUUAUUGAUUCUUAUUGAACAAAACGUCUAAGUUUCGAAUCUUAGUCAUGUUUCAAAGUUCUCAAACUGAGUUUUAUCGCAGAUUUGGACUCCGAACCCGGAGUAUAACGUGAAAGUGACCAGUAAAGGCACUAUAUCUUUUGGUGAGUGUUUUCAAAUACCGAAUUGAACUUGAUACCUGAACUUGAUACGUGACCAAUAUGAUUACAUGUUAUAUACGUGAAUUGUUAGGGCAAGAGUGUACUUUAUCGCACUUGCCCUUACGUGAUAUACUUGUUUAUUGUUGCAAUUGACUUGACAUACUUGUUUAUGAUGCGCGCACUUCCUGGAAUUCCAGAAACCCUGUGGCGAGUUACUCUAGUCGAGCCGGCAAGGGGCUUGGUCGAUUGGGUAACGAACCCUGGGUCUCUUGUAUUGUCGAGUGGAGUGAUAUCUCCUCGACUAAUCGGUAUACUCGAGUAUUACCACCCGUGUUUCUUGAGGAUUUUGGGCCCAGUUGGGGGUUUGAACGGUGGACGGAGAGUCGUGUAAGUGGUGUUCUACUGGAUUGGUUACUUACUUGAAAGUUGACGGAGUGUCAGCUACUACGUGAUCAAGCUUCUGGUAAUGCAAUGGGAAUUUGGCUCCUGAGAGCCAUCCGUAUCCUUAUACUUUGGAGUGAUUAUUGUUUAUUGGAUUAUUGUUUCUUUUGAAAAACUUCUACACUCGCUCAUUUUGAGAUUGCUACUUGACGUGUUAUUGCUCACAUUUAUGAACUCUUCAUGUUCGUUACUUUGCUAUAUCGAAAACUUGUACUUAUAAAUAAUGGUCAAUUUGCUAUUUGGAACCUCACUGGGCUUUUAGCUCAUUCCACUCCAUUUGUUUUCCUUUCAGGGGUACGAGCGAGGUGUGAGAUAUGUAAAGUCUAGCAUAGACUAGUUGUUUUGACUUUUGACUUGUACUCGCGCUGUUACUCGAAUAGAAUGUUUUGUAUUUGGAUUGUAUACGCCCUGAACCAGUUUGAGUAUAUUGAGGCUUUGUACCUCGAUUUCUAUCAAUGUAAAUUAUAAGCUUGAAUUGCGAUGUUAUUUAUGGUCUAUGGAUGUCUGCACGUGAUACGAGUGAAUGAGUCCUGGCGAGAGCUGGGCAGGCGGUCCGCCGAACCCUCUGGUACGCCUUAGGGGGAGGUGGGGUCGUCACAUUCUAAGUGACCACGGUAUGACACAUUCCUUUUGGAAACCCUAGAUUCAUGAGUAAGAUAGAUAUGAGACCGAUUAAGUUAUCUUAUGACUCGGAAGUUAAAAUGCUUAUUGGGGAAAAAUCAAGGUUUGAUUGCUAGUUGGAUGAAUAGAAAUUUCGAAGUAUGGGUUGGAAAAUGUAAGUUAGUGAUUGAUCUGAUAGGCUUAACCAUUAAGGGAAUGAUAUUGUCCUAAGUGUGAAUUUCGAGAACGAAAUUUCUUUUAAGGAGGGAAGGAUGCGAAGACUUGAAAAUUUUCUCAUUUUAUCUCAUAUUACUGCUUAUCUAAAUGUUUAUUCACUUGUUUUCUCCGAACAAUUUAUUUCAACCCCUUAAAUUCAUUUUUAUGGAACCAUGUCUUAUUUAUACUUUUAAAACGUCUCGCUAACAAAUUUAAAUUUUUCGAAGGCUCGUUUAUUAAGGAAUAACAAAUACACACCUUCGAGAUGAUAGUCGAUCUGAGAGUACAAUGAUUUUGGAGAAUUAAUAAUGAGAACAUGAAGAUUUGGAUUCCCUUGAAAUUCAAGGAAAUUCAAUUGAUGGUUGAUGGUGCAAUCGGGUUCAAGAAUCGUUGAAGAUUUGUCAUGCUUAUUUCUUGUUAUUUAUUUAAGUAAGUUUCCAGCAAUACUUGUUAGUUAGUCUUGAGUUAUUAAGGGAAAUAAAGGCUAAGAUCAUGUUGACCAUAGUUAAGCCAAUUGAGUCAGUUAGUUUCCUAUUCUAAUUGAAUUAGAGUUUUAGGAAAGUAGUUAAUUGCUUCCAAAUUUAUUUAGGAAGUUGUGUCAAGUCAAAUAAAGAAACUUGUAUUGUUUCCAAUUUAGAUUAGGGUUUUCAGUCUUGUAAGGCUAUAAAUAACCAACUUUAUUUAACUAUUCGGGGGAUGAUAUUGAAGAUGAAUUAAUAAAAAGAGAGUUGUCUCCUUUUAUGAAGUUCCUUGAUGGAACUGGAGUUUCUUCUUGAACAGUAUCAAGUAUUUAGCUUGGAUACUUGUGGUGUUCAAGAACAAGAUGAUCACAUUAUCUUGUUCUUUCAAGCCAAUAACCAAUCCACUAGGUUUCUAGAGAUAGGUUCUCUUUGGGUCUAGCAAGGUAGUUAUUGUUCUAUAACCUGAUCAAGAUAGAUCCUUCCGCUGCCUGAUCGAUUCGGUUCUUCAAGACAGGUUCUUGCUGGGUCGAGUUCGUAUCAUCUGGUAUCAGAGCUUCGGCUCUUGAUUCAGGUUAAUAUCCUUUUCUUUUCUUUUUUUCUAUUUAUUUUUCUACCAAAACCCUAGCCGCCUUUUGAUUUAAAAGAAACAAAAAAAUAAAUUUUGAUUCUUGUUUUCUUGAUUUUAUCACUAGAGUCUAACCUAUCCUGUGAUUGAUCGAGGUUGAAAAUUUUUGGUGUGAUUACGUUCUUGAAAACAGGUUUUUCAAGGGUUUAACUCCCAUUAAAUUCCUUCCAAGUGAAAUUGUAACCUGGUGUUGAGUUAUCAAAAGCAAAAAAAAAAAAAAAAAUUUCAAAACUGUUCACGGCGAUACUAUUCAUCGGGCAAUGUUCAUCCGAUGCUACCGUAGCAGUACUGUUCAUCCGAUGCUGCUGUAGCAGUACUGUUCAUCCGAAAUUUUUUUUUUUUUACCUUGUGUUUGUUUCUUGUAGUUGGUUUGGUAAUUUCUUGAAGUUCUUGGAUUGCAUAGUGGGUUCUUGAAAAAAAAAAUCUUGAUACUUUGAAAACCCUAAAAAUCAUCCUCUUGAAUCUUGAAGUGCGGCUACCUUAUUUUCUUGAAUUGGCAAGUUAGAAAAACAAAAAAAGGAAGAAAGAAGGAAAAAAAAGGCAGCCUUGCCUUGAAUGGUUUCCAAAUCUUGAUUGAUAUCUUGAUUGAUUUCCAAAUCUUGAUUGAUAUCUUGAUUGAUUGCCAAAUCUUGAUUGAUUUUCAAAUAUUGGUUGACUUCCAAAUUCUAACCAAGUACAAUUGGGUGAAGAUAUUCUUGACAAAUGGAACAUGUGCAAUGGUUCAUAUUCAUAAUCAAGUUGAGUUGGCGACAUGGUUCUUGGAUUGCAUUUAUCAAGACAUUCUCCGAGUUACUCCUUUGUAAGCAAGCACUCGAUUUGAGGACAAAUCGUCUUUCAAGAGGAGGGGAAUAAUGAGAACAUGAAGAUUUGGAUUCCCUUGAAAUUCAAGGAAAUUCAAUUGAUGGUUGAUGGUGCAAUUGGGUUCAAGAAUCGUUGAAGAUUUGUCAUGCUUAUUUCUUGUUAUUUAUUUAAUUAAAUUUUUAGCAAUAAUUGUUAGUUAAUUAAAGUUAGUCUUGAGUUAUUUUUGAGUCCUUAAUAAGGGGAAUAAAGGCUAAGGUCAUGUUGACCAUAGUUAAUGUAACAUCCCGAAUAUUAGGAGGUUGUUUGUGAAGAAAAUAUUAAAGUGUAUUUCUUUGGGGUUUGAUUUAAAACCUUAUUUUGUUUUAAAAGACUAGAAACCCUAAUUUUUUAGUCAAAAACCCUAGUUUACUUGUGACUAACCGGUUUUCCUAAAUCUCUCCUAUUUUAAUUGAAACCCUAAUUUUAAUUACUGGAAUUGGAAAAAUUCCUCACGUUUUCUUAAAAAAUUUCCUUUUUGUUGAAAAUUAUCAUUUAUUAAAGCCCUACUAUCCAAUUAUUCCAUAAUAAGUGCAAAUGAAUCUAGAAAGUAGGGUUUUAUUCUUCGGUUUCAGGUUUGGAGCAAAAUUAGGGUUUUCGCGAUUUUCCGCCGGAUGAAUUUUCGGUACGGAGCAAGGACCAAAUUGGGUGAUUAAAAGUGACUUUUAAGUGAGAAAUAAUAUGUGAGUAGUAGCAAUGAUAUAAGGUUAGUAAAUGGGAAGUAAAAACCCUAGUACGUGAGUUUUUAAGAAAAACGGCGCGAACCGGCGGGUCCCGCGCCCUACCGAUUGAACGCACCACUUGACCACCAUUUUUGUUUACCAAACAAAUUUAUUGAACUUGAGCAAAAUAUCUUCCCCCUCUUAGCUCUCCUAUUGGCCGAAAUUUAAGGCAAAGAAAAAGCAAGGAAAGAGAAAAUUUGUGUGGUUGAAAUUAAACCAAGUGUUAGGCCAACUUGUGGCUACAAUUAGUCCUAAUCCUCUUGUCUUAAUAACACCAUAUUAGCAGCCUUUCUUCCUCAUUUCUGCACCUUCACAGCCGAGCAAGAGAGAGAGAAAAGGGAGAGCAAGAAACAACCAUUUUCUUCUUGAUUUACACCAUCCAAGUGAGAAACAAAAAUUCUAAACCGAUUAAAGUGAGGGUUGUGAGUUGGGAAGCUUGAGGAACUAAGAAAUUUCAAAGGGGGUGAAGUAUAUCUCUUCCAAGCCUUGUCUUUGAGGUAAAAGUCUGAUCAUGACCCUUGUUCCUUUAAAUUUUGGGUUUAAGAUGUUAUUUAGGUCAUGUUGUAGCUUGAUUACAAGAUAAACAAGAUGUUGUGAUGAUUCUUGGAGGUUUCCCCUUUUUAUAUGAUGAACUAGGGCUUGAGGAAUUUCUGCCCAAUUUGAUGUAUAAUACUUAUAUGUUGCAAUUGAGGUUGUAUAAGGUGUUUUGGUAGUGAUUGGACCAAGAAAUUAAGGAAAGUUGCAUUAGAAACUCAAAAUUUCAGAAUCUGGAAUUUUUUGCUCAACAUUCUGUCCGAAUUUGUAUCUGUAUGAUAGAGGCCGAAUUGGCCUUAGGUCAAAGAAGAAAAGUUGUAUAUAAUGGCAUUUUAUAGGUGCCUACAAAAUUUCAGCUCAAUCGGAGCAACGUAGGAUGUGAAAAGUCCAAAUUACCCUUACUGUUUUAAGUAUUUCCUAAGCAGUCCGUGUGAUCAGUUAAGUCCAGUUUAUCACGUUUUUUGACUAGGAUCCCUUCUGAUUUAGCUUUUUGCCAAAACAUGAAAGUUGUAUUAUUCUGAAUUGGCUUUAAAAUGCAUCUAAGAACACCUAAUUCGGACUUGUGUACACUGAGUUAUGUUCAUUACAGUGUUCUGCAUUUAAACAGCCGAUGAAUUGGUUUCUGGUUUAGUAAUUCGAGAAUUUGACUACGUUACAUUAGGAACUGGACUAAGUGACCUUCAUGAAUAUUGUAUCUCUGUGUCUUAGCUUCGAAACGGCAUAGGUUUCGUUUUAAUCCGAUAAGCGUAGCCUCGGAUAUGUUAUUUCCGCAUUUGUACGUCAAAUCUGUUUUGAACUAAAUUGAAUUUCUGCACUUGUACUUAAUACGAUUCUUGUUAUUAUGAUAUUGUGAGCCUAUGGAACGGCUCUUGACAUGAAUUGCUGAUAUGUAUAAUGUUAGGCUGUGUUUGAGAAAAACAAUGAAGCCUAAAAGGCUGGAAAAUUAGGUAAACACAAAGGGCAUGCUGCCCGAAUUUUUACUCGAGGACUAGAAAACUAUAUUAGCGACUUGAGUGAAGGUUAAGUACUUAUUACUUGAACUAGCGAGAACCUUGGCCACUAUGUUUCUUGAGUGUUAUACGUUAGGACUUGGGCGAACUUGUACCCUUGAGAAAUGAAAUAAUGAUUGCUCGAAGUAUGUUUUCCUUGUACUUUCAACUCGCAAGACAAUUUCAAGUAUAAAUAUUACAAAGUUUUACUGUUUAAAAAGGCGAGCAAGUGUUUCACGACUACUGUCCGAGUGAAUUUCAAUUUAUUGAUUCUUAUUGAACGAAACGUCUAAGUUUCGAACUCUAGUCAUGUUUCAAAGUUCUCAAAUUGAGUUUUAUCGCAGAUUUGGACUCCGAACUCGGAGUAUAACCUGAAAGUGACCAGUAAAAGCACUAUAUCUUUUGGUGAGUGCUUUCAAAUACUGAAUUGAACUUGAUACUUGUACUUGAUACGUGCCAAUAUGAUUACAUGCCACAUGCGUGAAUUGUUAGGGCAAGAGUGUACUUUAUCGCGCUUGCCCUUGCAUGAUAUAUACUUGUUUAUUGUUGCAAUUGACUUGACAUACUUGUUAUGAUGCGCGCACUUCCUGGAAUUCCAGAAACCCUGUGGCAAGUUACUCUAGUCGAGCCGGCAGGGGCAUGGUCGGUUGGGUAACAAGCCCUGGGUCUCUUGCUUUGUCGAGUGGAGUGAUAUCUCCUCGACUAAUUGGUAUACUCGAGUAUUACCACCCGUGUUUAUUGAGGAUUUUGGGCCCAGUAGGGGGUGUGAAUGGUGGACGGAGAGUAGUGUAAGUGGUGUUCUACUGGAUUGGCUCCUUUACUUGAAAGUUGAUGGAGUGUCAACUACUAUGUGAUCAAGCCCUGAUGAUGAAUGGAAGUUGGCUCCUGAGAGCCAUCCGUAUCCUUAUGCUUUGGAAUGAUUAUUGUUUAUUGGAUUAUUGUUUCUUCUGAAAACUUUUACACUCGCUCAUUUUGAGAUUGCUCACUUUUAUGAACUCUUCAUGCUCGUUACUUUGCUAUAUCGAAAACUAGUACUUAUAAAUAAUGGUCAAUUUGCUAUUUGGAACCUCACUGGGCUUUAGCUCACACCACGCUAUUUGUUUUCCUUACAGGGGGUACGAGUGACGCGUGAGACUUGUAAAAGACUAGCGUAGCCUUUUGUUUUGACUUUUGACUUUUGGUCUUGUACUCGUGCUAUUCCUUGAAUGGAACAUGUUGUACUUGGAUUGUAUACGUUUUGAACUAGUUUGGUGUAUUAAGGCUUUGCACCUCGAUUUCUAUCAAUGUAAAUUAUAAGCUUGAAUUGCGGAUAUUUUUUAUGGUUCAUGGAUGUGUGUACAUGACUCGAUCGAGAUAGUGAGUGAGUCCUGGCGAGAGCUGGGCAGGCGGUCCGCCGAACCCUUUGGUACGCCUUAGGGGGAGGUGGGGUCGUCACAGUUAACCCCAUUUGAGUUAGUUAAUUUGCGAUUCUAGUUGAGUUAGAGUUUUAGGAAGUAGUUAAUUGCUUCCAAAUUUGUUUAGAAAAUUGUGUCAAGUUUAGAAGCCAAGUCAAAUAAGGAAACUUGUAUUGUUUCCAACUUAGAUUAGGUUUUUGAGUUGUGUAAGGCUAUAAAUAGCCAAGGUUAUGAUAUUUUCAAUAGUAAGACAAUUAUGAAUAAAAUGUGAGAGUUUUCUCUUUCUUGUUCCUUUGGGAACGUCCCUUGAUACAAAAUGAGUCAAAUCUCUUUUGUUCAAGUUUCGGCUUAUCAAUUCAAGAUCAUGUUGAAUUGUGGCGCCAUUCUACCGUUCUAAACAAUCUCGAGCUGUCCUUGAUUGGUUUAGAAUCCGUCUUUUGUACCCAUAACCUGAUCAAGAUAGAUCCUUCCGCUGCUUGAUCGAUUCGAUUUCUUCUCGAGUGCUCCUUGAAGAAUCGAGUUUGCAUCAAUUAAGGAUGAUCAAUAGGGGACUAAGAAGAGUUAAUUGAGAGAUUAGAUGUGAUAAAGUUAAAUAAAGUUUUUAUUACGCGUACGUCGAUAAUUUCUCGAAAGUCGUACCGCAUGACAAAUUGGAGACUUGAGAAAUUAAUACUAGACUCGUAUGAGGACUCACAAAUUUACUUAUUUUAAAUUCCUAUUAAUAGCUUAUUUAAAUAUUUAAUUGUCCGUUUGCUCUGAAUAUUAUAUUCCAACCUUUUUAGACCCAAUUACAUGGAACUAUGGCUUACAUGUAUUUUUAAAAUGACUUGUUACCAAAUUUAAUUUAUAAAAGCUCAUUUAGUGAGAAUAGUGAAAGCGUGUUCGGAGAUAAUAAUCGAUUUGAGGGUACAAUGAGUUUGAAAAUUGAAGAUUUAAACAUUAGUUCUAAAAUAGGUAUUUUUAUGAUUAAGUACCCAAGUACUAGAUAGUUAUACCAUCAUUAUAAGAAUCCCUUAGAAAUUUUGCUUUAUCGCGUACAAAUCGGAAGUACGCGUUUUCGCACGCGCAAUUAUUUUAGGGAUAUUAGACUCUUAUUUUUAGACUAUUAAGAGUGAAUAAUAAUAGUAUGAAUGGAAGUGCAUUAAAGGUUUAGGGCACAAGUGAAACAAAUUCGAGAGGAAACGAGCACGAAACGCGCGUGCGCGCGCGUCCAUUUAUUUUUUUUAGUUAACUUGGAGUAAUUUUGGGCCACAACUCCUAAGCUUCCUUUAGAAGCUAACUACAUCAGAUUUCACUCCCUCUCACACCCUCAAGUAGCCGAACAACAAGGAGGAAGAAGACCCAAAAUUUUCUUCAUCUCAUCUCACUCAAACUUACACCAAAUCAUCUCAAAUUUCUACCACACAUUCAAAAUCACUUGGAGAUCAUCUUGGGCUAGGAGAAGAGCUUCAUUUCCAUGGUUUUCUUCAGCUUCAAAGGACCGAAAAUCUCUGGUCUUAACAUCUAAGGAGGUAUAUGAUCAUCCACUCUUCAAAUCUUAGUUUAUGUAAGUUAUAUUGCACUUAAAAGCUUGUAGCUUCAUGUGGGUAGCUUUGGAUUGUUGGAAAUCUUGUGAGUGGGUUCUAUGAAAUCCCACAAUGGAUUUGAUGAUCUGAUUUGAUGAGAUUGGAUGUUAAUUGUGUUGAUUAAGUGUUAAUCUAGUAGAGCUAAGUGGUAAAAGUGAAAAGGAAAUCAAAGGAAGUGUUGCAUGUUGAAGGGCCGAAUCUGCCCUGUCUUUGCCAAGCUCCUUGGUGCAAUUUUUUGUGGUUAAAUUGACUUGAUUUUGAUGUAGAUAUGUUGUAUAGGUUGUGUGGAAAGUUUUCACCAAAAAUUACUUGAUUUGGUUGGGUAAAUGUUUAAAUUUCGAAAUGGUUUCAUGGCUGGAAAACUGUCCAGAGUUGCUCUGGCAGCGAUUUUGAAUCGACUAUAACUCUUUGCUCCAACGUCAAAAUUGAGUGCCAUUUGUGGCAUUAGAAACUCGACAUUUCCAGUUUUCCAACAGUAAAAAUUCAUCCCCUGAUUCCACUCGAGUGAACUGUACCAGCCUUUUUAAAGUCACCUGCCCUGUUUCUCGGCUGUGUUAGAAAGCCUAUUACGUGCUAGAACUUGUUGCUUGAAUUUGAGCUAGUUAUUGACAGAAUUUCAGAAUGAUUUCUUCUGAGAAAUUAUAGCCCUAUAAAUGUAGUUUCCAACACCACCAACCACACCCAAUUCCAAGUUGAAUUGAGUGAGUUGUGGCCGAAUUUCAGAACUGCAUUAGUGAUUGAAAACCCUAAUUUUGGGCUAGCCAAUUGCUCAUUUUGAAUUGAGACUUGUUAUUUUGAAACCCUUGGUGUUAAUCACCUAUCAAACACAUUUUGGAUGUUUCUUAGACAUUGUCUUCACAAAUGAACCAUGUUUGAGAUGUGGUCGUUGGCCAAAUAUUUGAGAAAGGAAAAUUGAAGUACAAGGCAUAUUUGCCUUAGAAAUUCUUGAAACUUUAGCGGCUUUGUUAACUGACUUCCCGUAUGAAUUUUUGUACAAAAUUUGACAGAGGAAUAGCCCUUAUACGGUAGUGUAAUACUACCAAAUUUUGUACCAUUCCGAGUCCAUUUCGAUGCCCAACUUAAAGGAAAUUGAGUUUUCGAACUCUCUAUUUUCCUUCGAUAUCGCUGGAUCAUUUUAUACUUGAUUUUAAAGAUGAAAAUCAGAUUUCCUUGUAUUACUAAAACCCCACUUUUGAGCCUCGAUUCACGCGUAAUUAAGGCUCAUUUUCGCGAUACCUUCUUAGAUUGUACACUUGUGCAAUCUUCUUCGAUAAUUAGGGGUUUUAAGUGAUAGUGUGUAAUAGUUUAUUAUUAAUUGCUCAAGCAUUCAAGAGGACCUUCAAGAGAAUCCCACGGUAGACGCCUGAACCCUCGGGUGGACAUUGCUCACUUGUUUCUUUUGUGAUUGAUGAGUGUCAAGUGUGUGAAAUACGUGAUACAUGUUAAAUGCUAUUGAUAUCGAAUAUUUUGAAAAUGCUGAGUCGAGUGUAUACUUUAUCGCACUCGUUCUCAUUGAAGUGAUGUGUACUUGAAUUACUUGACAUGAAAUGCUUGAAUUGGUUGAAAUGACUUGUUAAGUUAAUUAAGUGAAGUGUUUGAGUGAUUAUUUAUGCUAUGACUGCAUAAGUCGUUGGAGUGAAUCUCCUCGACUCAUAAAUGUUAAGUAGGGGACGCCCAACUCUCACUGGCCAACUUUGGACUCGAGCCGACAUGGGCUUGGUCGGGCUCCCUGGUGAACCAUGAGAAAAUGUAAGCUCGACCUAGUGAGAGAUCUUGCGUGGCAUACUCGAGUAGUAUCACCUCAAACAAAUGACAGGCGGGCCCGGUGCAAGGGUAUGUAAUAGUAAACGGGGACAUGAUAAGUGAGAUUCUACGAAUUAUAACCUACCCGAUUGAUGGAGUGUCAACUCGUGGAGGUUCUUGAUCGUGCAAGUGGAAAAUAGCUCCUGAAAGCUCCUAUAUCCUUGAAUUGUUCAUGUUUAUCUUUUCUUGCUCGAAUUGUCAUUUACUCGAAUAUUAUUGCUUUACUCGUUAAUUGGGAAUGUUACUUAGACAACGUGAUUGCAUGUGUGUUCUUGUCCUCACGAGCAAUCACUCACCUCGUAGAUUUGUUUUCCUUAACAGGAAUGGACAGAGUGAAACUUGGUGGAACCCUUUGGAUGUACUUUUGUAUUAGGGUUUCAAAUGUAAUUGACUAGACUUUUGGCUGUUGUAUAUUUUGGGAAUUGAUGUAUCUUUUAGGGAUCCUGAUAUAAGGAUUGGGUAACUUAUGUAUCGUGAACUUGUGGUGUAAGAAAGGAUAAUAUUUAUAGAAGUUUUCCGCACUUCUAUACUUUGUCUUGUCGUUUUAGAAACUAUUGUAUUAAGUUUGAACGGGACUUGUAUCGAGUCCUGGUAAGAGUUGGGCAGGCAUCUCGCGGAUACCUUUUGGUUCGCCUUAGGGAGAAGUGGGGGCGUCACAACGAAGUUUUCGGGGGAUCGAUUUGUCGAAUCUGAAAAAAUUCCGGCUAAAAUGGUCGGAAUCUCAACGGAAUUUAUUUCCAAGGAGAUUUAAGGUCGAAUCUUGACAUAAACAUGCUCCCCACAUUCCCAUGAGUUAAUUUAAACAUCAAACAAACCCAUUAAAUAUCAUAAAUCAUGAUAAAAAUGAGAUCUAAGAUGCAAGCUUUUGAAAACUCAUGAAAUGGCUUAAAAUUACAUGCAAAACAUAAAUCAACCAAGGAAGGAAUCUAUGGUUACCUAAGGAUGUUGUUGAACUCGAGUAGAUGCAGGAAAUUGCUAGAAACUGCGCGCAAAUUCUGGAAACGAAGCAAAAAACUUCCUGUUGCAGAAGUUCAAGAGCUGAUGAACUGGCAAAUUCAGGCUUAAAUUAGAGGGGUUUGGAGACAUUUUUCUAGGAAAUUUUCAAAACAAGAGUUUCUCUCCAAGCGUAGAUGAUGCAGAAACAAAUAUCUUGCCAAUCGGAGUUCAGCUGAAGUCGAAAAAUGUUGACAAAUAGGGCUAUCCAAUCAGCCCUGGCUCAAUUUUCUACAGGAAAUUUUUCAUAGAGGUGAGUUUGGGCUUUGAUUUGAGGAAUUUAUGAUGGUUAUCAGAGAAACUUUUCAACAUGAAAGUUAUUACCCUAGGUCUUAUGAAUACUUAGGAAGAAGAAUCACCACCUAAAAAUAACCUAUAUCGAAAGAGAAAAUUGUGUCUGAACCAAGCUGGUUCAUCAAUCCUUUUUCCAAAAAAUCUUUGAAGAAAACUCUCUCUCUCUCUCCGUUUCUCCUUUUUAUGGUUUUUUGUUUCCUUUUCACCAUCUUCCACACUCUCUUGACCCUAAAAACUCUCUCUUAGCCUUUUAAAUGAAACAAAACCAAUUGAAACCCUAAGAACAAAGGCUUGGGUGAAGCCAAGUUUUUUUGGGUUUAGGUGGCUAUUUCUUGUUCAUUUGAUGUUUUGACAGCUGUUGUUUCAUGGAUUUGUGGUGGUGAGGUGUCCCAAGUACUUGCUAAACUUGGAGGGGGAAAAAUGGAUCCAAAUUGCCAAAGAAACCCAGCUGGCUUUUCUGGUUUCCUGUACUAUUUUCUGGUUUCAUUCAUGAAGCUGAAAUUUAAAAAAAAAAAAAAAAGAAAUGGAAAUGGGCCAGUGGGCCACUUUUCCUUCUCUCCUUUCCAGACUUUUGGUUGGAUUUGCCUUGGGCUUUUGGGGUUUUUGCUUGGACUUUGUUUUGGUUUUGGCUUGGGUUUUGUGAAGUUUUUUUGGGGGGAUUUUGAUUGGAUUUUGGGAGGAAUUUUUGGUUGGGUUUUAAACAAAAGAAAAUCUCUACUUUUUCUUUCAAUUUUGAAAUUCAAUUUUCUUUUCUCUUUUUUCCUAUAAAAUAACACAAAAAAUAAAAAAUAAAAAAAUGAUUACUCAAACAAUAAAAAUACAAAUAAAGAUAUGCAAAAAUUAUUGUUAUUAUUAUUUUUGUGAAGAAUUUGAAAAAAUUUGGUGUCUACUAUCACCUCAAAAGUUAUAUGGAUUUUCAAGAUUCAGGCUUUUGGGUUUCGGACUCAUAUUAAAAAGGCUUAAUCUCAACUCACACUAUUAUACGAGUUUUGGGCUCAAAUCAAGUUUGGGCCAAACUCAUAAUUAAAUACAUAAUUAUAUAUAAUAUAUUUUUUAUAAUUAUGAAUUAAUACAAAUUUACAAAUAAAUUAUUAACAUUUUAUGUCGUAAUAUGUACUAGUACUCAGGACACACACUAAUGUGUGUGCAACUAAUAGAAAAAAAUAUUUGUGAAAUAUUCCGAAUAUAUUUAUUAAAAUCAUUUUCAAGAAAAUUGGUUUUGUAUUUUGACAAUACAUAUGUAAAAAAAUUCACCAAAAUAAAAGUUAAAAAAAAUAGUUAUUUGGUAGUUAUUCAAAACCAUAAUUGGUAGUUGCUAAUUAAAAUUAAGAUUUACUAAAUAAGUUGAAAAAUAGAAUAUGAAAAAAUACAUAUUACUUGGCAAAAAAUCAUAUUGGUAAUGGGUAGUUAUCAAAGAUAGAUAAAUUCCUGUUUAUACCAAAAGUUCCCUCUUCAUCAAGAGUAUAUUUAGGAAUUAUGAAGUGAUAAAUUUUUGUUUAUCCCAAACCCCCGUAUUUCCCUUUAUAUAUAGUAUAGAGAAUUAUAAAUUAUAGAUAUUAUUAUAUCUAUUUUACAUAUAUAAUUGUACUCAUAUAUGGGUCAGGUUUUAACCGACCUGAAUCAAGUAUGACUUAAAUUCGGCUUUGUGACGACCCCACCUCCCUCUAGGGUGAACCCAAGGGUUUGACGGACCGUCUAUUCAACUCUCGCCAGGACUCAUGCACUCACUCAAAUCAAUUCACGAUUUUCAAGCCAAACAAUUUCUUAAAACCAAGAAAGUACUUGAAUAACAACAGCCACAAUCCUUAAGCAACAGCAUUAACUAUUACAACCAUAAUAUUUCAAAUUCAAAUGAAAUCUACACUUCCAAAUGUCCAAAAGACACUCAGGGAAUUGUAGACACCAAAUUUUUGGUUUCGAAUUUUGCUUGUUUAAUUAGUUUAAUUUUAGAUUUGUUGUUUCAAUUUUAGAUUUGUCUUAGGGGUUUCCUGUUUCAUGUCUCUUAUUUUAAUUAGUUUAUGGACAUUUAUUUCAUUUAUGGAUUCAAAAAGAAAAAAUCAUGAAAAAGAAGGGAAAAAGGAAAAAAAAAUAGAAAUUUUGUUUUAUUUGGCUUUAUUUAUCUAUUUUAGUCAUUUCUGCUUAAUUUAUCUUUUAUUUUUGUUUGGUUCAUUUAGAAAAAAAGAAAAAAGAUGGAAAAAUUGAAAAAUGAAAAAAAUGGAAAAAAAGAAGAAAAAGAGGAAAAUCUUAGUUAUUUUUUAUUAUUUAUUUUAUUUUUAUUUUUUAUCUUUCGGUUGCUAAUUUUGUACAUUUUAUUUAAAUUUAAGUUUGUUUGAAUUAUUAUUGUUUUUAUUGUUAUUUAAUUAAUCUUCAAAAAAAAAAAAGAGGAAACGCGGCAUGCAAGCUGCGUUUUUACGCAGCUUGCAAACAAAGGCUCGGGAGCCCCUUAGGCUGCAAAUAUAGGAGAAAGGACUGAGUUUUAGGGUUGGAGGUUCCGAUAAAUAGAAAAGGGGAUGGAGAGCCGCAAAGGGGAGAGAGGAUUAAAAGAUUGACGGUUGAAAAUCUAAAAAGGGAAGAGGUUGAAUGACGGCUGGGUUGAGAAAGGGAAAAAGAGAGCUACGGGCGGAGAAUCUGGGGCUGAUGGCUAAACAAAAUGGUCUGGGGUUUAGCUGAAAGAAAAUCUGGAAGGAAGAGCAAAAGAGAUGGGGGGUUCGGUAACGGAGAAAAAGAAAAAACAGAAGGAGAAGGCAGCGGCAGUGAGGAGGUCUGAGUGACAACGGCAGAGAUGAUCGACUAGAAAAUAAAAAGGAAGGAACGGGAAGAGUGAAGAAAAUCUGGGGAAACAAAAGGGGAAAGAAAGAAACGAAGGGAAACAGAACUUCUGCAAAAACAACUUCUUUUGGAACCAAGCUGGAUUUGCGUCACCUUGGGAUGCGAUUUUCUCCAUCGAAGAGAUCUCUUCUGGGAUGCCUUAAUUGAUCUGGAUAAUCCACGGUGUUUGGGGGAAUCUUUGUGUUACAAGUUUUUGGAAAAAGCCAUUGGAGCGCUAUUGAAUCGAAGCCUGACCCUGCUGCAGUCGCAGCUCUUGCAUCAUCUGCGCCGAGCGUUUCUGCUUAUAGCUGCGGUGCGUGGGUUCCUCUCCCUUCAAGUUUACAACAUCAUCUCGACUUCCUAUAGCAUUUAAGGUGAUGUAGUUCGCUUUACUCUUCCCACUGAAGUUUAAAUCUUGGUAGAACUUGUUUGAAUCUAGCCUGCGUUAUUCUCUUCUUUUGCUGUACUUUUCCUGCUUAUCUUAUGCGAUGAUAGCUCAGGUUUUAUGGCACAAAUUUGAUAUUAAAUGUACCAAGAUUGAAUCUUGAUGUUUGGGGCUCCUUAAUCUUGUUGUUUUGGUCUGAAAGCCUGAAGUUUGGCUUGUAUCUUGUUACCUGGGUUCGAUACAAAUAGCAACAAAAUUGCAGCAGGAGCCUGCCAAGCCAUAGAAAAAUUAGGAAAAGAAAGUUGCAUGUUCCGUUUUCUUCCUUUGCUUGCUCAGAUGUUGAGGUUGUGUGUUUGGAUGCAUAUAUUUCGUGUUUUUCUUUUUAUAUCAGUUUGUUUUACGCUUAAGCUUGCGCAUGAAAUCUGUUGCAACAAGCUAAGCUCGAAGUUCACAGUUUGUUGCAGCUAGUUUUGUUGCUAAAGGUUGUUUGCUUGAAUGUCGAAUUUCAGUGGUCUUGAUGUUUGAGAUCAUAGCUUUGCUGUUUGGUUGAGAGUUUGGCUGUGUUUAGAUGAGAAAAUCAUAUCGGAUGAACACCACAAGUGUAGCUAACCGUAGCUAGGAAAAUUGCACAGCUUUGUUAUUUGAUGCUUGCAUGAUCUUUUGAAUGAAUUUCUGGGUUUUAAACACAAAGAUUUCAUGAUGAGAAGUGAGAUGAAUGCUUAGUAAUUGUGUUGUAUUAGUUGCUUGAGAUAUCAAAAUGUUGGUUGUUUGAGGUAAUGAAAUGGAAAGGAGGCUACGGUAAAAAUUGCAGUAGAAAGAAACCAGCAAAAUUGCAGAAGGUUUCAUCGUAAGCUUUGCAUGGAAAUGUUCUCAAAACUGCAUUUCAGCCCCCCAAGUUCCCGAAAACUCUGUUAUGGCCUAGAAACUUUGGAAAUCAAUCAAUUUGGUCCUUGGCAGCUUUAGUUUUUGCAAUUUCAUUGUUUGUUUUGCUUCAAUUAACUACCAUGCUUUGUCAAUUGCACUUAAGUCAUGACUUUAGAGGCUUUACGAUUAAGUGAGCUUUGUAUUUGCGCAUUUCUUUAAAUUUUCCCCAAUAAAUUGGUACCUUGACCAUUUCUUUUAUUUUGGAGGAUAAAUAAGUGAUUUCACUCCAUUUAAGGCAUCAACUCAAGGGAGGUAUAAUUUCUUUUAUCUUUUUUGUCUCUCCUAUGUGAUCCAACGUGCUACGUGAAAAUUGCAUGUCUACUUGCUUCCCUUGUUUUUCUUUAAUUCCUUUCAUUUACUUCAUUUACUUUUGCUUUUUUAUUUAAGUUAUCCUUUAUGGGGUAUGUGUACACCUCUUGGCUUGUAAUAGUUAGGGAUUUAAUUAUUUUAUUCCUUUUCCCCCUUUUAGAUUGUAGUAGGGUCUCCCUAAUGUAAUAGAUAAGGCUUGGAGGAGCAUUCAAUGAAGACCUAUCGAAGUCAUGUGCCUAGCUAGCAAAUGUAAUAGUUAGGGCUUUAAUUGUCUUAUGUGUCUUGCAUGCUUAGUUACUACGUGUUAAUUUGCUUUGUUAGGGCCUUGCAUCUAGUCGAGAAUGCUAAAUGUUAUGUGCUAUGUGUUUAUAAGUGUUUGGCAUGUCUACUCGCUUUCCAUAGCCUGAAUGAAUGUGAUGGAUGAAUGUACGUUUCCACUAGUCCAACGCUAGUCGGAAUUCAUAGAAUGGGCUAGUCCAACGCUAGACCCUUAGGGAUUUCCCCUCGUUAGUACAUGUUUGCAUGUUCAUUACAUGUCAUGCAUUUUUUUUAGUUUUAUCAUUUUGCAUGCCCCUCGAAACCCUUUUCCCUCCAUUUUAGGGCUUUUGCAUCUCAUGCUAGUUAUAGGGUUCAUUUGCUUGAGAGUCCCCUUAAAUAUGGGAUAUAGACGAGUGUGGCUUUUUCUAAGCCUUAGCACGCUUGUAUUCCCUCUAUAAAAGGGCAAAUUGAGUCACGAUUUAGGUCUCCCCGUACCCAAUAUGCAUGAAUUCCCUAGGCUCAUGCAUUUUUAAAUCCACUCUACCAUUUUCUACCCUCAUCACACUUUCAUUUUUUCCUCCCAUUUUGCACACGUGCACCUUUAUGUUUCUUCACUUGCACACGAAACACUUUUAUCAUCACUUGCACACAUGCACUUCAUAUUAUCCUUUCACAUACCGUACCUUGCUCACUCACGUGCACAUUUUCACUUACAUAUUAUUGUCUUUUAUUACCUUUUUUCAAACUCAUGUCCUCACAUUGCAUACAUGCAUUCCAUUCAUUUGCAUCCCACUCGCAUUAUUCGUGACUUCUUCAAAGGAUCGUUAUUGGGCUCCACAAUUAAUGUGAUUGGCACCACUCAACCUUUGAAGAGAAAUUUCCCCCAAUACCCCUAGGUCUAGGGUUUGCAUUCAUGUAGUGCAUCCAAAUGUAAUAAAUUCUUUGGUUAAAACAAGAAAAUUUUUGAUUAAAUCAUGCAACUAGCCUUGGCUAGGUCAAAGGGGUGCCUUGGAUUUUAUCCUUGCCUUUCCCUUUGUCAAAUGUGACUCCCGAACCUUUUUCUUUGGUUUACGUGGACUAGGAGUCGUUUAAAAGGGGUUUCUUACUACUUUUUUCCUAUUUUUUUCUUUAAAAAUUCAUUUUUAGGUGACUUGGUACACCUUAAGUCAUUACCAAGUGGCGACUCCGAUUUUUUUAUUUCAAAAACCCUUUUUAAACUAUAAUUUUGGGUCAAAUCGUCGCAUUCUCAAACCCCCAUUUAGACCCAUUUUUCUUUUUAAAUCACAAUUCAUUUUUUCAAUCACAAAUUGAAUCAAAAAAUACAUUUUUAAAACCAUUUAUUUAUUUAUUCAAAAAUGGGGCGCGACAGGAAUCACACUAACUCUAGACAAAAGUUGGCUAGUCUAGUGCCUCCAAUUCUUCACUUCAAAUUCCUGUUAAGGAAUAACAACUUAAAGGGAUGAGCGAACGCUCAAUGAGGCCAAGAAAUCAAGCAAGCAAGUAGGGCAAGUACCAUAAUUCAACUCAAGUAGCACAUAGAUAGAAUAACAACAAUGGUUUCACAUAAAGCCACAAAAGGACUAAAACACGUUCAUUAAGAGGAUACAAGAGCUCUCAGAAACCAAUUUUCCGUUGCAGUAGCUUGAUCCAAACCCAUUGACACUCCGUUAACGUUUAAAGAAGUAAAAACAAUAACCAUAGAUAUCUAAUUUACACCAAUUUCCGUCCACGAAACAUACCCUUUAUCGGGGCUGAACACCAAAUAAAAACAGUGGUGGUAGUACUCGAGUUUACCCAAGCAAGAACAAGUAUGGUCGAAGAGAGAACACUCCAAUCGACUUAAUCAAGAUAGAGGCACUGAGACGGGAUAAGAGGUACCUCCCACUCGGAUUGAGUGUUCUACAUGCUGCCGCUCAGCGCUGGGUCGACGAGAUAACUCUCCAAUCGAGUUAAUCAGGAUAAAAGUACUGAGACGGAAUGAGAGGCACCUCCCACUCGAAUUGAGUGUGGUACAUGCUACCACUUAGCACUUACAAGUCAAGCGCAAGCACAAACAUAAAUUCAGGUCAAUCAAGCUCAAACAAUUACAAGAUCAUUCAAGAAAGGGAGGACGAGUGUGAUAAAGUACACUCUCGCCUCAUCAAAUUCAGUAUUCAACACAUAACACGUGGCAACAUGUAUCAUUCAAAUCAAGAUAUCAAAAAACAUGCACUUGACACUCACCAUGUAAAGCAAAGCUUAAACGUCUGCCUCGGGUGCAAAUCGUGUGUUUACUUCCAAGUCCUAGAACCAAGUAAUUAGAGUACAAUGAGAUUCACUACUCCAAACCACCAUUUAAUCAAAACUACUCCAAGUCCCAACUUAGAAGUCCCAAGAUGUUCCUCAAGAUUUCCAUAUUUUUACGUCCCUAAAAGUCUUCCAAAACACAUGUUUUCAAGCUCAAUUCAAAGGGAAAAUCCAUGUACAUGUUAGGUCAAUGGUUCAGGUAUAAUAUGGAGUGAAAAAUGUUAAAUUGAACCAAGAAAAGUGAAGGAAAGAGUGCAAAGGAGAAGAAUCAAAGUGACAGCAUUGACACCUCUCGGCAUUUUGAUCAUAAUUGGAGGUACACUUAUCGGAUUGAGAUGCAUUUUAUGGCGUUUCGAAACUAAAACAUAGAUCCAUAUUUUUUAUGAAGACAUUGAAAUUCUUUUUGUGAGGACCCCGGAAAUUGUAUUUAUUUUAUCAUAUUUCUGUGAGCACAUUUUCUUUACUUUACUUUAUUACCUUAAUUUCCUAGAUAUUUUUAUAAAUAAGUCAAGUUUUAACUCAUUUUCUUGAUAUAAGUUAGUAAAUGUUAAGUGUAAGAACCCUCACUUAAAAAUAUAAAUUCUCCUAAAUCACUUGCAUUUCCCUAAGACUAAAUCACUUAUGACAUUUCCUUGCAUUGCAUUUCAUUACCUUUUACUUGAAUUGUAACAUUUCCUUGAGUUGCCAUUAUUUUAUUUCACCACAUGCAUUAUGACCAAAUAUCCCUUUUAUUAUGCGUAAGACUUUAUCUAAUGGUUUAAGGGUGUUAAUUAAGUAUUGGAACAUUUGGAGGGUAGAAACUUGAUUAGUAAAGAUUAAAGGAAGAAAUGGCCAUGAUUGAGACAAGUGGCCAAACCCUAACCAUUCAACUUUUGACCAAAGGAAUUAGAGCAAAUUUAAACCAUUCUUGGCUCCAUUUUCUCCUCUUAUGGCAGACCACUUUGAAGCUUCCAAGGGAAGAGAGAAAACUCCAUUUUCUUGCUUAUAAACUCUAGCUUGAUCCUUGAGCAAAAAUCAAAAGUGAAGAAACCUAGCUUAGUUGAGUUAACUACCUUCAAGCCUAGUGUGUGUUUCAAGCUUGGAGUUUUUGUUUUGGUGGCUUUUGGGUGAUUCAAGCUUCACUUAAGAAAGGUAAAUGAUUUUUGAAUCUUAGCUUUAUAGUGUUAUAUCAAGUGUUUAAAGUUUUAAUGGCAAACUAAGAGUUGAAUGGAUGAUAUUUGUGGUGAAACUUCUUGAACUAAACAAGUGGAAGUAGGGUUAGUUGUUUUGCAUACCAUGUGUUUGAUAUUUUGUCCAAGCAUUGUGGUUUUACUUGAUGUAUUAACAUGUUUUGGACCCCUUUUGAGCUAAGGACAACUCUUGGAAUGAUGCUUAAGUUAACUAUAAUGAAAGAAUGGAAGUUGGUGAUACAAGUGAACUAGUGGACUGUUUUGCUUUCUCUUGGCUGACCAGUUUUGGAGGGGAGGUUUCUCCUUGAUUUUUUUGGUUCAUUUGAACCUUAAUUAAGCCUAAGAAACUUGGCUAAACAUUGGUUUAAGGUUUGGUGUGAAUUGAUAUGGAAAUGAAGCAAGUAAAGUGGUUGUUUUAGGGCAAGUUAGUGGAUUGUUUUAGUUUUCUUUGUUGGCUAGACUGUUUUAGUUCUUUUAAUCAUGUUGUGCAUUGCAUUUUAAGCUUCAAUGGUGCUAGAUAACUUGAUCCCCUGUAUAUGAACUCUAGGAGGUUCAAUUGGAUAAAUCUGAACCAAAACAAGUGAAGUUAGGAAGAAGAAGUAGGGCAACUUUAUCAUAGUAUUGAGCUGAUCAGAACUGAAAAAUUAGCUGACUUCCCUGAAUCCCUGGUACUAAUAAGAGACGAUCUAAAGUUUGAAUUUUAUACCGUUGGAAAUUCUUUCGAGUCUAGUUUCCAAUGCCACUAACAGCAUAUGAUUUUGACAUUCCUACAAUGAGAUAUGGUCGUUUUCCCGAAACUGCGCGAGCGCGACUGUUUUACCCGCGAAGACUAGUUUGAACUUAAAUGAGAUUUUCCUUUUGCUCAACUUUCUUGCACUUGUUAAACUAUUUUUCUUAUGACCUUUUACUACAUUUUGGGCCUAACUUUGAUGGUAAAUUGAGUAAAUUUAACCACUCACUUGGUCACCUAAUGAACUCACAUUUGGGUUGGAAAUGAACCUAGAAUGUUAACGACUUUCACUCGUUGCCCUAGGAUUUAGGAAGCGGAGGUGAUAGUUAUAUGCUAUAUAUAUGCUUGAUUUAGUGAGUUGUUGGCAUGGUAUGUAUAUGCUUGAGUUGAGGCUGUUUUAUGGUAAGAAUGAAUCCUUGAAUUGGCUGGAAAAAAAAUUGGUAAACACAAAGGAAGUGCUGCUGAAAAUUUGUCCGCAAGAAACCUUGGGCAGUCUUAGGAAAUCUGUUAUAUCUUGGUGUAGAAAAUUCAAAAUUGAGUUCCGGUUGUUGUGUUUGAAACUAGAUUCAAAAUACCUUCUACCGUGCAAAUUUCACACUUUUCUCAAUUUCUAUGAAUAUCUGUGAUUUUUCAAAGUUGACUGAUUUGCCAUACCUGUUCUGUCUUUUGACUGGAUGAAGCAGCAACUUGAGGCUGGAAUUUGACUAACUUGUGGACUAAAUCUUACAAAUGUGUCUUCUAGGAAAUUGUAACCCUUUGAAUCCAUUUUCUGAUGGUAUAAAUUUUAUAAAUUUUGGACUUAAGAAACUUGAGAUAUGAUUUUUCAAAUAAUAUUGCGCAAAAACUAGAAAAUUCUGUUCUCUUAGAACCAUUUUUACUUUCAUUUCCCCCUUUAAGGUUGGAGUUGGUAAAUCAUUUUGGGUAUGGUUUAUGAGUGGAAUUGAGGUUUAAGUGAAAUGAAAUGAAUUCUGAGAAACUUUAAUUUCUUCAUGUAUUUUGGCUUUGUAUUGCUAGCCUUUUUAUAUAAUAUAUGACCACAGGACUCGAGAGAGUUCAAGAGGACGAACCAAGAUUAAAGUGAAGGGUGGCAAUUGAUUGGUGAGUAUUCCAAGUACAUGAAAAUAUUUACAUGGAAUGUUUCCUUGCUUGAAUAACAUGCUUACUUGGUUAAAGUAAUUGCUCUUGAAUUGAUAACAUUUGGGACGAGCUUGUACUUUAUCAUACUCGAUCAUUUGUAGUUCAUUUCGUGAUAUUGAUAUGAAAUGAAAUGUUUUGCUUGCACUUGACUUAUUGGUCACUAGAGUGGUUAUCCCACCGACUUACGUGUUACAUGCUCAUUGUUGUUAAACAAUGCUAGGUACUUGAUUUCUUGUCUCAUAGGCAAGUGUGUACUUUAUCGCACUUGACCUAACUCGAUUAAAUUUGUGAGAUUUUGUUAAAACAUGUGUUGUCGUUUUGUUACAACUGAAAAGUGGCCAGAAUCCUACCACUUUUUGGUCGAAUUUCUGGUCGGAUUGUCCGACGGAUUUGUGGUCGGAUUUGCUGAGAAAAUUUCUGAUUUCUACAAUCCUUAUCGCACUCGGCCUCCCCUUCUUGAAUGAUCUUGUACUCGCUUGCACUUGAUUGACCAGUACUUGUGUUUGUGCUAGUGCUUGACUUGUAAGUGCUGAGCGGUAGCAUGUACCAUACUCAAUCCGAGUGGGAGGUGCCUCUUAUCCCGUCUCAGUACUUUUAUCCUAAUUAAGUCGAUUUGAAAUUUAUCUCAUCGACACUAGUGCUGAGCGGUAGCAUGUACCACACUCCAUUCGAGUGGGAGGUGCCUCCCAUCCUGUCUCAGUACCUCUAUCCUAUUUUGUCGAGUGGAGUGUUAUCUCCUCGACUAAUUGAUAUACUCGAAUAUUACCACCACUGUUUAUUUCUGAAUACGGAGCAUUAAGUGACAACUAACGUCUCCAAGCUUUACUGUGUGAGCGUUGGAUAACAACCAACGACUCUAAUCUUGAUUAUCUGAAUACUUGGAGCUAUAAGUCAUAUCCUGAAUUACCGAAUAUAUAGGACUAUAAGUCCAACCUAAAGUUAGUUGGUUGAAUCGAGCCAGCAAGGGCUGGGUCGGGGAGAACGACGAACCUUGGGUACUUCUUUGGCGUUUGGGCCCGGUAAAGGGUAUGUUUGGUGGACAAAAAUUGGUGUAAAAUGGAGAUCUACGGACGGUAUACUUUCGUGGUUAACGGAGAGUCAACAGACCUUGAUUAAGCUACUGUGGAACUUGCUCUUGAGAGCAACCUAUAUCCUUUGCCAUGAAUGUGUUCCUUAAUGUAACCUUUGCCAUGUUUUAUCUGGUUACUUGCGUAAUUAUAUACUGAAUUAUAGUCUCAUUGAAGUUGACUUGUUUCUCGAUGUCUGGAUAUACUAUCUUGUCUCGUAUUUUACCUGCUUAGUGACUUGGAAUCUCACUGGGCUUUUAGUUCAUUCCACGCCAUUUGUUUUCCUUACAGGGAUGAGAACAUGAGAGGUUGAUUGAGGAAGGCCUCAUUUUCUUCUAAGUUUGUUAGUUGCUCAUGUGAGCACUGCAUAGGUGUCUAGCCAACUUGUUUGGUUUGAUUUUUUUUGCAAGUCCAACUCUCUAGCUGUAUUAUAGACUGGGUGGACAUUGGAGAUCCAUGUAUGUAUCUAUAAUGAUGGUUGUAAUUGAUAUCAUUUUAUUUUGAGGUUCUAUUUGUAAAUUUUCGUGAAUUGUGGCUGAGUUCUGGCGAGAGUUGGGCACGGUCCGCCAAAUCCUUGGGUACGCCCUAGGGGGAGAUGAGGCUGUCACACAUUUCAUGCAUUUUCGUGGUAAAAAAUAGCAAUCACAGAGGCACAAGAAAGUUGUCACUCAUAUCAGGGUAUUUGAGCAGUCUCGAAAAAAUGGUUAUAACUCAAUGUAGAAAAAUCGAAAUCGAAUGCCGUUGGUUGCAUUUGAAAAUAGACUCAAAGAGAUUUCCAACGGUAUAAAAUUUAGACUCUAAUUCAUUGUCAAUUAACUCCAAAAAAUCUGACAACUUGACUGAAAAUGCUCUCUGAGUUUCAGUCCAUUUUGCAACUUUCCAACAAGAAAACAAGAAAUUCAUAGUUUUGGUUCAAAUUCAACAUACAAGUAAAGAGUGAUGUGUUAACUAGUUUCUUGAACAAGAACUUGCCCACAAUUAUUAAGAAAAAGUGGAAAUCAAGGCUGGAAUAUCUUCCCCUAUUUUGGACAGCAAAGGCAGAAUUUUUCUACAAGAAUUUUCCAAACAUUUCUCCAUCAAAUGUUCCCAAUUUUCCCAUAACAAAUCCAUGAACAUAUCAAACAAUAUAUAGCCAAGAUUGUUAGCAAGAAAAACCAUGAAAAUUUGCAUAUAAACAACCCUUAACAAAAGAUCAAACACUUGAUGGACAUAGAGAUUUCUUCCAUUUUCACCAACAAAUCACUAGAAAUAUAAUUCAAAUCCUCAAGGGUUUCGUCAAUCAUUAACCCUUGAAUAUCAAGAAACAACAAUCCACAAAUUCUUGGCCAAAAUUUUCAAGAUUCAAACAUACAAGAGACUAUCAAGCUUCUAGUACCAAAACUUCCAUAAAAAUUUCAAAUCCACCAUAGAUCUUCCAUGAAAUCCUCCAAUAUCAAGUCAUAUGUGGAUUAAAUUGCAAAGUAAGAAGAAAAAGAGGGUUUCUUAGUAUAAUACCUCAAAAUCCCAAUAUAAGAUGCAAGACAAGAGGUUUCUUCCUCAAAUAACUUCACCACAAGCUCACUUCCAAACUUGAUGCAAGAUUUGUCGGAGUAAAUUUGAGUUUUCUCUUGUUUUCCCUCACUAAUUGGACAAGAAUCAAGGCUUGAACUUGGAGCUUUUCUCUCCCUUUCUCUUCUCACGUUUUUGGCCAAGACAAGCAAAAAAAGAAGAUGAUUUGGAUGAUAUAAAACUUGGUUGGUCAUAUAAGGACUUGGUCUUAGUCAACUUUCCAUGGAUGAUGGACAUUUGGCGAGAAAAGGAGUAAUAUCUAUCCAUUUAGCUUCCUAACAUCCAAAUGCUCCAAUUAGCUUGUAACAACUCUUGUCACAUAAUUUUUUUUUACACAAAACUCCUUCUAAUCCUCCAAAUUUAUGAUACACACUUCACACUAGUAUUAUGCACUAUGAGAUUUAACAUGUAUCACAUGAAAAAUGCACCAAGUAAAAUAAGAAAAUAGGUUAAAAUCAUGAUUCAACUAAUAAAACAACCAAGAAUUUAAGGCAAGUAAGUUCAAAUAAGAGCUAUAAAGACAAGCAAAAUGUCGGGCCUCACAGGUUCACAUUUAAUUCGGGCAUAAUGUUUAGGUCCAAGUUCUAUCCAGUCCAAUUAAAUCUUAGGUUCAGUGAGCUUUUUUUGGACCGAACGAGUCGAGCUAGAUUUGGCCCAACCCUAUUGACAAUCCUAGAUCAAGCACAUUAUAUUGAAAAAUUACUAAAGAAAUAUAAUUAUGGUGAUACUAAAUAUGUAAGUACACCAUUUGAUCCUAGUGUUCACUCAUUUCGAACUGAAAAUGAAAAUGAUGUGUACAACCAAAAAAUAUAUGCUAGUAUAAUUGGAAGUUUAUGUUAUGCAACUAAUUGCACAAACCAAAUAUUGCACAUGUUGUAGGAGUACUUAGUAGAGUUACUAGCAAGCCAAAUAUUACUCAUUGGCAUGCACUUGAGUGUCUUAUGAAAUAUUUAACUAAAACUAAAUCUUAUGGCUUAUUCUAUGCAAAUUACCCUGCAGUCAUUGAAGGAUUUUGUAAUGCAAAUUGGAAUACAUUGUCUGGAGAUUCAUUAUCUAGUACUGGGUAUAUUUUUACUUUAGCUGGUGGUGCAAUAUCUUGGAAAUCAAAGAAGCAACAAAUUAUAGCAAAAUACACAAUGGAAGCUGAGUUAAUUGCUUUAGCUUUUGCUAGUGAAGAACCAAGUUAGAUACAAGAUCUUAUACAUGCAAUUUCUUUAUAGGAAAAACUAGUGCUGCCAAUAUUAAUACAUUGUGAUAGCACUGCAGCAAUUGACAAGGUAAAUAAUCAAUACUACAAUGGAAAAUCAAGAACAAUAAAGAAGGAGGAACACUUUUGUUCAAGCAGGUAUUGAAAAUGGUACCAUCAAUGUGAAUUAUACAAGGUCAAGUGAUAAUAUAGCUGAUCCCUUGACAAAACCUCUAGCUAGAGAAAAUGUUUGAAAUACCUUGAUAGGGAUGGGAUUAAAGUCCAUAAAUACAUAAAUCACAUGUAAGGACACCCAAUCUAAUGAUUGGAGAUCCUAAGACUUAGGUUCAAAGGAAAAAAUGAAUUACAUAGUGAUUUGAAUAAAAAUAUGCACAACUUUAUAUUAAUAUUCAAUCGCUAUCGUAUAUGUGCAUAUAUCAUGUAAAGUAAGUAAGGUUGAGCUUCGUUGCCCUUAAUGAAAUCUAAGUGAUGCGGUCAGUCAAGCAAUGCAGAUGUUAGAUGACUCAAGAGCGAAUGCGAUUAGAGUUCUAACAAGAUUGAUUACAAGAGCUCGUACGAAGAAAAUGAAAGACGCAUUGCAAGUGUUUGUUUGUGCAAUACAAGAUCAAGUGGGAGCUUGUCAAGUAAUUGAAGGACUUGGAAAUCAAUGCUUAAGUGUUAAUCUACUUCAAGUUAUUGAUGACACUGACCAAGGAUCAUGCUUUUUUGAAGCUAGGAAGAAGUUAGUGUAGCUUGUCAUCAAAGCAAAUGCACAGAAAUGAAGAAAGAAGCGGAUCCGCGACCUGGAUCCGCGAGUUUUACAUCUGUGCAUGUUUAUUUGAACAUUUUUGCUUGAUCUUCUGGCAAUGUCCGGCGUGAUGUCCAGUCCCAUGUCCCGGGCUGUUCUUUGUCGAGUCAAUUUUUCAGAUUUUAAGCGAUUUUCAUAGUUUUUAAGUUGCUUUCUAUUUCCCCGCAUCCAAAUAGUUCUAGUAAGCCUACUAAGGCAUAUCUAUCAUAUGUAGCAUGAUAAUUGUGUCUUGUUAGGGUUUAGGAGGAUGUGUCUAGUUUAGAAGUCAAGUCAAAUAGGGAAACUUGCAUUGUUUCCAUCUUGGAUUAGGUUUUGCGCUUGUAAGGCUAUAAAUAAGACAUAACUUUGGAACGUUUUCAUUAUUGAUUCAAUAAAGAAAUUUUCCAGCAACUCUUGAGAGAAUUCUCUUGGCUUCUCAAAACAACCUUCGAAUACUUUAGAACAAUUUCUUGGUAGUCAAACUUAGACUUAUCAAACAAGAAACACACUUGUUUGUGGUGCCUUUCGAACAACAUCCUGAAUGUCUUUUCAUCACUUAUUGUGAAUAAGGGUCAAUUAUUGGGUCACAAUUAAGGGGUUUAAAGGUUUUAAGGAUUCCACACCUUUCAAACUUGGGAAAUCAUCUUAGAUUUUGGAACUUGUGGAAUACGAGACUUCCUUCACGGUUGGGUUCAUAUCAGUUGGUAUCCAAAACUAGUUGACAUAUUCAGGUUAUAUCCUUUUCUUUCUUAAGUGUUAUUGUGUCAAUUCUUAUUUUUGUCAAUUCGGUCUUAGAAUAUUUCUAGGGUUUCCUUGUUUUUGCAAGUCAAAAAAUAUAUUUUCUGUUUCACCUUGUUCAUUGAAUGUUGGUGGCGGACUUUUUUUUUGUUAUUCUUGAAGUAUAUUUUAGCUCUUGAAGUUCUUGGACCAAUUCUUGAAUUUCUUGAACCACCUAGAUUACUUUCUUGAAAAUCUUGAAGUUUUUGAAUUUUAGUUUCGGGUUUCUUGAAGUUCUUUCGCUAUAUUUUGAUGAUUUUUUAAGUUCUUGAACAAAAGAAAAAAAAAAUUGAGUCCUUGAAUUCGGUGGGAGGGUGAAAACCGAAUCUUGGAAGCUACAAAAAAAAAAGGGCAGCUUAUCAAUUCACCUUGCAAAUAGUUUAUAAUAGUCACCUUGAAAUCCUUCUACACUUGGAAAAGAGGUUGAACCUAGCUGAAUCUGUCCAAAACAAGAAUCCAAAUCACAAUUAGAUUUGAAUUUCAAUUUAUUCAUCGGGUAGAGUAGCUUUUCUAGGAUUCUAAACUUCAACCGAGUUCCACAAAUUUUCAGCCACUAAUUUGUAGUUGUUUGUGUCUAAAUUCAGUCUAGUUGAGCCAAAUUCAUUACCACCAAAAGCUACAUUAAAGUGUGACUCAUUUGAAAGAUAAAUUUGAUUACUCUUGGACUGUUCUAACUUCUUCAAGGGUGAAAGAUAAAUUUGCUUACUCUUGGACUGUUCUAAUUUGAGAAUAUUUUGGUGAGAUUCUUAGAGUGUUUGAGAGUAAACACGUAAGAGAGUGAGUAAGGAAUAUUCUUAUUUUAUUACUAAUCUAUUUUACAGUUUACUUCCAAGAUGUCUAACAAAGGAGGAGAAAGCUCCCAAUCUUUCGACUUCAAACUUUUUGCAGAAUCUUUGAGGGGCGACAUUGGACAAAUCAUGGACCAGAAAUUGGAGGUGAUUCAUGAGAGGAUUGAUCAAUUAGGAUCCGCAAUAAGUGCUAGCAAAGGAAGUCAAGGUAGAACACCAUUACAUGAAUCUAAAAAUUCCAAUUCAGAUGAUGAAGUGGUGAGUAGACCGAGGAGGAACAAGAGGGAUUCGAGGAUUGAAUUUAAAGCUAUAAAAGGAAUCAAAAUAAAAAUUCCCUCCUUUCAAGGAAGAUCUGAUCUGGAUGCUUAUCUUGAAUGGGAGAAAUGCGUAGAACUCAUCUUUGAUUGUAACUCCCACACUAAUGAGCAAAAAAUGAAACUUGCCAUAAUGGAGUUCACUGAUUAUGCCAUCAUUAGGUAGGAUCAAGUCACUACCAAUAGAAGAAGAAGUGGAGAAUUACCAGUGACUACUUGGGUAGAAUUAAAGGUUCUAAUGAAGAAAUGCUUUGUCCCUAGUCAUUACCACCGCGACUUGUAUGAAAAGUUGCAAAAUUUGACUCAAGUGAAUAGAAGUGUUGAGGACUAUUACAAGGAGAUAGAGGUCUCACUGCUUCGAGCCGACAUUGUGGAAGAUAGAAAGGCUACCAUGGUGAGGUUUUUGAGUGGCUUACGACCAGAAAUUGCAGACCAAGUUGAGAUGCAUCAAUAUGUUGAAAUUGGUGACAUGUUGGAAAAGGCAAUCAAGGCUGGGAGGAGAUUAAAGAGGAGUGGUCUAAUGAAAUCAACUCCUAGCCCUUCACCAUCUUAUUCAAGCACACCAAAGUUAGGUGUGAUAAGAGAGCUUCAAUCAGCAAUACACCUUUCCCAAAACCAAGACAUAAUUCAUCAAAAAGGGAAGCAAAGCCAAUCAUUAAGCCUCCUAAUGAGACACUAAAACCAAGAAAAAGAGACAUGAAGUGUUGGAGGUGCCAAGGGCUUGGACAUAUUACAAGUCAAUGUCCUAAUCAAAGAGCGAUGCUUGUACUCCCAAGUGGUAAAAUUGUGAUAGACGAUGAAGAAGAAUAUAAAGACAUGCCUCCACUAGUAGAGUCACAAGAGGAAAUUCCCACUGAUGAAACGGUUGGUCUAGGCUUGGUUACAAGGCAAGCUUUGGUUGUACAUGUUAAAGAGGAAGAUGCUCAAAGGGAGAACAUAUUUUAUACACGAUGCCACAUUGAGGACAAAAUGUGCAGUCAAGUCAUUGAUCCGAGUAGCUGUGUGAAUGUAGCAAGCAUGUUGAUGGUUGAGACGUUGGGCUUGGAGACCCAUGAGCAUUCUAAGCCUUAUCGACUUCAGUGGCUUAACAACUGUGGUGACAUUCACAUAUCACAUUAGGUAUUUGUUCUAUUCAAAGUUGGUAGAUAUGAGGAUGAAAUACUUUAUGAUAUUAUACCUAUGCAAGCUAGUCAUUUUUUACUUGGUAGACCUUGGAAAUCUGAUAAAAAUGCAAAUCAUGAGGGUCGAAUCAAUAAGUAUAGCUUUGUGCAUAAUGGUAGAAAGAUCACUCUUGUACCUUUAUCACCUAAGCAAGUGUAUGAGGAUCAAGUACAAUUGCAAAAAAAGUAUGAUGCAAACAUUGAGAAAAGAAAAAGGGAGAGAGCUAAGAGAAAAUCAGUAAAGGGAUCCGAGAAAAAUAAGAGGAAAAAGGCUAUCAAUGAUUGGAUCUUGACAUAAAAACUGAGGGAAAACGAAUUCUGAUUGCAAAAGCCAAAGAUGUGAAGGAGAGUAUUUGCCAUGGUCGAACCUGUGAGGCCCCAGUCCGUUUUACGUUGAUAUAUUCAUUAGUUGGGCGGUAACGUUUGGUUUCGGGAGUAUUUCGAAAACUCUAAGUAGGGAUUAAGAUUUAAACCCUAGUUAUGUAUUGGUUACAAGUUCGAGUGGUGAUUAAAGUUAGUAAAGUUAAUGUGUGUCUUAGUGUGGAUAAGUAUAGGAUUUAAUCCAUUUUGUAUAGGUUAAUUAAGUUUAAGAAGGGUAGAAACCCUAAGUGAGCAAAAUCCCUAAUUUUGCCCUUGACAAAAAGGUUCUUGUUUAAUUAUUUUUAUGUGGGAUAAAGCAUGCUUAAGUGUAAGUGAUUAAGAUGAGAAAGUGAUUAGUGAAGUAAUUAAGUGUGAUUACAUGUUUUAAAAGAGAUUAAGUUAUGACUUAUGGAGUAAAUUGAAAGAUUAUCAAAUGUGUGAGGGAAAUUGUGUAAGAAAGAGAAAGUUAAAGUGCAAGGGUUUAAACAACAAAUAAAGCAUUUUUGUGAUUGGCUAGCUAUAAGAAAUAUCUCCCAAAGCUUUGAGUAUAUGUUGUCUUACAACUUAUAAGAAACAAGAGAAAACAAAACAAAACAAAACUAAGAAAAAAAGAAAGGAAGAGCCGAGAGAGAGAGGGAGAGAAAGUGAGAAAAUUUCUUCAAAAAUCUUCAAGUUUUAGCUUCCAUCUUGGGUUUGAAUCUUGGAGCAACAACUUGGGUGCUUGAUUAGUGAAGGUUAAUCAUCUACAAAGCUUAAUUGAAGGUAUGCCUCUUACUUGAAAGAUAAACUUUUGGGGUUUUGAUCUUUAAGCCAUGGAAAUGAUGUAUUAUGUUAUGAUUAUGGACUUAUAUGGUUGAUUUGAUGUUUAUAUGGAAGUUUCAUGGUUAAUUUUAGUGUUAUUUGGUUGCUGAAAAUUCGGCCAAGAAGGGGGAAAAUUUGGGUUUCUUGCUUAAUGUUUUCCUUAGUUGCUUUGCUUGAGAAUUGAUGUGUAGUGGUUGUGUUUGAUAGAUUGCCUCACUUGAUUUGGUUGGUUGCUAGCAAAAAUCUUAUUUGGGUUAAGAAACCCUAGACUCCAUGAGGUUAGUUUAGUUUAGCCUAAGGCUUUUGGGUUAGGGUUUGGUUAGUGGGAUGUUAGAUCAAGUCUUUAGUGCAUAUGAAGAUAGGUUAGGGAGUAUGGUUUGUGUUUGGUAAUUUUGUGGUAAAAUAAGGAGAGAAAUUCGGACCAUUAAUAGACCUUUUAGAAGCUGGUAUAAGUGUGUUUCAUUGGUAGGAAUUUGGUUGGAAACUAGUAUAAGAACCAUAGAAACGGACCGUGCGAUUGUGACGCGCAAAGCCGGCAAAUCUGGGAAAACAGGACAGUUCAACGACUGAACUUCGGCUUCAUUUUUCUUAAUGCUAUGUACGGAUUUAGGAAUUCCUCAAAACAUGAAAGUUGUAGCCUUGUAAGUCCUGAGUAUGCCUGCAAAAUUUCAGGUCCAUCGGAUUAGCGUAGCCUGAGUUAUCGACGAAAUGCUCAAGCCUGUUUUGACCCUUUGAUUCUGCGCGUUUUUCUAGUUUAGCUUCUGCCGUGAUUUUUCGGUUUUGAUCCCAUUCGAUCUGGGUGUCGACUCCUUCAUAAGAAAUUUAUAUCUUGGUCUCAGCUUCGAAAUGGUAUAAAGUACGUCGAAAACCGAGUUCCGUAGCUCCGGUUAUGAUCGAAACAAUAUCGAUCGUCAGAACUGCCCGGUAUUUGGACAGUUCUGACGGGUACUUUGGCACUCGAAUUUUGUUCUGUUCUGAAUAGAUUCAGGUCUUGGCCAAAACAUGAAAGUUUUAGCCUUAUGUUUCAGCUUUCUAAUGCCUUUGGAAUUUCUGAAUUUCGAUUUCUGUGCCGUGAGUUACGGCCUUGCAAACAGGGCCUGUUUGGUAACCCGCAAGGAAACAGCUGGCACUAUUUCGUGCAUUUUUGACCUAUACCUAGUGAGAUCUGGGUUGAAAUGUCUUCACGAAAAUUGUAGCCCUUUCUCUUAGCUUCGAAACGGUGUCUCACCCACUUUGAUCCGACACUCCUAGCCUAAUUUUUGACCAAAACGGUUUGAGAUGGCCGAUUUGGCCAUUUCCGUUUGCCGUUCCGCGCGGACGUGUGCGGCCGUUUUGCCGUUUCCGCACUUGCGCGUGCCAAUUUUGCCGUUUGGCUUGUUUUAAGUACGUUAGUUGCCGUUUGUGAUAUAUUGUGACAUAAUCUUCGAUUUCAGACAGUGGUGAGCUAGGCGGUGCCGGUGGGGCCCACUACUAGCCAACACACAAAGUGAAUUCCGCCUUUAUACUACUGUUGGUAUUUUGAGUAAGUAUUCAGGCCGCUCUUAUGUGUUAGUUGUUUAUGUGUUUCGUUAUGCGUAAAAAGGGUACCUAGGCGAGAGUGUACUUUAUCGCGCUCGACCUAAACCCUAAUUUGCGCGCUUAUUUGUACAUGACAUAUGUAUAUGAGAAAUUUUGGAACUAAAACCCUUGAGCUUGUGGCUCGGGGUGACUUUUGAAUAAUUUUGUGAAUUUUGUGAGUUUGAGGUUGAACUCAAUACCUAGAUGGACUAUUCGAGCCGGUUAGGGCUUGGUCGAAGUCAGUCCAACCUGGAUUGAGGUCACCAAGUUUGUGACCCGAGCUUGCGACUCAAGCUCAAGUUUGUGAUUUCGUUCGCCUGGGCAAGUUUGUGAGGUGACUGGCCAGUGAGGGUGAUAAGGUGUCGGUGGGUGUACAAGUGAAGUUCUACGGACCUUAUUUAUGGUCGACGGAGGGUCGACAGGAGAUCACGCAUGGCAAAUGACUUGGCUUUGGAGCCACCCGUAUCCUUAUUAUGUGAUGUUACUUUUCUGCUUUUGCUUUACUCUUACUGUGUAAUUGAUGCUACAUGAAAUUUACGCUUUUGCCCCUGUUUACUUACUAAGCUUUUAGCUUACCCCAUUCCUUUUGUUUUCCUUAGCAGGGGCCGACGCGGGUACGUUUGGGCACACACACUAGUAUAGUAGAUUGGCUUGUAAUAGUUGAACCAUUAGGAUGUUUGUUUUAUUUCUGGUGGUUUGUAUUAGGAUCCUUCUUAGGGUCUACAUUUUGAUUUUGGUUGUAAUUAUACGGAUGUAAUAGUAAGAGCAGGUACUUUUGGAGAAUGUAAUUAUAACUCUUUUGGGAUUGUAAAUAGUACUCUUUUGGAUUUUCUGGCUUUUAUUGUUUUAAGUUUCGAGUCCUGGCGCGAGCUAGGCAGGCGGCCCGCCGAUACCCUUGGGUUCGCCCUUGGGAGAAGUGGGGUCGUCACAGUUGGUAUCAGAGCGCCUAGGUUAGAGGACUUGGGCAAUUGUGGGACAUACGCGAUAGGCAUUAGGCAUAUUGGAUUCUUUUAAGUUGAAUGAUAUCUUUUAAGUUGAAAUGCCGGUUGACUGACGACUUAAUGUUUUGUAGGUAUGGACCCAGGCAGUUCGAGUAGGAGGGGCCCAGAGGAUCGACCGCUGCGUAAGCGGGCUAUCCGUUAUCGACAGAGGCUGGGAGAGCCUUACACUUUGUACUCCCCCUUCGGCCAGGUGUCGCGCCGACCCUGCGCGUGUUGGUAUACUUACGGCUAUCCCGACGAGAUAGUCUUAGCAUUGGAUGAUGAGCGUUAUCACCUCGACAGGACGGUCGAGACUCUGAGGGAGCAGCUUGAGGAGGCUAGACAGUUUAGCCGCUGGCAGGCGUUACGCGUUAGGGGCCUGGAGCGGGACCUCCGGGACACACACCAGCACCUCUUCUCUUUGAAGAGGCAGCUUAGGGAGAGGGCCCGGAGUAUCACGUUUGACUGCGGGGUCUUGCUAGAUAUGGCCGCGGAGGCACCCCCGCGAGCUACUGGGCCAGAGCAGAUAGGCGAGAUUGGUACUUUAGGUUCCGUUGGGGACCAGGGCCCUAGGGGAGGCGUUUAGGGUCGCUUUCGUCUUUUGAUUAGCUGGUAGAUUCCUUUUGUUAAAACUGGCAUGACCACUUUCUUUCUUUAUUUGGUUGGCCGACUAGAUCUUGGAGCCGGAGUGCUCAUGUGUACAUUGGGUUUUGUACCGACUGGAGGUCGGUAAUCUGUAAAUCUUUUGGUGUGAUUUUGUAUAUCUAUGUAUAUAUUUGAGUAGCAUUUUGAAUUUAUCCUUUGUGUGUCUUUUGUUCAUACGCUUUACGUCCGUACUUUUGCUCAUAGUCCGGAUAAUAAGUUUAUGUGUAAUGUUCCGAUCUAUAGACGUUUGCACUUAAAUGGCCUCCGGUACUCGAGGUGGAGGUAGAGGGCGAGCACGAAGCCCUGAAAGGGAACAAGGACCAGAGCAAGAUCAAGUCGCUACAGCCAUCCAGCGGAUGGCCGAUUUACUAGAGCAAAUGACAAAUCAACAGGGCCAAGGGAGCGGUAUGGGGAAUCCUGGACAUAAUCCGGGACAUAAUCCAGGCAAUCACGAGGGUGAAGACCGUGCCUUGGAGCGAUUCCAAAAAUUCGCACCCCCAAAGUUUAUCGGUGGGGCCGACCCUGACUUAGCGGAGGGUUGGCUAGACCGUAUGUUAGACAUAUUUGCCGCGCUUAGGUAUUCAGAGGAGCGGCAGAUAUCCUUUGCGGUCUUUCAGUUUGAAGGGGCCGCUCGAGCCUGGUGGAAUGUAAUCAAAGCCAAGUGGGAGCGCGAACAGACUCCUUGGACCUGGAUCAACUUCACACGGGAGUUUAAUGAAAAAUAUUUACCACCCAUUGUGCAAGAAAAACGGGAAGAUGAUUUCAUCCGCCUACGUCAAGGGGCAUCGAGUGUGGCGGAGUACGAAACUCAGUUCACUAAACUUUCUCGCUUUGCCCCAGAGCUGGUGUUAACGGAGCAGAAACGAAUCCGUCGAUUCGUUCAAGGUUUAAAUGUGGAAAUCCAGGAAUCGCUAGCAGCGGCUCAGUUGAAUACGUUUAGCCAAGCGCUAGAAAAAGCACAGCGAAUUGAGACUGCCAGAGGACAGGUUAAAGCCUUCCACGAUCGGAAAAGGAGGCAACCUAGCUCAAAUGAUUCCAUGGUCGGACAAAGCUCGCGAAACGAGCCAUCUGCCAAGAUAAAUAAAGGUACGGAUGGUCCACGACCUGCAGGGACCCCGAAUAACUUUGUGCGGGGUCAGGUAGUGCAAGAGGGGCCGAGGAGUGUCCAGCGUGGAGGGGCAAGUACAGCCGCCAAGUCAACCUGUGGUUUCUGUGGGGGCAAUCACACCGAUGAAAAUUGCUGGAAGAAUAGUUCGGUACGCAAAUGCUUCAAAUGUGGCAGCACCGAACAUCUGAUUGCCCGGUGCCCUAAGAUGCAGAAGGAUGGACUCAAACCACCGACUGGAGGGACCACCACAACUAAGCCGUCAACUACAGGGGAAAAUCGACCCAAAGGGCCAGCAAGAGUCUAUGCGAUGGGUCAACCUGAGAUGACAAAUCCUUCGGUGGACUUUGAAGGUACGCCUUGAUCAAACGAAUCCAUUUCGAGGACGAAAUUGUCCUAAGUGGGGAAGAUUGUGAGGCCCCAGUCCGUUUUACGUUGAUAUAUUCAUUAGUUGGGCGGUAACGUUUGGUUUCGGGAGUAUUUCGAAAACUCUAAGUAGGGAUUAAGAUUUAAACCCUAGUUAUGUAUUGGUUACAAGUUCGAGUGGUGAUUAAAGUUAGUAAGGUGAAUGUGUGUCUUAGUGUGGAUAAGUAUAGGAUUUAAUCCAGUUUGUAUAGGUUAAUUAAGUUUAAGAAGGGUAGAAACCCUAAGUGAGCAAAAUCCCUAAUAUUAUGAUUUAUUAGAAGUUUUAAGUUGGGUUUAAACCCUAAUUUUGCCCUUGACAAAAAGGUUCUUGUUUAAUUACUUUUAUGUGGGAUAAAGCAUGCUUAAGUGUAAGUGAUUAAGAUGAGAAAGUGAUUAGUGAGGUAAUUAAGUGUGAUUACAUGUUUUAAAAGAGAUUAAGUUAUGACUUAUGGAGUAAAUUGAAAGAUUAUCAAAUGUGUGAGGGAAAUUGUAUAAGAAAGAGAAAGUUAAAGUGCAAGGGUUUAAACAACAAAUAAAGCAUUUUUGUGAUUGGUUAGCUAUAAGAAAUAUCUCCCAAAGCUUUGACUAUAUGUUGUCUUACCACUUAUAAGAAACAAGAGAAAACAAAACAAAACAAAACUAAGAGAAAAAAAAGAAAGGAAGAGCCGAGAGGGAGAGGGAGAGAAAGUGAGAAAAUUUCUUCAAAAAUCUUCAAGUUUUAGCUUCCAUCUUGGGUUUGAAUCUUGGAGCAACAACUUGGGUGCUUGAUUAGUGAAGGUUAAUCAUCUACAAAGCUUAAUUGAAGGUAUGCCUCUUACUUGAAAGAUAAACUUUUGGGGUUUUGAUCUUUAAGCCAUGGAAAUGAUGUAUUAUGUUAUGAUUAUGGACUUAUAUGGUUGAUUUGAUGUUUAUAUGGAAGUUUCAUGGUUAAUUUUAGUGUUAUUUGGUUGCUGAAAAUUCGGCCAAGAAGGGGGAAAAUUUGGGUUUCUUGCUUAAUGUUUUCCUUAGUUGCUUUGCUUGAGAAUUGAUGUGUAGUGGUUGUGUUUGAUAGAUUGCCUCACUUGAUUUGGUUGGUUGCUAGCAAAAAUCUUAUUUGGGUUAAGAAACCCUAGACUCCAUGAGGUUAGUUUAGUUUAGCCUAAGGCUUUUGGGUUAGGGUUUGGUUAGUGGGAUGUUAGAUCAAGUCUUUAGUGCAUAUGAAGAUAGGUUAGGGAGUAUGGUUUGUGUUUGGUAAUUUUGUGGUAAAAUAAGGAGAGAAAUUCGGACCAUUAAUAGACCUUUUAGAAGCUGGUAUAAGUGUGUUUCAUUGGUAGGAAUUUGGUUGGAAACUAGUAUAAGAACCAUAGAAACGGACCAUGCGAUUGUGACGCGCAAAGCCGGCAAAUCUGGAAAAAAGGACAGUUCAACGACUGAACUUCGGCUUCAUUUUUCUUAAUGCUAUGUACGGAUUUAGGAAUUCCUCAAAACAUGAAAGUUGUAGCCUUGUAGGUCCUGAGUAUGCCUGAAAAAUAUCAGGUCCAUCGGAUUAGCGUAGCCUGAGUUAUCGACGAAAUGCUCAAGCCUGUUUUGACCCUUUGAUUCUGCGCGUUUUUCUAGUUUAGCUUCUGCCGUGAUUUUUCGGUUUUGAUCCCAUUCGAUCUGGGUGUCGACUCCUUCAUAAGAAAUUUAGAUCUUCGUCUCAGCUUCGAAAUGGUAUAAAGUACGUCAAAAACCGAGUUCCGUAGCUCCGGUUAUGAUCGAAACGAUAUCAAUCGUCAGAACUGCCCGGUUUUUGGACAGUUCUGACGGGUACUUUGGCACUCGAAUUUUGUUCUGUUCUUAAUAGAUUCAGGUCUUGGCCAAAACAUGAAAGUUUUAGCCUUAUGUUUCAGCUUUCUAAUGCCUUUGGAAUUUCUUAAUUUCGAUUUCUGUGCCGUGAGUUACGGUCUUGCAAACAGGGCCUGUUUGGUAACCCGCAAUGAAACAGCUGGCACUAUUUCGUGCAUUUUUUACCUAUACCUAGUGAGAUCUGGGUUGAAAUGUCUUCACGAAAAUUGUAGCCCUUUCUCUUAGCUUCGAAACGGUGUCUCACCCACUUUGAUCCGACACUCCUAGCCUAAAUUUUGACCAAAACGGUUUGAGAUAGCCGAUUUGGCCAUUUCCGUUUGCCGUUCCGCGCGGACGUGUGCGGCCGUUUUGCCGUUUCCGCACUUGCGCGUGCCAAUUUUGCCGUUUGGCUUAUUUCAAGUACGUUAGUUGCCGUUUGUGAUAUAUUGUGACAUAAUCUUCGAUUUCAGACAGUGGUGAGUUAGGCGGUGCCGGUGGGGCCCACUAUUAGCCAACACAUAAAGUGAAUUCCGCCUUUAUACUACUGUUGGUAUUUUGAGUAAGUAUUCAGGCCGCUCUUAUGUGUUAGUUGUUUAUGUGUUUCGUUAUGCGUAAAAGGGUACCUAGGCGAGAGUGUACUUUAUCGCGCUCGACCUAAACCCUAAUUUGCGCGCUUAUUUGUACAUGACAUAGGUAUAUGAGAAAUUUUGGAACUAAAACCCUUGAGCUUGUGGCUCGGGGUGACUUUUGAAUAAUUUUGUGAAUUUUGAGAGUUUGAGGUUGAACUCAAUACCUAGAUGGACUAUUCGAGCCGGUUAGGGCUUGGUCGAAGUCAGUCCAACCUGGAUUGAGGUCACCAAGUUUGUGACCCGAGCUUGCGACUCAAGCUCAAGUUUGUGAUUUCGUUCGCCUGGGCAAGUUUGUGAGGUGACUGGCCAGUGAGGGUGAUAAGGUGUCGGUGGGUGUACAAGUGAAGUUCUACGGGACCUUAUUUAUGGUCGACGGAGGGUCGACAGGAGAUCACGCAUGGCAAAUGACUUGGCUUUGGAGCCACCCGUAUCCUUAUUAUGUGAUGUUACUUUUCUGCUUUUGCUUUACUCUUACUGUGUAAUUGAUGCUACAUGAAAUUUACGCUUUUGCCCCUGUUUACUUACUAAGCUUUUAGCUUACCCCAUUCCUUUUGUUUUCCUUAGCAGGGGCCGACGCAGGUACGUUUGGGCACACACACUAGUAUAGUAGAUUGGCUUGUAAUAGUUGAACCAUUAGGAUGUUUGUUUUAUUUCUGGUGGUUUGUAUUACGAUCCUUCUUAGGGUCUACAUUUUGAUUUUGGUUGUAAUUAUACGGAUGUAAUAGUAAGAGCAGGUACUUUUGGAGAAUGUAAUUAUAACUCUUUUGGGAUUGUAAAUAGUACUCUUUUGGAUUUUCUGGCUUUUAUUGUUUUAAGUUUCGAGUCCUGGCGCAAGCUAGACAGGCGGCCCGCCGAUACCCUUGGGUUCGCCCUUGGGAGAAGUGGGGUCGUCACAGAACCUUACUUGUGCGUUUAAGCAAGGAGGUCUUGGACACUACUAACGACACACGCUUCUUUGCCAAGUUCGAUAGUGUCUCUUUUGCAGGAAUUCUAAGAUUUAUUUCCUAAAAAAGCGCCAAGUGAUUUAUCACCAAUUAGGGAAAUCGAGCACCAAAUAGACUUAAUGUGACGCCCCCACUUCUCCUAAGGGUAUCCGCGGAACGCCUGCUCAACUCUCGUCGGGGCUCACUACAAUCCAUAAUUCAAAACUAGAAAUACUUCAAAUAUUUUCAAUAUACAUUGAAAGAACUCCAAAACACAAUUAGUUAACUUUCAAUUUAAUACAACUCAAAAGAAUAUGUACUACAGUCGACUGCUAUAAUACAACUUAAAGUCUCCAAAAGAAAAUAACUUAGUACUAUUCGCGAGUACUCUUGGUCUUGAACCCUAUUAAGGAAAACAAAAGCAUGGAAUGAGUUAAACAGUCCAGUGAGGUUCCAAAACACCUAAACAGUUCUAAUAAAUCAAGUAAAUUGAGCAUAACACAUGUACGGUUCAAGAUUUCACAAUAGCACAUUAAAAUGAGACAUUUAUUAUUUUACAGAAAUAAAUACACAUUAAAAGGAUACGAUGCUCAUGUGGAACCGUUUCGGUCAGCUACACCUUAUAACCCCAAUAAUUCCCCCGGUUGUCUGGCCAUCACCUUAUUCCUCCAGUGGUAAUAUUCGAGUAUACCAAAACGGUGACCCAGGGUUCCAACCUACUUGACCAAGCCCAGUCCUAGCUCGAGUAGGUUAGUAACCAAGGACAGGGCCCAGUUCAGCUUAGAGUUUGCAACAUGCGCAAGUAAUCAAGUAAAUCGGUAAACGGUAGAAAUUUGUUAUUUUAGUAGAUCGAGUGAAAUAAAGUACACACUCACCUUAAAUCGGUGAAAAUUUUCAUAGAAGCAAUUAUAAGUAGCACUUAACACUUAAACACAUAAGAAACACUCACCAAAAUCAAGAGUGUAAAACAAGAGCGAGGCAAGAUCAAACGAGUUCCUCGGGAUCCUUUUGAUCACCUAAGACAUGUACAAUUACAAUUCACCUAGGUAUUCAGCCAAGGUCUAGUAGUAUUCCGGCUACUCUCACUUAAGAGAUAACGCAUUCAAAUCGAAUGCAAAUAUCACUUAAUAACUUAAUCCACGAGGGUAGCAUUUGAAUAUACCCAAGAAUACAUUGAUCCAAGUCAAGUCAUGUCCAGGAUUCUCCAAGUUGAAGAUUAAACAAAUCUCUAAGUUUUGGCACGAAAAUCGAGGAAGAUGGAUAUAUUUACUUGGAAGCUUGGCCAAAACAUUCCAGGCAUUACUAAUUAAGUUCACAAGAAACCUUUCAAAUCAUUCUUUUAAAAUACUUGUAUAAUUGCCAACUCUAGUACAGUUAUCAAGGCCAUAAGAAUAUGGGUUGAAGUCCCUAAUUAAAGUACGAAGAGAAGUACCAUUAACCAAGAGAGUUAUAUGACCAAGUAAUUGCAUCAAGAAAGGUUUAACCCUCGGAGACCAAGAUUUGAAAUGAAAGUUCAAAGUCCAAAGAGACCUUGUAUUAAACCAUGAAAUCAAACUUAAAAUAGUCCAACAAUCACAAAGGAAGGUGGAAAGUUCUUAAAGGAGUAAUUUGGUUGAAACAGAAAUUUUCCAGUUUGGAGUGAUAUUACUUUGAAAAAUCGUAUCUUGAGUUUUGUAAGUCCAAAAAUGGAAAAAUUUAUACUGUUGGAAACUAAAUUCAGAAUACUAAAAGUUCUCAAAAGACACUUUUCCAUGAUUCCAACUAGAAGGCAUUCAUAAUUCAACUCAAAGUUUCAGUUCCAAGAAGACAGGUUUGAACCAGUCUUGGUUUUUCAGCAAACUUUGGAAAUUUGGCAUAAUUCACAGAAAGUGAAUCAGCCUUUGAAAUUCAUAACACAAUAAGAGUUCUAAACAAGAUUUCAAAUACAACAAACAGAACUAAAUUUGGAGUUUCGAGGAUCGAGAUACAUUAGUUCAAAGUUGGUUGCGUUUUGCAAACUGUUCAAUCAUUUUCCAGAUUUGAAAAGCUAUCUUUGAAGUAUCCUUUAGCCAUCGAAAUGGCAUUGAAAAUACACCAAAUUUGGUACACUAAAUCUUCCAUAUGUGACCUAUAUCUCUACCAAAUUCACGUAAAACUCACGUGGGAAGACAGUUAACAAAAUAGUCAAAUUUCGGAAAAAUUUCAAAGCAAAUUUGCCGUCCAUGGUUCUCUUUCCUUUUCAAACGUUUUGUCCCACACAAUCAACCUCAAUUAGCUCAAAUGUUGAAAUUAAGGUUCCAUAAACAUCCAAUGAGCAAUUUAGAGGUAAUUGACAUCAAAGUUUGUGAAACAAAACAUUCCAAAACAAGUUUGACCAUUCGGCCAGCAAGAGGGAAGAAACUUUCUAGUUUCCAGUUUUGCUGUAAUUUAAAAAUCAGGCCAUAUCUCACUCUAUACAAACUCAAAUAAAGAAUGGUUGGUGGAGUUAGAAACUAGGUUCCAAAAGCUACAUUUCAUCAGAAGAAAUAAUUUCCAAAAUCAGUUCACAAGUAGUUCAAAUUCAAGUCACAAAUUACAGCUUCUCAUUUCCAUUCGAAUGAACAAGCGGAACAGAACAGCCGACUUCAUCAGUUCACUGCAGUUCACACAAAAUGAACUAGAGAUUGAUUUUUAUGCCUUUUAAAGCUAAGAAUGUGUAGUUUCAAAUUCCACAAACGGCACUCGAUUUCGACUUUUUUACAAAGAGUUAUGUUCAAUCAAAGAUACACUGUUCAGGCCUUCAGAUGACCAUUUCCGGAUUUCUUGCAGUUUCAAAAAUUCUAGUUUUGAUCAACCAAAUAACAUGAUUUUCUGAAGGCAUUUUGCACAUACAAUAUACCACAUAUAUACAUCAGUUUCACAGUCAAACAACCAACAAAAUUUUGAAAUUCAAUCAAGAUAACAACAUGAUAGAUUUGGCCAGCUUACUUCCUCUCACGGUUUUCUCUCUUUCUUUUUCCUCUUCUAGUUUCUUCUAGGAAAACUCAUCACAAACACACUAACACACACAUAGACAUCAUGGCAGCCCUCAUUUAACCAAGGUGGGAGUUCAUAGAGCCCACUUCAACCAACCAAAUCCAAGCAACAACAACAAGAAGGAAGCUACACGCUUCAAAACCAAGAAAUGAAACAAGAAAGUAAAAGCUUUGGUGGAGAUGUUUAUACCUUCAAAACUCAAGAUGGAACCCUAGAUGAAACCAGAAAUUUUUAGCCGAAACUCUCCAGGAAAAGUCCUCAAGAUGAUGUCUUUCUCCAAGAUGAAACUAAUCUCCAAAGUGUUUAGGAGUUGGGUGAAGAUUUAGAAGUGAAAUGGUACAAGAUUGAACAAGGUUUUGUGGAGCUUUCUUCCUUCUGUCUUCUUUCCUUUGGCUGGCCGAACAAGAGAGAGAGUGAGGGAGUGUUUUGUGGUUUGGUUUUCUUGGAGGGAAAGAAUGAAAUAGUAGCCAUAAGUGUUGGGCAAAAAGUCAACUCUUAAUAGUGCCCAAAUGGUGUUUUGUACUACCACUUUCUCUUGGGUUUGAUACACUCAUAUACUAAUCCUCCAAGAUACUUCCUUUAAUAUGGUAAUUAUUUACUCUUACUAGUCUAAUAUAAAUUUCUUAAAUUUCCACUUUUUCAUUCCAAAGCGAAAUACGCGAACUUACAACACGCGCACGAAAAAUCAAAAUUUAAGAAAAAUUCAUGCAUUACUAGGGUAAUUAAAUAUAACUGGGGAAAAUAAUUAUAAAAUUGACUAUUUUAAGAAUAAAACAUGAGUCCUCACACUUAAUUCCUGGGGUGCCAUUACCUAAUCAAUGUGUUUAUAGAAGCAAUCUUGAGGAAACGAAGGAGCUUCAAAGGCAAGUUGAGGAGCUACUUGCAAAAGGUUGGGCGAGAGAGAGUUUAAGUCCGUGUGUUGUGCCAAUUAUACUCGUCCCCAAGAAGGAUGGAACAUGGAGGAUGUGUACUAAUUGGUCGUCAAUUCAAUUACGAUAAAGUAUUAUCAUUCUAUUUCUCGUUUAGAUGAUAUGUUAGAUGAAUUGCAUGAUGCAUUCAUCUUUUCAAAAAUUGAUCUCAAAAGUGGAUAUCAUCAAAUUCGUAUUAAAGAGGGUGAUGAAUGGAAAACGGCAUUUAAGACUAAGUAUGGUUUGUAUGAGUGGUUGGUUAUGCCUUUUGGACUAACUAAUGCACCUCGUACUUUUAUGAGAUUGAUAAAACAUGUGUUGCGUGCCUACUUAGGAAAAUUUGUAGUCAUUUAUUUUGAUGAUAUACUCAUAUACAACAAGAGUCUAGAAGAGCGCCAUGAACAUUUAAGACUUAUACUUGAAGUACUUCGAAAGGAACAGCUUUAUGCCAACCUUAACAAGUGCACGUUCUGUACUAAUAAACUUGUGUUCCUAGGUUUUGUUGUUAGCUCACAGGGAAUUCAGGUGGAUGAUAGUAAGAUUAAGGCAAUUCAAGAGUGGUCAGUUCCAAAAAAUGUUAGAGAAACUUGUAGCUUUCAUGGACUUGCGAGUUUCUACAAGCGAUUUGUGAGAAAUUUUAGCACAAUUGCCGCCCCAUUGACAGCAAUCAUUAAAAAGGAUGAGAAAUUCGUUUGGGGAGAAGCUCAACAAAAAGCUUUUGAAUUACUUAAAGAACAUCUCACACGUGCACCUGUUUUGUCAUUACCUGAUUUUACUAAAACAUUUAAAAUUAAAUGUGAUGUUUCAGGUAUUAGCAUUGGAGUGGUGUUGAUGCAAGGGGAUCAUCCCGUCGCUUACUUUAGCGAGAAGCUAAGUGGUGCUUCUUUGAACUAUUGCACUUAUGACAAAGAGUUGUAUGCUCUAGUUUGUACAUUAGAGACAUGGCAGUAUUACUUGCAACCCAAGAAGUAUGUAAUUCAUACCGACCAUGAAUCUUUGAAGUACCUUAGAGCUCAACAUAAAUUGAGCAAGCGACAUGUGAGGUGGAUUUCAUUUGUUGAAACUUUUCCUUAUGUUAUCAAAUAUAAAUCUGGUAAGACUAAUGUAGUAGCUGAUGCAUUAUCUAGAAGGUACGCCCUACUUACCUUUCUUGCUGCUGAGUUACUAGGAUUUGAUAUGACUAAGGAUUUAUAUGAGACUGAAAUAAAUUUUAAGGAUGUUUAUGCUUUGUGUUAUUCUUGGUUUUGAUGAUCACAAAGUACUUUGAAAUGUUUAUCUAACUCUCUUCAAAUAUAAGUGCUUUUUGCCUAUCAAAGAAUCAGGUACGAAUAUGUCAAGAAAUGAAAAUUAACCAAAAGAAAAAGCAAAAACAGGACACUCAUGUCGGACGUCCGAAAGGAUAAAGAACAUCAAGAAGGAAGCUCUGUCGGACGCUCAUAAGGAAGCGUCGGACGUCCGGAAGGAUCGAACGCACGCCUCGGACGCACAUCAACCGCGUCAGACGUCCGAAAAAUUCCAAGAAGACUUGCCAACUCUCUAACGACAAUCGGACGCUGAUGCUGUCGGACGAUAAAAAUGCAUCGGACGUCCGAACUACAACUUAGCUGUUUUCGAACGAUAGGUUCGGACGAUGAUUUGGUCGUCGGACGUCCGACAGCCCCAACGGCUAGCUGACUCUUCAUCUGCCUUCUAUCCGUUGGAAGCAUUGAUGAAACCCAUUUUUGGUUCCCUUUAAAAACAAACUGUUCUGAACCAAGAAGGGACUUUUGCACACUUUGUUUACAAGAUCUCAAGAGAUAUUUUAGCUAGAAAAUAGUCUCCAAAACUAGAUUUGUUCUCCAAGUGGUGUGAAUUUCUUGUGAGCAUUUCUCUUGUGGUUGAAAGUUUCAUUAGUGUAGCUUUGUUGAGGGUUAUCUGAGUGAUUGUAAAACUUCUUAGCUUGACUAAGUGAGGCUUAAGGCAAGGAGGAAGUGCUCCCUCCAUUGUACAUCUAGUUGAUCAUCUUUUAUCAAAGAGAAGUUGCUCAACCUAGUGAUUGGUUUUCAAGUUUGAGGAAAGCUUGGUAGACAAUCGGUUUGAUAUUCUAUCUUAUUCUUUUGGUUUAAUAAAAUUCCCAUUGCUUAUCUAUACUUGUUUUUCUAAUCAACAUUGCUCUCUUCUUCUAAUCUAUUUGGUUGAUCAUUACUAGAAAAGAAGGUAAAUUUUUAUUAAAGAAAAAGUGCAUAAAUUUGAUUAAAAUUUUAAUCAACCUAAUUCACCCCCCCUCUUAGGUUGUCUUGGGCCUUACAAUUGGUAUCAAAGCCAGGUCUCCUAGAGAUUAAGCUCAAGCGGCUUGGAGUAAAGAUGACAACCAGUCAUGCUAUGUUUGUUGAGGGGCAAUCUGUUACUAGGCCUCCCAUGUUUAGUGGCUCCAAUUAUGUUAGCUGGAAAGAAAGAAUGAUUAUCUUUUUGCAAUCUAUUGAUAUUGAGUUAUGGUUUAUUGUGAGUGAAGGACCGCAUGAAGCUAACUUUCUUGAUGCAGAUACAGGUUUGCUUCGGCCAAAAAUGAGAGCUGAAAUGAAUGCUCAAGAUAGGACUAAUCUCACAUUGAAUGCCAAAGCCAUGAAUGUUCUUUAUAGUGCCUUAGAUUCAAAUGAAUCAAUUAGAGUAAAAGGCUGUAAAUCGGGCAAAGAAAUGUGGGAUAAGCUAAGAGAAAUCCAUGAGGGUGGUGACAACGUGAGAAAAUAGAAAAAGGCUAUCUUGGUCACAAAGUAUGAAUCAUUUAAAAUUGAACCUCUUGAGAAUAUUGACAAAAUGUAUUGCAGGUUCAAUGACUUGAUCAAAGAUCUCGAGGUGUUGGGCAAGAGUACAACUUGAGAGAGAAGAACAGGAAAAUUCUCAAUACAUUGGGCAAAGAAUGGGAAAAUAAAGUGGCUGCAAUAGAGGAGGCUAAGGAUUUAAAUUCUGUGCCUAUUGAAUCUCUCAUUAACUCGCUAACCUCUUAUGAGUUGAAAUUGAAAUCUAAAGUGCAGGAGAAAGAGGAUGCUAGAGCAAAGAGAAACAUUCCUCUAAAGACUACUCAAGGUGAAGAUGAUCCAACUCACUUGGAUGAUGAAGACUCGGAUGGUGAUGAUAAUGAUCUUGCUCUCAUCACAAGAGGCUUCAAGAGAAUCUUGAAUAAAAGGAAGUUUAGAAGGGGAGGACCUAGCAAUCAAUUCCAAAAUUAUUCAUCAAAUGCAAGGAACAAAGGAAAACAAGAAUUCAACAAGAAGCAAGUGGACAAAUGCUAUGAAUGUGGACAGCCUGGACACUAUGCAAACGAAUGCCCUAUGAAGAAAAUGAAAGAUGGGAAAGCUGAUUGAAAGCCAAGAUUCAACAACUUCCAGAUUACUUAGAAUGAAUGCAACUCCGAAGGGGAAGUUGAAGAAGAGGAAGAAUCAGCUCAAAUGGCCUUCAUGGCUAUUGGAGAUAAUGAGGUAACUUCCAUACACUCUCAAUCUGUAAGUGAUGAUGAAAAAGAUGAUGAUCUUGAAUCCUUUGUUGAAAAACUGCAAAAUGCCUUGAAAGAAUCUUUUGAUAAAAACAAGCAGUUAAAACAGAAAAUUACUUUUCUCAUUCAUGAAAAUGCAAGUCUUCUUCAACAAAAUAAACAACUAAAGACUGACAAUGAAUGUCUUGUAAGAGCCGGAUUUGAUGUUCAAAAUGAGCUUGAUAGAAAGACAAGUAUUUGUGAAAUGCUGAACGAAAGACAUGGUGAUUUGAAAAAAAGAAUGGACAACUUGGAUGAGACUUUGAAAGCAAGAAAGCAAGAUUUUCUCAAAAAGAACAUGUCAUCUACCUUUCUUACUGCUCAACAAAGAAUAUUAGCACACAACAAAAAUGCACAUGAUUUCACAACAUAUAGAAGAAAUGGAUUGAGAUAUGUCAAACCAUUACAUGUUAAGGACUCUUCCAUUAUGUGUGGUUUUUGUUGUCAAAAAUGGCAUUUGAAAGGAGAUUGCUAUGUGAAAAGAAAUCUGAACAAAGGGAUGAGAUGCAUGUGGUUAGUUAGACACAAUGCUAACUAUUGUGGACCCAAAAAUUAAAAAGGGUACCAAACACUUUCUCUUUUCAGGAAAAAGGCUCAAACAAGUCCAAAUGGUUUAUUGAUAGUGGCUGCUCAAGGCAUAUCACCGGUGAUCCCUGUGACGGCCCCACCUUCCCCUAAAGCGUACCCCAGGGUUCGGCGGGCCGCCUGCCCGGCUCUCGCCGGGACUCAGUCGUUCACUAAAGUCCUCAAAUGAAUUACAAGAAUAAACCUCAAAUAUACAUCACAUGGUCCACAAAUAUACACCCAAGUCUCCAAUAAUUACAUGUCACAAAUGCAGCGGAAACUAAUUCCCAACUAUACAUCAAAUGAUUCCCAAUCCAAAACUGUACAAGAUAUAGGCCAUCCAGUCACGUGAACAAGUACUACAAGUCCUUCCUUCGCCACGAGCCCUGUGGAGGGGAAUAAAAUAUUUUUGGGGUGAGCUAGAAGCUCAGCGAGUAACCAUUAAAAUCAGUAAUCAAAUCGGUUUCACAAUAGUUCAUUUCAAUGAUGUCAUAUAUCCAUGAUGUCAUAAAUCAAGUGAUAAGUCCAGAAACAACUACAUCAUUUGCAAAACAGUAAAUGUGGAUUAUCAAUAAUUCAAGAAACAUUUACAAUGGAAAGCGAUAGUAACAUUCAUGAAAGGAUACAUUAAUUCUCCUGACAUUUCCUCGCUCAUUUGGUCAUUCAUUUCAUUUCAUUCACCCCGUCCCUGGCUUUUGGCCAGGCUCCACCAACCUACAUAGGUAAUACUCGAGUAUACCAAACGUUCACCCAAGUUCCUAAUCGCCUGACCGAGUCCGCUUCUGGCUCAAGACGACCGGUAACAAGGGGCAAUGGCCAGUUCAGCCCAAAAGGCUUACAUUCAUGCGCAAGUAACAUUUCAAUCGAAAAUUUCACAUUUAUCGAGGUCAACUGCGAUAAAGUACACACUCGCCUCGAAAACUCGUUUUGGAAAUCAUUAUAAGCGCUUAACACGUUAUCAACCAAAAUACAAGUCAUGAAAUCAAGAAAUAUAGCAAACAAGGCACACUCACAUGCCAGCACGCAUGAUAUGCAAGAAAACAUUUCAAAAGUAACUUUGGAAACAGUUCAAAAGUAAAUAAUGUAAGAAACGGUUCAUAAAUAACUUUAGAAGUAGUUUGAGGUCACUCACCUCCAUGGCUCAGAAAUCAUCCAUCAUAUAACAGUGCCUUGCUCAAAUCCAAGUCUUAGAUCACAAACUCAAAGCAAUCAAACCCUUUAAAACUUCGGACAGCACUUCCCCUAAAUUUGCUUACUUUCCCAGCCAUCAUGGCUUCAUUAUCCUUCUCAUUCAAAACCAAAGGUACACACACAACAACAAGUUCAUCCAAUAGCCAUUCAGCAAGUUCCAAGAAGUACAAAGACAUGUCAAGCUAGGGAAAAGUCCGGAAAUGAAAGUUAAGCUCAAAACCAGAAAAAUAGGUUUUGACGUCAUUUUGCGGUAAUGGCACCAAAGGCACUACGAUUGUCGGAUAAAGGUCCAAGACCCACCGUUUCGAAGCUAAGAGAUAGGGUUACAAUAUUGUAGAAGGUCACUCAACCCAGUUUCGAGUGUAACCAGGUCAAAAAUGUAAGAUACUAUACCAGAAUCACAAAAACAGGUUUGCAAAACGCAUUCUAGCGUAAACAUCAUAACUCAGCCUACACAAGUCCAAAUCCAGAAAUUCCAAAACCAGCUGAAAUCUAAGAAACAGGGUUACAUUUCAUCAGAAGACCUCAACAACCAAUUCAGAAGCAAUUCCAGCGAAACAACCAAUUACAGUCGCAGAUUUCCAAUUCUGGGUAAACCAGAACAGCAAUAGUAAUUUCGACUUAUCUCAUUCCACGCUACUCCGAUUGACCUGAAAUUUUGUAGGUACCUCUAAAAUGUCAUUCCCUACAACUUUCAUGUUUUAAGCCAAGGCCAAUUCGGCCUCUAACAUGGUGCAAUAAAUUCGGGCAGAAUGUAGCUUCAUGAACCCUAACUUUCCAAAAUUUAUUCCAAAACAGAAAUUGGUUGCAAUUUUCCACUUUUUCCACCUCAUAGAGUCCUUAAACAUCAUUUCCAAUCAUCAUAUAUAGCCACACAAUCAUAUCCAUAUGAAAACAGAAAAAUCCCCAAAAAUUAUAAAACUUCACCAAUUCAACCAAAAUCAAGUUUUGAUCCAUAAACUUGCAUCUCCUACCAUCACCAAGCAUGAAUUUAACAUCAUUAGAGGGAGGAGAGGUAUUCAUCCACUACUCACCUUAGUAAAACAAGAGAGAGAGCAACUAGGCACCAUAACUUUCCAAACAACUUCACAACCAAGCUCAACUCCACCAAACUAAGAGGUUUUAUGGAGUAAUUUGCAAUUUAAUCGGUUGGAACUCAAGAUUUGAGCAAGAAUUGAAGUUGAAGUUGAAGAAACUCUCUCUUGUUCUUUCUCACCAAAAAUUUCGGCCAAGACAAUAAAAAUGGAAGAAAUUGGGUCAAAAUUUGGUUUAGUAAAGGUUAAGACAAGUCCAAGUCAAAGUCAAGGUCCAAGAUUAAAUCACAAGGUGACACUUGUCACCUUUUGGUUCAAAACUUAUCUUUUUGUCUCUCCAAUACAAAUAUCUUAACACCUUGUAAAAUAAUAUCACUUAAUACAAAAUUCCUACAAGUUUUCAAAAAUAUAAUGCAUUUACCGUACUAGCGGGUCCCACGUCCAAAAUACGCUUUUAAUUUCUCAAAAACUAACCGAUACUAGAAAAAUCAUUUUAAAACUAUUUUUUCUCAUAAACUUUAUCUGGGGAAUUUUUCUAAUCAAGAAAAUGUAGAAAAGGCGAGCAUUAAAAAAAAUAAACCCUAGAAAAUUAGAAAAUUUCCGGGUUCUCAAACUCAUUUUUUUCGGGGCGUCACAAUCUCCCCUCCUUAAAAGAAUGUCGUCCUCGACAUUCCCUCUUGUACCAAUCAAGUCAAGACAUCCCGCACAAAUCUCUCAAGAGUCAAAUCAAACCCACAGUCCGGCAUCCUAAACUUCAAGCCUAGGAUACACUACAGAGAUCUGAAACCUAAGCUCUGAUACCAACUGUGACGGCCCCACCUUCCCCUAAGGCGUACCCCAGGGUUCGGCGGGCCGCCUGCCCGGCUCUCGCCGGGACUCAGUCGUUCACUAAAGUCCUCAAAUGAAUUACAAGAAUAAACCUCAAAUAUACAUCACAUGGUCCACAAAUAUACACCCAAGUCUCCAAUAAUUACAUGUCACAAAUGCAGCGGAAACUAAUUCCCAACUAUACAUCAAAUGAUUCCCAAUCCAAAACUGUACAAGAUAUAGGCCAUCCAGUCACGUGAACAAGUACUACAAGUCCUUCCUUCGCCACGAGCCCUGUGGAGGGGAAUAAAAUAUUUUUGGGGUGAGCUAGAAGCUCAGCGAGUAACCAUUAAAAUCAGUAAUCAAAUCGGUUUCACAAUAGUUCAUUUCAAUGAUGUCAUAUAUCCAUGAUGUCAUAAAUCAAGUGAUAAGUCCAGAAACAACUACAUCAUUUGCAAAACAGUAAAUGUGGAUUAUCAAUAAUUCAAGAAACAUUUACAAUGGAAAGCGAUAGUAACAUUCAUGAAAGGAUACAUUCAUUCUCCUGACGUUUCCUCGCUCAUUUGGUCAUUCAUUUCAUUUCAUUCACCCCGUCCCUGGCUUUUGGCCAGGCUCCACCAACCUACAUAGGUAAUACUCGAGUAUACCAAACGUUCACCCAAGUUCCUAAUCGCCUGACCGAGUCCGCUUCUGGCUCAAGACGACCGGUAACAAGGGGCAAUGGCCAGUUCAGCCCAAAAGGCUUACAUUCAUGCGCAAGUAACAUUUCAAUCGAAAAUUUCACAUUUAUCGAGGUCGAGUGAGAUAAAGUACACACUCGCCUCGAAAACUCGUUUUGGAAAUCAUUAUAAGCGCUUAACACGUUAUCAACCAAAAUACAAGUCAUGAAGUCAAGAAAUAUAGCAAACAAGGCACACUCACAUGCCAGCACGCAUGAUAUGCAAGAAAACAUUUCAAAAGUAACUUUGGAAACAGUUCAAAAGUAAAUAAUGUAAGAAACGGUUCAUAAAUAACUUUAGAAGUAGUUUGAGGUCACUCACCUCCAUGGCUCAGAAAUCAUCCAUCAUAUAACAUUGCCUUACUCAAAUCCAAACAAACUCAAAGCAAUCAAACCCUUUAAAACUUCGGACAGCACUUCCCCUAAAUUUGCUUACUUUCCCAGCCAUCAUGGCUUCAUUAUCCUUCUCAUUCAAAACCAAAGGUACACACACAACAACAAGUUCAUCCAAUAGCCAUUCAGCAAGUUCCAAGAAGUACAAAGACAUGUCAAGCUAGGGAAAAGUCCGGAAAUGAAAGUUAAGCUCAAAACCAGAAAAAUAGGUUUUGACGUCAUUUUGCGGUAAUGGCACCAAAGGCACUACGAUUGUCGGAUAAAGGUCCAAGACCCACCGUUUCGAAGCUAAGAGAUAGGGUUACAAUAUUGUAGAAGGUCACUCAACCCAGUUUCGAGUGUAACCAGGUCAAAAAUGUAAUAUACUAUACCAGAAUCACAAAAACAGGUUUGCAAAACGCAUUCUAGCGUAAACAUCAUAACUCAGCCUACACAAGUCCAAAUCCUGAAAUUCCAAAACCAGCUGAAAUCUAAGAAACAGGGUUACAUUUCAUCAGAAGACCUCAACAACCAAUUCAGAAGCAAUUCCAGCGAAACAACCAAUUACAGUCGCAGAUUUCCAAUUCUGGGUAAACCAGAACAGCAAUAGUAAUUUCGACUUAUCUCAUUCCACGCUACUCCGAUUGACCUGAAAUUUUGUAGGUACCUCUAAAAUGUCAUUCCCUACAACUUUCAUGUUUUAAGCCAAGGCCAAUUCGGCCUCUAACAUGGUGCAAUAAAUUCGGGCAGAAUGUAGAUUCAUGAACCCUAACUUUCCAAAAUUUAUUCCAAAACAGAAAUUGGUUGCAAUUUUCCACUUUUUCCACCUCAUAGAGUCCUUAAACAUCAUUUCCAAUCAUCAUAUAUAGCCACACAAUCAUAUCCAUAUGAAAACAGAAAAAUCCCCAAAAAUUAUAAAACUUCACCAAUUCAACCAAAAUCAAGUUUUGAUCCAUAAACUUGCAUCUCCUACCAUCACCAAGCAUGAAUUUAACAUCAUUAGAGGGAGGAGAGGUAUUCAUCCACUACUCACCUUAGUAAAACAAGAGAGAGAGCAACUAGGCACCAUAACUUUCCAAACAACUUCACAACCAAGCUCAACUCCACCAAACUAAGAGGUUUUAUGGAGUAAUUUGCAAUUUAAUCGGUUGGAACUCAAGAUUUGAGCAAGAAUUGAAGUUGAAGUUGAAGAAACUCUCUCUUGUUCUUUCUCACCAAAAAUUUCGGCCAAGACAAUAAAAAUGGAAGAAAUUGGGUCAAAAUUUGGUUUAGUAAAGGUUAAGACAAGUCCAAGUCAAAGUCAAGGUCCAAGAUUAAAUCACAAGGUGACACUUGUCACCUUUUGGUUCAAAACUUAUCUUUUUGUCUCUCCAAUACAAAUAUCUUAACACCUUGUAAAAUAAUAUCACUUAAUACAAAAUUCCUACAAGUUUUCAAAAAUAUAAUGCAUUUACCGCACUAGCGGGUCCCACGUCCAAAAUACGCUUUUAAUUUCUCAAAAACUAACCGAUACUAGAAAAAUCAUUUUAAAACUAUUUUUGCUCAUAAACUUUAUCUGGGGAAUUUUUCUAAUCAAGAAAAUGUAGAAAAGGCGAGCAUUAAAAAAAAUAAACCCUAGAAAAUUAGAAAAUUUCCGGGUUCUCAAACUCAUUUUUUUCGGGGCGUCACAAUCUCCCCUCCUUAAAAGAAUGUCGUCCUCGACAUUCCCUCUUGUACCAAUCAAGUCAAGACAUCCCGCACAAAUCUCUCAAGAGUCAAAUCAAACCCACAGUCCGGCAUCCUAAACUUCAAGCCUAGGAUACACUACAGAGAUCUGAAACCUAAGCUCUGAUACCAACUGUGACGGCCCCACCUUCCCCUAAGGCGUACCCCAGGGUUCGGCGGGCCGCCUGCCCGGCUCUCGCCGGGACUCAGUCGUUCACUAAAGUCCUCAAAUGAAUUACAAGAAUAAACCUCAAAUAUACAUCACAUGGUCCACAAAUAUACACCCAAGUCUCCAAUAAUUACAUGUCACAAAUGCAGCGGAAACUAAUUCCCAACUAUACAUCAAAUGAUUCCCAAUCCAAAACUGUACAAGAUAUAGGCCAUCCAGUCACGUGAACAAGUACUACAAGUCCUUCCUUCGCCACUAGCCCUGUGGAGGGGAAUAAAAUAUUUUUGGGGUGAGCUAGAAGCUCAGCGAGUAACCAUUAAAAUCAGUAAUCAAAUCGGUUUCACAAUAGUUCAUUUCAAUGAUGUCAUAUAUCCAUGAUGUCAUAAAUCAAGUGAUAAGUCCAGAAACAACUACAUCAUUUGCAAAACAGUAAAUGUGGAUUAUCAAUAAUUCAAGAAACAUUUACAAUGGAAAGCGAUAGUAACAUUCAUGAAAGGAUACAUUCAUUCUCCUGACAUUUCCUCGCUCAUUUGGUCAUUCAUUUCAUUUCAUUCACCCCGUCCCUGGCUUUUGGCAGGCUCCACCAACCUACAUACAUAGGUAAUACUCGAGUAUACCAAACGUUCACCCAAGUUCCUAAUCGCCUGACCGAGUCCGCUUCUGGCUCAAGACGACCGGUAACAAGGGGCAAUGGCCAGUUCAGCCCAAAAGGCUUACAUUCAUUCGCAAGUAACAUUUCAAUCGAAAAUUUCACAUUUAUCGAGGUCAAGUGCGAUAAAGUACACACUCGCCUCGAAAACUCGUUUUGGAAAUCAUUAUAAGCGCUUAACACGUUAUCAACCAAAAUACAAGUCAUGAAAUCAAGAAAUAUAGCAAACAAGGCACACUCACAUGCCAGCACGCAUGAUAUGCAAGAAAACAUUUCAAAAGUAACUUUGGAAACAGUUCAAAAGUAAAUAAUGUAAGAAACGGUUCAUAAAUAACUUUAGAAGUAGUUUGAGGUCACUCACCUCCAUGGCUCAGAAAUCAUCCAUCAUAUAACAUUGCCUUGCUCAAAUCCAAGUCUUAGAUCACAAACUCAAAGCAAUCAAACCCUUUAAAACUUCGGACAGCACUUCCCCUAAAUUUGCUUACUUUCCCAGCCAUCAUGGCUUCAUUAUCCUUCUCAUUCAAACCAAAGGUACACACACAACAACAAGUUCAUCCAAUAGCCAUUCAGCAAGUUCCAAGAAGUACAAAUACAUGUCAAGCUAGGGAAAAGUCCGGAAAUGAAAGUUAAGCUCAAAACCAGAAAAACAGGUUUUGACGUCAUUUUACGGUAAUGGCACCAAAGGCACUACGAUUGUCGGAUAAAGGUCCAAGACCCACCGUUUCGAAGCUAAGAGAUAGGGUUACAAUAUUGUAGAAGGUCACUCAACCCAGUUUCGAGUGUAACCAGGUCAAAAAUGUAAGAUACUAUACCAGAAUCACAAAAACAGGUUUGCAAAACGCAUUCUAGCGUAAACAUCAUAACUCAGCCUACACAAGUCCAAAUCCAGAAAUUCCAAAACCAGCUGAAAUCUACGAAACAGGGUUACAUUUCAUCAGAAGACCUCAACAACCAAUUCAGAAGCAAUUCCAGUGAAACAACCAAUUACAGUCGCAGAUUUCCAAUUCUGGGUAAACCAGAACAGCAAUAGUAAUUUCGACUUAUCUCAUUCCACGCUACUCUGAUUGACCUGAAAUUUUGUAGGUACCUCUAAAAUGUCAUUCCCUACAACUUUCAUGUUUUAAGCCAAGGCCAAUUCGGCCUCUAACAUGGUGCAAUAAAUUCGGGCAGAAUGUAGCUUCAUGAACCCUAACUUUCCAAAAUUUAUUCCAAAACAGAAAUUGGUUGCAAUUUUCCACUUUUUCCACCUCAUAGAGUCCCUAAACAUCAUUUCCAAUCAUCAUAUAUAGCCACACAAUCAUAUCCAUAUGAAAACAGAAAAAUCCCCAAAAAUUAUAAAACUUCACCAAUUCAACCAAAAUCAAGUUUUGAUCCAUAAACUUGCAUCUCCUACCAUCACCAAGCAUGAAUUUAACAUCAUUAGAGGGAGGAGAGGUAUUCAUCCACUACUCACCUUAGUAAAACAAGAGAGAGAGCAACUAGGCACCAUAACUUUCCAAACAACUUCACAACCAAGCUCAACUCCACCAAACUAAGAGGUUUUAUGGAGUAAUUUGCAAUUUAAUCGGUUGGAACUCAAGAUUUGAGCAAGAAUUGAAGUUGAAGUUGAAGAAACUCUCUCUUGUUCUUUCUCACCAAAAAUUUCGGCCAAGACAAUAAAAAUGGAAGAAAUUGGGUCAAAAUUUGGUUUAGUAAAGGUUAAGACAAGUCCAAGUCAAAGUCAAGGUCCAAGAUUAAAUCACAAGGUGACACUUGUCACCUUUUGGUUCAAAACUUAUCUUUUUGUCUCUCCAAUACAAAUAUCUUAACACCUUGUAAAAUAACAUCACUUAAUACAAAAUUCCUACAAGUUGUCAAAAAUAUAAUGCAUUUACCGCACUAGCGGGUCCCACGUCCAAAAUACGCUUUUAAUUUCUCAAAAACUAACCGAUACUAGAAAAAUCAUUUUAAAACUAUUUUUGCUUAUAAACUUUAUCUGGGGAAUUUUUCUAAUCAAGAAAAUGUAGAAAAGGCGGGCAUUAAAAAAAAUAAACCCUAGAAAAUUAGAAAAUUUUCGAGUUCUCAAACUCAUUUUUUUCGGGGCGUCACAAUCGAUAAAUUUGUGAAGUUUUGGGGACUACUAUGCUUCAUGAUGUCAUAGGCUGUGAUUGUUGGCUGCUACAUGGUGGUGCUUAUGGAAGAUCAGCCGAUUCCAUUAUGAAGCAAGAAAAAAUAUUGAAGAAGAAAAAAAGGAAAUCCAUUAUAGUAAUAAAAAGAAAAUGGAAAAUAUCUAAUAGAUUCCCAUUGCAACGUAAUUACGAAACGAGUGAAAAGGAAUAGGCAAAACCUAUUACCAUUGAGGAACUUUUGAUACUCAUUGUCUUUGCCAUUGUGAAAUUCCAACCAAACGGGUGGUUAGUAGUUCAAGCAGAUAUAACCACUCCAUGUAAAGAUUUAGCAAGAGAUUGAAGCAGCACCCAUCCCAUCUUGUUCAUUAGGUACUACAACAGCUGAGAAAUUAGGUCCUUGUUAUCCUCAUUUGGGUAUCACGGUGUUCUAGCCUUCAGGUUUACUUGCUCAAAUAACUCUCCAGCUUUCUGAAAUACUGUUUUAUGACUUCUUUUUUGCAUUUCAUACAGCAUAAAACAGUGUCGCAUGACAGCAGUCUUGACUUUUUAAAGACCACUUCAAUAGUAAAUUAAAAAAAAAAAAAAGCAGAAACAACUGAAUGUUGUGCCCUUCAGAAGAGGGAUUCCCUCACUUGGGGCAGCAAAGACUUCAAUUUGUCUUGUCAAGGUUAUUGUAUAAUAUACAUCCUUAAAAAAAUGAAAAUGCAUGGUGUACACCAAGACAAUAUUAGGGGAUUGACAGCCACAUUAGAGAUUUUAACAUCCUCCAUCAAUUGCGAAAUAUAAAUAUAAAAAAAAUCAACCAAAAUGAGGCAACAUCUAUGUAGAAGACUCUAGUUUUGAAAACCAAACUAGUUGAGAUUCAGCCUAAAACCAGAAGGCGGUAGGCAUGUUAAGGGAAGCACAUUGCAAGAAAAAGAUUUAAAGAUAAAAAACAAAAAAUUGCCAAAAUUAAAAUAUUAAUCCCCGUCAAAAGAGGAGAUGACGGUAAGAGAAUGUUUCAAUUUAUUGAGUUCUAUUCUUUGUAUUUUUGUCUGUCAAUUUUGAGAACAAGAUCAUUUAGAAAUUUCUGCAGUAAGUGUACUUAUAUUAUCAUUUAAUCACUCUUAGUAACCACUACUUGUUUGGUAGUAAAUGGCUUUGAUCUUUAUGAACGAGCGUUAACUACAAAUGGAAAAUGUUAAAGUAACAAAUUGCAUUUCAGUUUCACAUAAACCUUAUCAGGUAUAAGCAACAGAAAGUGCGAACUGACUCAGCCAGAUACCAGUGUCAGAUCUACCAGGAGAUAGAUAGUUUAUGAGUUCAUUCAAAUGUUAACCAAACAAAUUCUCUAUUAAAAUUUUUAAUUCAUCUCCAAAUAAUGCUCCCCACCCCCCACAAAAAAGAAAAUUCCUUGAUGACAGUAAACAUGCUUAUUUAGAAUCAGGCAGUGGAAAUAAAGCCAAUUUACAAGGUUCUGUAUGAUGACAUUUCAUUGCAAACCUUGGGCUUGGCUAGAAGAAGCACAUCACGAUGGAUGCCGAUAACCACCAGUGAUCCUGAUCCUCAAGGUAAGAACCAUCACUCCAUCGCAUCACUUGCGCAGCUAGGGAAUUUCUCUUGCCAGAUCCACAUGGAUGACAAAAUCUGUGAUCUCAAAUUCACCAGGUAGUCUACUAUCCUGACUGAAUCAGGGAAAAUCAAAAUAAAUAAAGUUAACAUUUCAUACCACAUGAAAAUGCACAAAUAUAGUCGGUAUACAUAUGCAGCAUCAAUAGCUCCUGAAGUUUAGGGCUUUCAAAUGUUUUAGGAGGCUUUAGGAGAGCUUUCAUCAUUUCAGUGUCAUCCAACAAAUGUGGAAAAAAUUAAUUCAUCAUCUACCAGGCUAUGGUGCCAGAAUAUUUUUAAGCAACUGUCAAUUAAGUGAAAUUAACAAAAAGAAAAUCUUCUUUGACAUUAACCUUGGAAUUGGGAACUUCAGCACAAGUUCAAAAAUAAGUCAAGUGACUCAAUGACUUUCCAUUUACAAUCAAACAUUGACUGAUUGAAAGGAUCCACAUAUCCAACACGGUUCUCACUUUACCUCCUAGUGCAAUACAACGUUCAAUAUUACGAUGCAUGUACAAAUUCAACCAGAGAUGUCAUCCAAGGAUGAUUGCCGUGGGUACAUUUUAGAUGUUACGCGGAGAAUGCAGUUUCCUAUUUCAUAUAGACUCACAUUAGGUAUAGAUUGUUGUGUCACACAAUUAACGUGCACAGAUGCCAGUACACUGGAUUCCAUUGGAUACAUUAUGAGUAAAGCAUGUUUGAAGGACGACAAGUAUUACACCCACAUUGCUAGAACUGUAAUCUUAGCGAAAGUUAAUUACUUUUAUCGAUCACAUAGUAAUAAUUGCCCAACUUCAAAAGGAUAACUUUCUAAGUAAUUAAGCAGUUUCAGUAGCUUAAUCAGAAAUUAUUAUCUCUAAAAUGACAUAUUCUGAAAAGUCAUAAAAUUCAGCAGGUGGCAAAUAUUCUACACAUCACAUUUUUGCCUUAUUCUUUCGCAUAUUCGUCAAAAACAAAAGCAUUAUGUAUACAGUUUACAUCCGCGAAGUAAACAACAUGCCAAAUCAUAAUAGUCAUGCUGUUAUAAAAAUUCUCAACGACAAUAGCACUAAAUCUGAUUAGUUGGUCCAUAACAACUGACAUAGACAUCUAAAAAGCAAUGUAACAUAACAUAUAUGCCUACCAUGGCCGAACAUAGCUUUUAUUUAUUAGACAGGCUUGUGCAUCUUAGGUGCUGUUUUAUACAAGUAACAACUAAAAUACAGCUCCAUAAAUGCUCAAAGGUAAACUCAGAAGCAUAAAAUCUUAAUUUCUGUUCAAAAUCUUUGGUCAAAUCAAAAACCUGAAAUUGAGCACUACACUUAUCAAUCACUUUGAGAAUGGUUAUAAGUUAAAAAGUGAAAACUAUUUCUUUAAUGAUUUUCUUUUGAGGCGAACGGAUGAUAGACGAAGCAAGAAGGGGAAAUGAGGAUGGUCACAAAUUGAACCUUUAUCAUAAAAAACCGCUUAAGCACUCUGCUAUGCAACACCCUAUUCUCGAAUUUUUAACUAUCUGACAUUCAUAUUUUUUUCCCUCAUCGCUUCCGUCCACAACAUUGAAUAAUUACUCGUAGCCAUGUUAUCAAGAACAAAAAACAUUACAAAGAGUAUAGAGCUCAGCACUCAUCCUUCAUAUUUUCUGGCCAGAAAAAGAUGAUUCAAAGCCUUCAUGCAUCAAGGCUGAAUAGCAAAUUAGGAACAUAUAUACUCUGUUCAUCUCCACAUACACUAUAAUAAAUAACUGUAUAGAUAUGCAUGUUUCCAUACAUAGAUGUGCAUAUGUAAUUCGUAACAGAAGCUUCACAAGUUAAAAUUCUCAUCUAGACUCACAGUCAUUCUUUAAUGACAUGCAACAAUGUCCUAUGUUUGCGUCUCCAGUUUACAUUUAUACAAUAAAAUUUUGAUCAUAUUGUUUAUCUUAUGUUAUCAAGAAGAAAAAUACAUCACGAAGAGUUUAGAGCUGAGCGCUCAUCCUUCAAAUUUUCAGGCCGGAAAAAGAUGAUUCAAAGCCUUCAUGCGUCAAGGCUGAAUAGCAAAUCAGGAACAUAUAUACUCUAUUCAUCUCUGCAUACACUGCAAUAAAUAACUAUACAGCUAUGCAUGUUUCAGUACAUAGAUGUGCAUGUGUGGUGUAUAACAGAAGCUUCACAAGUUAAAGUUCCCACCCAGAUCAACAAGUCUGUUUGCAAUUCUUUAAUGACAAGCAGAGAUGUCCCAUAGUUGCUACUCCAGUUUAGAUUUAUAGGAUAAAAAUUUCGCCAUAUUAUUUAUUUUAUGUACACACCAGAAUUAUUUUCGUGGCAUGCACAUCUAAAAGUUACUACUGGAAAGUCAUAAUUAAGCUUUUCACAUAGAGAUGAGGAGUCUGCAUCAACUUGAGGUGCAAAGUUGACUUGUGCAGCCUCUAUAACAUGUGGCUCUGCAUGUAUCAGCAUUUACUUGUGCUUUGUGAAGUAUGAAGCUCAUCUGUCUUGCAGAGUUCAAAUAUGAUGUUACUCCACCGACUCUCCAAGGUUCAAUUUGCUGUAGUUGAGGAUUUUGUUUUUGAACCGUUCUAAUUGAUAUCAUCAGUUUUGCAGGUUGAGUUUAUCCUUGUGUUGGGCUUAGGAAUAUUUAAUAGUCCAGUCACAAGGCUACUGCAGAACUUGGAUUUCUCUUAAAUUAGUAUAUUGACCUUUCAUUAUUAGAGUGGACUCAGAUUCACUUUUGCUGUCUAAGUUUCUUUGCGGAAAAACACAGCUACUGCUGCCUUCUUGUUUCCUAUCAGCAGCUGAUUUAUUUGUUUCUGUCAGCUGGUGUUGUAUUCAAAAUACUUGAUAUAACCUUUUCUAGUCUACUGCAUCACAAAGUAAACAUCAUUGCCAUUGGCCCAACUAGUUGCAGCACCAUCUAGGGGAACCCAAGUCAUUAUGUAAAAUAUUUCACAAUUAAUCCGUGGCUUGUUUAGUUUUGAAAUUUGAGUGCAGCCUUUUUUCAGGCUGUUUGUAGUUCAGAUUUUCGUUCAAUAGAAAGCAUUGCAAGCACUUCAAACUCUAACAGUUCAACUAUCAAAACCCAAAAUCCAGCCCCAAAUGUUGAAAACUGUUGAAAUUAUUUUAUUAUGAGUUUUAACUGUUAAUAAGUAAUACUGAUUAAUAUCCUGUUAGUUGAGGGAAUUGUCACAAAUUACAAAUUUUUAUUGGUACAAUCGGGAGACAGUAUUUUCUCUCAAAAUACUUUGAAAUAUGGUAGAUCAUUAGAUUAAAAUAUGGACCCAAACAUAUUUGGUGAUAGCAGAAAAGCAAUCAUGCCUCUAGAGUGAACAAACUUCUUAGUUCUGUCUUGAGAAAUGUAAAUGCUUCUGUCUUCAUUUAUCUCUUGAGAAGCCCAAACAACUUGGCACAAAAUACUAGGACAUCACUAAACUAUUAUGAGUCUCAAAGUUUGGCCACUCAACUAGUUUGAAUCUUAAAUAAUCAUCUAAACUGUUAAAAGCAUGAUCUUCAAGCUGGUCCAACUAAAUACCUGUGCAUUAGUUGGAAAAGGCACGUGCUUAAUAGGUUAGAUGCUUCCAAAAAAGUAGUUAGGACGCACCUCAUUCCCUCCACAAACAACUUCCUCCAAAAUCAACUUCCUUAUUUUACCUGUGCACAUGUCCUUUAGUUUUGUUUUACAUCUGCAAAUUAUGCAGGUGAAUGGGGUACGAGUUUCAUUGUGGGCAUUGGAAGGGAGGCUACCAUCCAUUGUCCAAAGGGGAAGGCCAAGGGGAAGGGAGAUAGAUUGGGAUGAGGUGGCAGUGAGAGAUGCAGAUUGGUUCAGAGACAUCAAUAGGUGUUGGGAUGAUGAGCGGGAAGGUGGGAGUCAGAAGAGUUGAGAACAGUUUGUGGUAAAAGAGCUAGGGGGUCUGCAUGGAGGCCGUGUUGAGAGAAAGGAGAUAUUUAGGAUGAGGUAAAUGCUGGGGGACAGGGACGCAGAUUGGUCAGAGGCAUUGGUAGGUGCUGAAAGUCAUGCGAGCAGUGAGGGGGGCGGGAAGAGUUUACAGGCAUGUUUUCUUUGGAGGUAGUAAGAUCAGCAUGGAGAUUGGGUUGCUUUGUGUUGGCAGGGUGAAAACAGAAGUGAGGGGUGAGGCUGUUUCUUGUGAAAUUGAUGGGCAUGUCAAGUGGGACAGGGAUCGCAGAUGUGAGCGUUUGGAAGGGGAAGCGGAUGAUGGUAUUCUGGGUUGAGGUGCUGGGGUGGCACAGGGAUGCAAUUGAUAAUGUUGACACAAAAAGUUUAAUUACACUUGUGGAUCUCAAGUAUCUAUAUUUCUCUCUAACUAAAUGGUUUAACUCGGUGAAAAGACUAAGGAUCAAUUGAUUUAUUUGAGAUGCUAAAACCAUAUCAUGAGGAUAGUUUAAUUGCACCCUAGGUUUGACACCCCAUAACAGAAAAGGGUUUUUCAAUUUAUGGGCUUCUUCUUUCCUGACCAUCCAAGAUAGCAUUCUGCAUUCUGUGGGAGUUUGAGUGGUGGUAAACUUAGGUCUGGGAAAGAGUGGCCAAUCUCUUACACAGGACCUGAUAGUUCGCCACAGGAAGGAUGCUGUUACUCCUGCAAUAUCCUCUCAUGAGCAGCCCCUUGUGCACCAGUUACUGUUGCUCUCCACACACACACACACAGAUGAAAGUAACUUAAUUACUAAAAAACGGAGACAAAAAGAGAGCUACCUCGAAUCUCUGCCCAACUGCUGGCUUUCUGGCUUUUUUCAUGGAUACUUAAUCUAUGUUCUCGUUGUUGAGAAAAGAUUUUGGAAUAAAUUUUGUGGGUGUUUGGACUCACUUUAAGGGUAAACUUAAGUCGUAGUCCCACCUCGAGUCUGCCUGAUUGGUUUCUAUGUUCUUUUUGCUGAGAAAAGAUUUGGUAAAAAUUUUGUGGGUGUUUGAAACUUAAGCCCUGGUCCCACCUCGAGUCUGCCUGCUUGGUAGAUCUCUGGCUAUCUUCUACAAAACUAAAUGUAAAUCUGUGAUCUGCUUUCAGAGGAAAAAUUAAAAUAUGAAUUUUCUCUGUUUUCGAAAUGAUUUAGAAGGUGGCCAAGUGGCGAGCCGCAAUCGUUUUUUUGCUUUCCAUUGGUGAUCAUCCGCCCAUCUUCAGAUAGAUCCAAUCUAGUAUCCGUAUUCGUUGCAGAAAUUAAAGUGAUGAAGUAUAUUCAAACAAAAAGUCCUACAGGAGGUGCCAGCAGCCGGUGGUGCGUGGCAGCUUGGGCGGCUGACCCACUGACCAUGAUAAAGGACCUUCUUUGAAAAAGAGAUCUAUUUUAGGGACUGAGUUGCAAUUAAUUUUUUAACUCUAGAUGUAAUUGAGACAUUAUUAUGGAAAUUUAACUACAUGCCUCCUUUUUUUAUAAUUGACAAACAGAACCAAUUUCUCCAAAAAUAAAUUUGCCAACAGUUAUAUCCUAAUAACAAAAAUCAAAUCUUCUCCCUUAUUCCUAAUUCUCCCAAAAGUUUAUGCUUCAACCAUUUCUCAUAGAGAGGACUAGUUAAGUACCAACCAAGAUAAGAUAAAGACAGCCUAAAGCAGGUUCUAUACAACGUCAAUAAUAAUAAUAAUCUCAACUUAUGGGAAAAGUUUUGCAUCACCGACCUGUAUCCAACAGGUACACCAUUCACCCAAGCAAAGAAGGCAGAAUCAACAGCUUCAAAAUGAAGAAAUAUCCUCCGACCUGUCCAACAUUUUAGACAUUGCAUCAUAACAAUGAAAACGAAUGAACAGAUGCUUAGUUAUAUGUCAUGUAAUGAUAAGAAUCACAAAGAAUUUGAAAACUCAAAACAGUAUUAAUCAAGGCCAGAAAGUUCAAGGGCUAGAGACACAUAAUAGCCCAGUGGGAAUACACUUGUAUGUUACAGCCUUAUGGGAGAAAAUGCAAGUUCCCACAAUGUGCACAGAAGUAUGCAGGUUCCAUAUUUAGAUAUUUCUUUUUGGGUUGGGGGGGGGGGGUGGGAAUCAGGAAAGAGAAUGGUAAAGAGGAUCAUUAGAUUGGUAGAAUAAUAUUCAAGACAUGCAAACAUUAACGUCAUUGUGAAGUGGGGAGUCUCUUUCAAAUUAAGAAACAGCAGUAAGAAAGAAUUACCAAUAAAGGAAGAAAAGAAUGCCUACUAAGUUCCUACCUUCUCUUUCUCCUUGUCUAUCUCUGUCUCUCUCAAGUUUCAAAAGGCCACAUUUUCAAAUAAAUGCUCAAUAUAAUGUUGAACAAUGAGUUCAAUAUCAAAUGUUAAACUGUUCUCAAAAUUUUGCUAGCUUGUUCAUCUUGAGUAGACUUCAAGGAUUGGAUUCUAUAACUUGAUUGCUCUAAUAUCUCCAUGAUCCAUUGGAUUACUAGUCAGUGCAUAUGGUCAGAACAAUAGAUCUUCAUAAUUUGUAUAUAACCAAUCUCCACAUAAGUUUAGAUAAAGCCAAAUAUGUGCUUCAUGCAAAGUGUCUAUCAUUCAAGUUGUGAAGCUAACUGCCUGUACUAUGUCAGCAUUACCAUGUAAUGUAUAACUAGCUAUAUGAAGUCAUAUGAAAGGGUUUCUACCAUUGUCUAAAACCACCUAAUAUGAACCAUGAUACCUUAUACUUUGGAGUUUAGCUAUAAAGCUGGUUAGCAAAAGCAAAUUAUCAAACAAAAAAAGGAGAGAAGGAAAAAAUGAAUCUUCCAGCCACAAAAACUGCAUUUUCUGCGUUGCUAAGCAUAGUAGUUUUCGGUCAAUCAGUCAUUGAUCCUUUCAGAUUAGAUACACAAAAAUGGCCCUUGUGCAAGCAACGGUCUCCAGAUCUAGCUGAUAACAGAAGCUUCUUGAACAAUGUUUUCCUUUUCGAUUUUCGAGUGAAAUUGCUAUCAGGAGAUCAAAAACCAUCUAUUCAUGUCUUUGUUACAAUUACGAUCUUCCUUUGCAAAAGAGCAUGGCAUCAGAAUUCAUUUUCCAGGUUCAUUCUAAUCGUUUCUGUUCAUUGAUCCUUAUCAUGCAAGAACAAAGGCAUAAUAUACUAUGAUACAAUAAGUUGAGUAAAACGUAUGUCAUGAUGAUCCUAACAAGGCAUUCAGUACAGCCACCAAUCUAGGCCAUGCCACAUCAGCAAAGUGGGAGAAAAUCUCUCAUUUAUUUCUUCCAAGGCCCAUUUCCUUGCACUACUCCAACACUCUGACGUCCCUUUAUUUUCCUCAGUAUUAUCCACUCCUCUGUUUCCUUUUUUUCCCCUUCAAAUCUGUUAAUUUUGUUCUUUUCUUUUAACAUUCUUAAAAUGACAAAAAAAUCUAAGAUUUUCUUCUUUUUUUCCCUUUACUUUAGAUGGAUUUCUAUAGUUCGAUAUUACAAAGUUACUGAUUUAUCAGUUAAUAUUAAUUAAAUAUUUACUUGUUUUGUGUAUAGCAAGAAUAUUUGCAAUUACUUAAAUAAUUGACAAACUAGUAAUUGAGUUAUUCACAUACAAUGCAAGAACAGAUCUCAGAAAUAAAGGGAUGUUAAGUGUUAAGAGUAGUGGAAGGAAGUGGCCUUGGAAUAAAUGAGAGAAAUUUUCUCCCACUUUGCUGAUUUGGCCUGGCUAGAUUGGUGGCUAUACUCAAAGCCAUGUUAGGAUCACCCUGGUAUACUUUUUAGUCUAACCAACUGCCAAGCAUUUUCUGUAAGUUGUCAUGUGCUUGUAAUGAGAUUCAAAAGAGAGCUUUGACAUCAACUAUAAACAGAAUUUAAAUAGACUAAGAGCUCCAUAUGAGAUUUGAAUAACAAAAACUGUAUGAAAUUAUAAAAGUCAAUACAAUCAACUUCCAUCAAUUAAAACACAGACUUUUCAUGUUGGUUCUGUUAAUAUUUUGGUCCUCUAUUUUCAAAAAUUAUACCAAAUGUGAGAAUCAGAUAUAGAGAAGCCUAAGCAUGACCGUCAUUUUGCCAAUCCAUCGGGUACACAACUCUUUAAGCACAUUACCAAUGCCAACACCCAAGGUAGUAGGCCUUAUAUUGAGGUACCAAAGGGAGUAUAUAGGUUGCCAGUAUCCAAUGAAUGUCUAGCUCUUGGCUAACCAAAUAUCAGAAUCAAUAACAAAUACUUCUAUCUUUAGUUCAGUCCAGGUAGUAACUCUCUGAUGAUGGGGGAAAUUAAACAAAUCUCAUCAUAAGUCAAAACUGGCUAACCAAAAAUGUGAAACGAACUAAAUAUAAUUUCUAUCUUGGAUACAUUUCUAGACACUAAUUCAUUAAGGGAAAAAUGUAAACUAAAAUACCUUCAAGUUAACUCGAGAAACUGAAGGUUCCACAUGUUUUUUCUAUACAAAACAAUUGAUUUGAUGCAUUCUUGGUAGACAGUUGUAAAAACUACCAGGGAGCUUGAUAUGGUUGUAAAAUGUGAAAGUGGGCUCUUUGUGUUCCCACACUUGGGUUGUUGUUGCUGAUUAGAUGAUGAAUGUUGGAUUUAAUGGUAGUUUAAUGGUUAUAAUGAUGGAUUCAUGGAGUAUUAUUGUUGGAAACUCAAAGUAGAGGUCAUGACAAGAAAUUUCCGAAACUGCCCCUGUUUUGUUCGGCCAUGAUAAGGCUCAUUUUUGGUGAUUUAUUGGCAUGAACCUGAUGUUUAUAUGUUAUAUUAUAUGUGUAAAAAUUUUCGUUGCAAAACAUUAACGUUUGGAUGGGCAAAUGAAUUUAUUCGUGAACUAGGCAAGCUGGAAAAUUAUUUUCGGGUGAACGUGUCCAGCGGUAGCAUUUUGACCAUAACUCUGUCCUCGGGUGUCGAAAUCAAGUGCUGUUGGUGGCGUUUGAAACUAAACAUUCCUGGCUUUAAUUUGAGAUAAAAUGCACAUUCUGAUUCUUUGUGAGUGAUCCGAACCAAACGUUUUAAGAUAGCUGUCCUGUCUCUCGGAUUUGCUGGAAUGGCUUGUAGAGGCAGAAACUUGAGGCUCAAUUUCGAGCUGGUUGCUUGCCGAAUUUCAGAACAUUUCCUUCUGUGAACUUUUAGUCCUGUGAAUUUAUUUUCCAACGUCAUAAACCAUGCUCUAUUCCGAGUUAAAUUGAUUGAUUUGUGACCAAAACAAGAGGACUGCCCUGUUUUGGAAAAACGUAGUAUUUGGACUGAUUUGGGGAAAAACUUGGGAAUGAUUUUAUUAAUUGAAGUCUUGAUGCUCAUCACUUACCAAAGGUAUCAUGAAUGUAUUAUAGACCUUUAUUUCACAAAUGAACCAUGGUUGGAUAGUUUUCAUGGUUAAACGAUUUGAAUUGGAAAUGGAAGUCACAAGGCAGAUUGCCUUAGAAUUUUUCCUGAACUUUGGUUGACUAAUUAACUAUCUUUCCGAAGGUAUUUUUCCCUGAAAUUUGAUAGAGCGGUACCUUUCAUAUGGGAGUAAAUUACUGCCAAUUUUGGUACCAAUCCAAGUUCGUUUCGAUACCUAAUUAAAUUUCUAGUGUUGGAGGUUCAAAUCUGGAAAUUCUUCUCCAGUCUUGAAUUUCCCCAACUUUGAGCUACCGUAUCUCGGUACUCGAAACUCCGAUUCUUGAUCCGCUUGUUUUGUUAUAAACCUCACUUGCAACUCUAAUUGAGUGACAAAUUUCAGAAGCUGGUUUGCAACGUGUGAAUCGUGCCGAAUUUUCAAAGUUGGCCGAAAUCCAACUUAAUUCUGCCUUGUACGCCGAACCUGCAUCUUCAAGCUCAUUUUUGAGUACUUUCCACUUAGAUUCAUGGAAAGGUGUCUUCUAAUAACUUUAGCACUUUCCAAAAGGUUUCCAAUGGUAUAAAGUUUACCAAUUUUGGACUUAUAUCGAGAGAGAUUCGAAUUUUCAAAGAUUUAGGAUAAAACUGAAAUUUCUCAAUUUUCAAGGCAAAGGAGUUUUUCCAAAACUCUUAAUUCUCCUAGUAUUAUUCAAACGUUUUGCCUCGAUUUUCAUGAUAAAAACUCAAAUAAUAUUGUACAUAAUAAAAGGCAAGUUGAACCUCGAUUUACGAGUAAUUGAGUUUCCUUUUGUGAAAUAAUCUUAAGAUUGUACUAGUGUACAAUCUUUCCUUGAUAAUUGGAUAAUUGUGUGACUAUCCACUAUUAAUUGCCAGGCGCACAAGGAGACCUUCAAGAGGAUCUCACAGUGGACACUUGAACUCCCAGAAAAUAAUUCUUAUUGAAUUGCUCGGUGAGUGUCAAGUGUGUGAAUCUUUGAUACUUGCUUAUUUGUGGUAAUUGUUGGAAGUUUUAAAAAUAAGGGCGGGUGCGUACUUUAUCGCACUCGUUCUAAUUUCAAAUGAAUGAUUGAAAUGUAUUGAAUGAAUGAAAUGUAUUGAAUGAAUGAAUGAAAUGCAAUGUUAUGUUAUGAUUACAUAUGUCGUUGGAGUGAACCUCCUCGACUUUCAAAUGAAUGGGGGACGCCCAAACUCAUAGGCCAACCUUAGACUCGAGCCGGCAAUGGGCUUGGUCGGGGACUUGGGCGAGCCAUGAGAUAUAUAUAAGCUCGACCUAAUGAGAGGUCUUGCUUGGCAUACUCGUGGAGUAUCGCCUUAUAAAUGACUUGUGGGCCCUUGAGGUGUACGGUGGACGGAGGGAAGUAAGUGGUGAUCUACGGUAAUAGAAAUACCGACCCGGUUGACAGGAGGGUCAACGCGGGAAGGUAUACGAAUGACAUCGGCAGAUCGAGUGGAACUUAGCUCCUGAGAGCUACUAUAUCCUUGAAUUGUUUCUGAUUACUUUUCCUGUUCAAAUGAUUGAUUAUUGAAGGGACAUGGUUUUAUUUAUUAAAUUUGGGAUUGCUAUUUGAACAAAGUGCUUGCAUGUGUGUUCUUGGCCUCACGAGCGUUUUGCUCACCCUAUAGUUUGUUUUCCUUAACAGGACCGAAUCUCGGAGAAGUUUGGAGAAAACCCUUCGCUGUACUUUUGUUUUGAGGUUUUCUAUUGUUAGUGGCUAUGUCCUUUGUGGGGAUUGUACUUGUGGAAUUGAAGUGUAACUUUUGGGCCUGACGUAUAUUUUGGAUUUAAGUUGUAUCUUGAACGCCCUAUUCAUGGGUGGAGUAAUGGAUGAUUUUAUGCUUGAACGCUUCCGCAUUUUUUGUAUUCAUGUUGUUCUCUUCGAAUGUGUUUAGUUCGGAUUUAAAUUGAAUGAAAUUGCUUGAGUCCUGGCGAGAGCUGGGCAGGCGUUCGCGGAUACCCUUUGGUCCGCCUUAGGGAGAUGUGGGGCGUCACAGUUGGUAUCAGAGCACUAGGUUAGAGGUCUAUAUGGGAGACAUAUUAGAUACUCUACCUUUAAGACUCGAUAUGGGAUGACUUAAUCCUACCCUAAGUGAUGCUUGAGGCGAGCUAGCAACUAAGUUAGUCCUACCUCAAGUGACGAUUGGGAUGAACCAACAAUUAAGUUAGGCAUGCAUUGCAGGAUAUUGGAACUGAGUAGUGAUUUAAGUUUCUAACCUGAAAAAUAUUAUUAUUAUUAUUUUGCAGGGAUGGAUGACGGAAAUGGAGCCCCGACAGCUAAUGGGAAUGGCCAUGCGAAUGGUCAUUACGAGUCUCUUAGGACUAUCUUCUACCGAGCUCUUGCGGGAGGAGCUCGAGUACACUACUCACCGUAUGAUAGAUACCCUCGAUGUUCGUGUAGGUUGACUUUCGCCUACCCGAACCAUAUAGUGCUUGCUCUGGACGACGAGCGUCGUCAGUUGGUGGAUGCCAACCGCGAUUUACAGGCUGAGGUAGACGAGCUUAGGCAGAUGGUUGGCGCUCAGGGUGAGCGGAUUGCCGAACUCGAGGAGGUGCUGGAGGGUGAGGUAGCCACAUCUGCAAUGGUUAAUGAGGAGUUUCGGGAUACUAGGGCUCGACUCACUAGGCUAGGACGGGAUGUCCGUACUCGGGCUUUCGAGAUCCUGGCUGAUGCCACUAGAUUGGUUGAGGACGCUGCUGAGGUGAUUCCUGACGGUGAGGAGGAGGAUCCGGAGGAGGACCCCGAGGAGGAGGUUCCUCCUGAUAGCCCCGCUGUGGACUAGGAUCUUAGUUGUUGACCCCUUUUGACUUUUGACCGGUACAGUUAGGACUAGUUAGGGUGACGCGAGUGCUGAGGCCAUUGUAUUUUGCAUGCUUGUGUGGCCUACUUUUGGGCACUUGUUCUUACUUUAGUCUUCUGUGACUAAAUGUAUACUUUUGAGCACCUGUGUGCUAUAUUUUUGUGAAUUGUCCCUAACUUGCUAAUUGUACGAACUUGACAUGCUUAUGAAUGUAAAUUAUUGUUAAUUUUAAUGCUUUCUUGGUUGGUUCUAAUUUUGAUAUAUUUCUCCUUUUCUGCUUAAAUUAAUCUAUUUCUUGCACUAGGCACAUUUAGACUAAUGGAAGGAUUAAGGAGUGGUCGAGGCCGUGGGCGAGCGUCUAGACAGGCCCAAACUCAGGGAGAUGACCAGGGAUCGGCAACUGGACCGACCCAGGGACAGGAGAACAUUGAGGGUAACCAGGUGGCUACUGCCAUCAAUAGGAUGACUGAUAUCCUAGAACGUCUAACGGAGAGACAGGAACCUGGACCAUUUAACCAACCUGGGGGCCAGGAUAGGGGAGAGGAUAGAGCCCUGGAGAGAUUCUUAAAGUUUAACCCGCCUAAGUUUAUGGGUGAAUCUAACCCCGAAAUAGCAGAGAAUUGGUUAGAAAGGAUGACCAAUAUAUUCGCCGCCCUAGACUACACUGAGGAUAGGCGAGUGAACUUUGCUGCUUUUCAAUUUGAGAGAGUAGCCCGUGCUUGGUGGGAUUUGAUAAAAGGAAAAUGGGAAAGGGCUCAAACCCCUUGGACUUGGGAGAAUUUCACAAAGGAGUUUAAUGAAAAGUUUCUUCCGCCCUUAAUCCAAGAAAAAAGGGAGGACGAAUUUAUUAAGUUGAAACAAGGAACCCUUACUGUAGCAGAGUAUGAAGGGAAGUUCACUAAACUUUCCAAAUACGCUCCUGAGUUAGUAGCCAAUGAACGGAGGAGAAUUAGAAAGUUUGUGAGGACUCGCAAAUUCCUUACAUAUUUCUCAAAAAUUCCCUUUUAUUUGAAAAUUAUUUGGAAAUUAUUAUUUCAUGUUAUCCAUAGUUCAAUCACCCUAGAAAAGUGCCAAUGACCAUAGGAAAUUAGGGUUCUCCUAUUCGUUUUCAACUCAAGGUGAAAUCGGAUUUUUCGUGUAACCGUAGUAUAAUUAUCCGGUACCGAGUAAGGAUCGAAUUUGGUGCUUAAGAGUGACUUUUAAGUGAGAAAUAAUAUGUUAUUAGAAGCAAUGAUAAAAAGUUAGUGAAUAGGAAGCAAAAACCCUAGUACGUGCGAUUUAAGAGAAAACGCGUCACACCGACGUGUACCGUGCUCUACCGUUUGAACCGACCACUUGACCGCCACUUACUUGUCACACAAGUUUAUUACUAAUGGAGUAAAAUAUCUCCUCUCUCAUGAUGACAGCUUGGCCGAAAUUUGUGGCUAAAAUGUAAGGAAGGAGAGAGAAAAUUGUGUGGUGGAAAUCAAGCCAAGUGUUGGCUAAACUUGUGGACAGAAUUUGUUCUAAUUUUCUUGUCUUCUUAUAAGACCAAGUGAGCUUCAUUCUUCCCCAAUUUUUCUGCUGCAUAGCCGAGCAAGGAGAGAGGAAAGGGAGAGCAAGAGAAAACCAAAAUUUUUUCUUGAUUUGCACCAUCCAAGUGCAAGAAACAAAUUCUAAACCGAUUAAAGUGUGAAUUGUGAUCUUGGGAAGCUAGGGAAGCUAAAAUUUUCAAGAGGAAGUGAAGUGGUACUCUUGCAAGCCUUGUUUCUUUUGAGGUAUGUGCUGCUUAUACUUGCUAUAUGGAUGAUCUAUGUUGUAUCUAAGCUUAGAUAAGUGGUUAUAGUGAUGAUGGGAGCAAGAAAUCAAGAAAGGUUCCAUUAGAAAUCAAAAUUUCCAGAUUUCUGGAAAAUUUUCCCCCUUUUCUGCCCGAUUUUAUUGCUCCAUGUUAGGGGCCGAAUUUGGCUUGGCACAAAACAUGAAAGUUGUAGAGAAUGGUAUUUUAUAUAUGCCUAUAAAAUUUCAGCUCAAUCGGAGCAACGUAGCUUGUGAAAAGACGAAAAUACCCUCGCUGAUCUAGGUUACUUUCCAGAAUCCCGCGUGGACAGUUUAGUCUCUUUGGUUGUGUUUGUUUACUAUAAUCCGUUCAGAUUUAGCCAAUUGUCAAAACAUGAAAGUUUUAGUACCCUGUAUUAGCUUUUCAACGCCGCCAAGAAUGUCUUAAACGGACCUCGGUAGACUGGGAUAUGGUCAUUUGAAUGCAGUGCGGUUAAUUGACCAACUAGUUGGAUUUUGGAUCUGUAAAGUGGGCAUUUGACUAGAUUGCACUGUAAAUCUGACUAAGUCAUCUUCAUGAGAAUUGUAUACAUUUGUCUUAGCUUUCAUAUGGAUUUGGAAUUAUUGGAUUUGGAGUUAUGUGUGCGGAGAUUAGAGUGGAUGAAUCAAGACUACCACAGUAAACCUCGAACUAGAAAAUCUGGGAUCAUUUUGAUAAAUUUGACCUAGAUACAGGGCAAACUGGACUGAGUGGCCUUCUUCAACAUUGUAGUCCUGUGUCUUAGCUUCGAAACGGCUUAAUUUUCAUCCCAAUCCGAUAAGUGUAACUCCGGUUGUGACCGUUAUGCAUGAACCCGUCAAAGCUGUCUUUUGUCAAAUUGCAUUUCCGCACUUGUUAUUCCUUUGAUUUUGUUCUUAUAUUGUCUUGAGCCUAUGAAAUGGCUAUUAUGAUGAGUUUGUGUUGUACAUGACUUUGGGAUUGGCUGAGAAAAAUCAUGAAGCCAUAAAUGGCUGGAAAUUAGGUAAACACAAAGGGCAUGCUGCCCAAAUUUUCGCCCGAAAGCUAAGUUCUAUUUGAACUUGUAUAAUACUAUGACCGUUUUUCCAUCUUAAAAACAUGAUCCUUCUUCAAUUGGAAACUCCAAAUGUUUACUUACUCUUACCAAAUAAAGAGGAGUGGUUUAGGAUUUUCUUGAGUAUUUUGUCCACGGGUCCAAAUGUCCUCGUUCCACUUUAAAGUCUCUUUUUAUACGUUCUACUCAUCAUUCGUCGAGUUUCUUCGAUUGCACCUAAUUGUUUGUGAUAAAUGAGUGGUAAUAUUCUUUUCAUUUAAUUUUAGGUUUUCUCAAUGACUAAAGAUAAUAUCCGGAAGGAUAUUUUGCACGUUGUUGUGCGUAAAUAGGUGAGUGUUCUAUAUACCCGUGUUUUCUGUGACUACCUGAUUACCUGACUAUCUGUUUACUCGAUUUCCAAUUUAUGUGAUUACGUGAUAUUCGUGAAUUACAUGCUCCCAUGAAAUCAAUUUGUAUUGUUUACGUGCUAAGUGUCCACUUGAUUACUUAAUUAUCAUGAAUCACAUGCUAUAUGAAGUUGUCCAUCAUUGUUAGGCGAGUGUGUACUUUACCUCAUUCGACCUAUUCAAUUGAUGAAUUUUACCAUUUACCGUUUACCGAUUUACUUGGUUACUUGUGCAUGUUGUAAGCUCUAAGCUGAACUUGGGCCCCGCCUCGGUUACCGACCUACUCGAGCCAGGAGUGGGCUCGGUCGGGUAGGUUGGAACCCUGGACAACCGUCGGUAUACUCGAGUAUUACCACUGGAGGGAUAAGGUGAUGGCCAGUCAACCGUGGGGAUCCGGAAGUUAUAAGGUGCAGAGGACCGACAAAGUUCCACCGGAACACCGUAUCCUUCAGUAUAUGGUUACCGUGUAUCAUGAUAAUUGUUCCAUGCUAAAAUGCCAACAUGAAAUCAUGUGUUAUACCUGUGAUAUGCUCCAUACCUGUAAUAAGUCCCAACCACUCAUGAACUAUACAUAAAGUUUUCUGGAUUAAUUGUUAUUACAUGACUAAUGUUCCUUGUUUAAUUACUUGUUUAUGUAUAUAGAAUCUCACUGGGCUUUUUAGCUCAUACCACGUCAAUUGUUUUCCUUAGCAGGGGAAGGCGAGCAAGGACGAGAGUUCUGUAUAGUCUAGUUGAUUUAGUUCUUUGGCCUUGUAAUGGUUCUCGCCCUAGUGCUUGGCACGGGCUGGUUGUAUGAGGAAUGAGAACCCUUGUAUAUUCGAUGGUUGUACUUGAAUGGUAAAAACUUUGAAGACUUCUGGUGUGUAGAAGUUUCUUAUCUUUUACUUGAGCAUCUAUUGUCUAUGGAUGUAUAUACAUGAUUCGAGUUCCAUAGUGAGUGAGUCCUGGCGAGAGGUGGGCAGGCGACCCGCUGAACCCUUUGGUACGCCCUAGGGGGAGGUGGGGCCGUGACAAGGUUCGUACAGGGACUUAAUGUGGAACUUCAGGAGGGCCUGGCUGCAGCCCAAAUCUCUACUUUUACUGAGGCUUUAGAGAAAGCGCAAAGGGUUGAGAGUGCAAGAUCUCAAGUGAGGGAUUUCCACAACAGAAAAAGGAAUUUUCCUAGUCGCACUACUGGACAGACUACUAAGUUUGUACACCCUUCUAAAAAGGGAAGAGGGGAAGGAGGAACGAGAACUACUGGAGCUUCUAGGGAAGCUCUAUCUAGGGGAGGUCGUAGCGGGACGACUCAAGUUAGGGGGGCACCAUCUGUUGGAUCGACUGUGACCCCUCAAGUUACAUGUGGGUGUUGUGGUAAAUCCAACCACUCUGAGAACGACUGCUGGAGAAAGUUGGGAAAAUGCUUACUGUGUGGGAGCACUGAGCAUCAAAUCGCAAAUUGUCCGAAAUCGUCGAAAACAGGGGGAAGCCUGCAGAGGCCUGAAAAAUCGACCUCUAAUCAGACCAGUGCCGGAGGGAGUCGACCGAAAGUACCAGCUAGGGUCUACGCAUUGGACUAUCCACAAGUUCUAGAGGCGACCGAGGUGGUUGAAGGUACAAUUCCAAUCUUUCACCGCCUAGCUAGGGUUUUAAUUGAUCCGGGUGCAACGCACUCUUUUGUAAACCCUGAUUUCAUGAGUGGAAUAGACUUGAAGCCAAUUAAGUUACCAUAUGAUUUGGAGGUUAAAACACCCACUGGGGGCAAAAGUCUAAUUGCUAAUCUGGUGUAUAAGAAUAGUGAAAUCUGCGUGAAGGAAAGAAAAUUGCUGGCCGAUUUGAUAGGCCUAGCGAUUAAAGGAUAUGAUGUGAUCCUAGGGAUGGAUUGGUUAGCCCGAUAUAAUGCUCAGUUAAAUUGUAGGACGAAAAUUGUAGAAUUGUGUAUUCCAGGGGAGGCAACCCUGAAACUGGAUGUAAGGGGUAAGUUAGCCUCGUCUGCACUUAUUUCGGGAAUUCAGGCUAGAAAAUUGUUAAAAAAGGGAGCUCAAGGAUAUUUGACUUUUCUUAUUAAUACCCCUAGUGAUAAGGUGAAUCUGGAGGACACACCGGUAGUGAAAGAAUUUUCCGAUGUUUUUCCUGAAGAAUUGGAGUCCCUACCCCCGGAACGGGAAAUAGCUUUUAAAAUUGAUGUGACUCCGGGAACAGCACCUAUCUCAAGGACACCAUAUAGGAUGGCUCCAACUGAGUUGAAGGAGUUGAAGUUACAAUUACAGGAUUUGUUGGAACGUGGUUUUAUACGAGAGAGUGAUUCCCCGUGGGGAGCCCCAGUUUUGUUUGUAAAGAAGAAAGAUGGGAGUUUGAGGUUAUGUAUAGAUUAUCGAGGCUUAAAUGAUGUUACGAUUAAGAAUAAAUACCCACUACCCCACAUUGAUGAACUGUUUGACCAAUUGCAAGGGCCGGUAGUGUUUUCAAAGUUAGAUCUAAGGCAAGGUUACUAUCAAUUGAGGAUUUUGGAGAAGGACAUACCUAAAACUGCUUUUAACUCGAGGUAUAGGCACUUCGAGUUUGCGGUGAUGCCUUUUGGGUUAACCAAUGCACCUGCCGCUUUCAUGGAUUUAAUGCAUAGGGUUUUUAAGCCUUACUUGGAUCAAUUUGUGGUGAUCUUCAUUGAUGAUAUUUUGGUGUAUUCUAAGAAUAUGAAGGAUCAUGAGAAACAUUUGAGAAUUGUUUUACAAAUCUUGAGGGAACAUCAGUUAUAUGCUAAGUUUAGCAAGUGUGAAUUCUGGCUAAAAGAAGUGAUUUUCCUAGGGCAUAUAGUUUCUCAGGAUGGAAUUAAAGUGGAUCCAGCUAAAGUUGAAACUGUUUCGAAAUGGAAACGACCAGAAAACCCAACGGAAGUUCGGAGUUUUAUAGGAUUGGCAGGGUAUUACCGGAGAUUCAUUCAGGAUUUUUCGAAAAUUGCUGGGCUUAUGACUGAGUUGACCAAGAAAAAUGGAAAAUUUAUUUGGAGUCCUAAGUGUGAAGGAAGUUUUCAGGAGUUGAAAAGACGGUUGACUAGAGCGCCUGUUCUAGCUCUACCUAAUGGACAGGAUAGUUUUGUGGUUUACACAGAUACUUCUAAGGAAGGUUUGGGAUGUGUUUUGAUGCAAAAUGAUAAAGUGAUAGCUUAUGCCUCUAGAAAAUUGAAACCGCAUGAAGGAAAUUAUCCGACCCAUGAUUUGGAAUUAGCGGCUGUGGUCUUUGCUUUGAAGAAAUGGAGACACUAUUUGUACGGAGUAACAUUUGAGGUUUUUACAGAUCACAAAAACCUUAAGUAUUUGUUUUCUCAGAAGGAGCUGAACUUGAGGCAACGUAGAUGGAUGGAAUUUCUGGAAAAUUAUGAUUGUACGAUUAAGUACCACCCUGAAAAGGCUAAUGUAGUGGCCGAUGCUUUGAGCCGUCAGGUACAAAUGGCUGGAUUGAUAGUUAAGGAAUUUCAGUUGUUGGAGGAAGUUAGCUAUUGGAAUCCUCGAUUAGAACCAAGGAAAGUAAUUUUGGGGAAUAUUGUGAUAACCUCCACUUUAUUGGAACGUAUUAAGGAAUCUCAGGAAAAGGAUCCUGAAGUGCAAAAGUUGGUGGAGAAAGUUAAGAUGAGAGACCAGACGGAUUUCAAUUUGGGAUCGGAUGAAAUAUUGAGAUUUCGAAAUCGGGUGGUUGUGCCAAAGGAUGAAGGGCUUAGAAAAAAAAUUUUAGAAGAGGCACACCGAUCAAAGUUUACAGUACAUCCAGGAGGGAAUAAAAUGUACCAAGACUUGAAAAGUCUAUAUUGGUGGAAAAAUAUGAAGAAGGAAAUUGCCCAAUUUGUUCAGACAUGCUUGGUUUGUCAACAGGUUAAAGCCGAACAUCAGAAACCAUCAGGGCUUUUGCAACCUCUAGAAAUACCUGAGUGGAAAUGGAAAAAUAUUACCAUGGAUUUUGUAUCAGGCUUACCAAGGACACAGAGAGGCCAUGAUGCCAUUUGGGUGAUAGUGGAUAGAUUGACUAAAUCGGCUCAUUUUCUACCGAUUAACAUGAAGUAUCCGUUGGAGAAGUUGGCCAGGUUGUACUUGGAUGAGAUCAUCAGACUACAUGGUAUACCUGUGAGUAUUGUGUCAGAUAGGGAUCCAAAAUUUGUUUCGAGGUUUUGGCAAAAGAUGCAAGAAGUGUUGGGGACUAAGUUAAACUUUAGUACCACCUAUCAUCCUCAGACCGAUGGACAAUCGGAAAGAACAAUUCAGACCCUUGAGGACAUGUUAAGGACUUGUGUACUGGAUUUUGGGGAGAGUUGGAGUAAGUUUUUGACUUUAGUGGAAUUUGCUUAUAACAAUAGUUUCCACUCUUCUAUUCAAAUGGCUCCAUACGAAGCACUUUAUGGUCGGAAGUGUAUAUCCCCAAUUUGUUGGGAUGAAAUAGGUGAACGGAAAAUUUUAGACCCGACUACUGUAUCUUGGAUUGAGGAGACUAAUGAAAAGGUAAAAUUGGUACGGCAAAGGAUUCAAACCGCUCAGAAUAGACAAAAAAAUUAUGCCGACAAUCAGAGAAAGGAUUUGGAGUUCACUGUUGGAGAUGUGGUAUUUCUCAAGAUUACGCCUUUAAAAGCAAGCUUGAUGUCCAGAAAAGGGAAGAAACUACAACCAAGGUUUGUAGGGCCAUAUAAGAUUAUUCAACGAGUUGGGAAUGUAGCCUAUAGGCUGGAAUUACCACCGAGCUUAUCUCGUAUUCAUAACGUGUUUCAUGUGUCCAUGCUUAAGAAGUAUCAUCCAGACCUUUCUCAUGUUUUACAACCAGAGAAUAUUGAGAUCGAUGAAACCCUGACCUAUGAGGAGAGACCGGUAAAACUUCUGGAUCGAAAGGUGAAGGAAUUGAGGAACAAGCAGAUACCACUAGUGAAAGUUCUAUGGAAGAACCAUAGAGUAGAGGAGGCAACAUGGGAAGUUGAAGAGACAAUCAGAGAGAAGUAUCCAAACUUGUUCAUCAACCAAGGUAAAUUUCGAGGACGAAAUUUUCUUAAGGGGGAGAGGAUGUGAGGACUCGCAAAAACUAUUAUUUUAUGCCUAAUUUAUGGCUUAAUAAAUUAUUUAAUUAGAUUUUAUUUCCAAGGAAUAUUUUCUAGUCUUAUUAGACCUAAAUACAUGGUAAUAUAACUUCGUUAUAUUUUUAAAAUGAUUCGUUUCGAAAAUUAAUUUCCUGGAGCGCGUUUAGUAAAAAUAGUGAAUAGUACUUGGAGAUUUUAUCCGCGUGGUAGCACAAUAAGCUUGGAAUAUUGGAAACUUGUACUAUGGUCCUAAAAUAGGUAAUCUUAUAAAUAAAUACUCAAGUGAUAGUUAAUAGUGCAAUCGUUAUAAGAAUUUCUCGGAAGUUUCGCGUUAUAGAGUUAAAAUUGACGGUACGCGUUUUCACACGUGCGACUUUAUUUGAGGGACUUUAGACCCUUAUUUCGGGACAAUUAAGAGUGAAGAAUAUUUACAUGAAUAUAUACGCAUUGAAGAUUUAGUGCACUAGUGAACCAAAUGCGCGAGAAAAUCGAGCCGUAAUCGCACCAAACGGCCCUUAAUGAGAGUUGACUUUUGGGUGAAUUUACACCACUCAUUUCACCUUCUCUUGGAAGCUAACUUGGAUCAAACCACACUCUCUCUUCUCUCUCCUCAUUGCCGACCAGCCCUCCCCUCUCUCUAACUCCAUUGCUUCAAAAUUUCACCUCACAAAUCUCACUCAAACCACCUCAAAUCAUCUCCAAAUUCAACCAAACUUGCACCAGACUUAGCUUAAUACUUGAGGAUCAUUUUGAGCUGCAAACAAGGGCUGAAAAUCACGGUUUUUCUGGGGUAAAAGAGGGCUGAAAAUUCUGCUUGAACAUCAAACCAAAGUAAGUGAUGAUCCACUCUUGGAAACUUGAAGUUUGGAAGCUAUCUUACCUUGUUAAGUUCAUGCAUGCAUUUGGUUAGCUUGAUAUGGUUGUAAAAUGUGAAAGUGGGCUCUUUGUAUUCCCACACUUGGGUUGUUGUUGCUAAUUAGAGGAUUAAUGUUGGAUUUAAUGGUAGUUUAAUGGUUAUAAUGAUGGAUUCAUGGAGUAUUAUUGUUGGAAACUCAAAGUAGAGGUCAUGACAAGAAAUUUCCGAAACUGCCCCUGUUUUGUUCGACCAUGAUAAGGCCCAUUUUUGGUGAUUUAUUAGCAUGAACCUGAUGUUUAUAUGUUAUAUUAUAUGUGUAAAAAUUUUCGUUGGAAAACAUUAACGUUUGGAUGGGCAAAAGAAUUUAUUCGUGAACUAGGUAAACUGGAAAAUUAUUUUCGGGUACCUCUGUCCAGCGGUAGCAUUUUGACCAUAACUCUGUCCUCGGGUGUCGAAAUCAAGUGCCGUCGGUGGCGUUUGAAAAUAGACAUUCCUGGAUUUAAUUUAAGGUAAAAUACACGUUCUGAUUCUUUGUGAGUGAUCUGAACCAAACGUUUUAAGUUAGCUGUCCUGUCUCUCGGAUUUGCUGGAAUGGCUUGUAGAGGCAGCAACUUGAGGCUCAAUUUUGAGCUGGUUGCUUGCCGAAUUUCAGAACAUUUCCUUCUGUGAACUUUUAGUCCUAUGAAUGUAUUUUCUAACGCCAUAAACCAUGCCUCAUUCCGAGUUAAAUUGAUUGAGUUGUGACUAAAACAAGAGAACUGCCCUGUUUUGGAAAACCGUAGUAUUUGGACUGAUUUGGGGCAAAACUUGGGAAUGAUUUUAUUAAUUGAAGUUCUUGAUGCUCAUCACUUACCAAAGGUAUCAUGGAUGUAUCUUAGACCUUUAUUUCACAAAUGAACCAUGGUUGGAUAGUUUUCUUGGCUAAACGAUUUGAAAUUGGGAAAUGAAAGUCAAAAGGCAGAUUGCCUUAGAAUUUUUCCUGAACUUUGGUUGACUAAUUAACUAUCUUUCCGAAGGUAUUUUUCCCUGAAAUUUGAUAGGGCAGUACCUUUCAUAUGGGAGUAAAAUACUGCCAAUUUUGGUACCAAUCCAAGUUCGUUUCGAUACCUAAUUAAAUUUCUAGUGUUGGAGGUUCAAAUCUGGAAAUUCUUCUCCAGUCUUGAAUUUCCCCAACUUUGAGCUACCGUAUCUCGGUACUCGAAACUCCGAUUCUUGAUCCUCUUAUUUUGUUAUACACCUCACUUGCAACACUACUUGAGUAACAAAUUUCAGAGGCUGGUUUGCAACGUGUGAAUCGUGCCGAAUUUUCAAAGUUGGCCGAAAUCCAACUUAAUUCUGCCUUGUAAACCAAUCAUGCAUCUUCAAACUCAUUUUUGAACACUUUCCACUGCGAUUCAUGAAAAAGUGUCUUCUAGGAACUUAUAGUACUUUCUAAGAGGUUUCCAACGGUAUAAAAUUUUCCAAUUCUCGACUUAUGCCGAGGGAGUUACGAUUUUUCAAAAAUUCAUAAUAAAACUGAAAAUUUUCCAAUUUCAAAGAAAUAAAGUUUUUCAAGAACUCUUUAUUCUUUUGAUAUUCUUAAACAUUUUGCUCACGAUUCUCAUGAUAAACCCUCGAUUUACGAGUAAUUGAGGUUCCUUUUGUGAAAUAAUCUUAAGAUUGUACACUAGUACAAUCUUCAUUGAUAAUUGGAUUAUUGAGUGAUUAUCCACUAUUAAUUGCCAGGCGCACAAGGAGACCUCCAAGAGGAUCUUACAGUGGAUACUUGAAUCUCCAAAGAAUAAUCCCUAUUGAAUUGCUCGGUGAGUGUCAAGUGUGUGAAUUCUUGAUACUUGCUUAAUUGUGGUAAUUGUUGGGAAUUUUAAAAAAAUAAGGGCGGGUGCGUACUUUAUCGUACUCGUUCUAAUUUCAAAUGAAUGAUUGAAGUGUAUUGAAUGAAUGAAAUGUAUUGAAUGAAUGAAUGAAAUGCAAUGUUAUGUUAUGAUUACAUAUGUCGUUGGAGUGAACCUCCUCGACUUUCAAAUGAAUGGGGGACGUCCAAACUCAUAGGCCAACCUUAGACUCGAGCCGGCAAUGGGCUUGGUCGGGGAUUUGGGCGAGCCAUGAGAUAUAUAUAAGCUCGACCUAAUGAGAGGUCUUGCUUGGCAUACUCGUGGAGUAUCGCCUUAUAAAUGACUUGUGGACCCUUGAGGUGUACGGUGGACGGAGGGAAGUAAGUGGUGAUCUACGGUAAUGGAAAUACUGACCCGGUUGACAGGAGGGUCAACGCGGGAAGGUAUACGAAUGACAUCGGCAGAUCGAGUGGAACUUAACUCCUGAGAGCUACUAUAUCCUUGAAUUGUUUCUGAUUACUUUUCCUGUUCGAAUGAUUGAUUAUUAAAGGGACAUGGUUUUAUUUAUUAAAUUUGGGAUUGGUAUUUGAACAAAGUGCUUGCAUGUGUGUUCUUGGCCUCACGAGCGUUUUGCUCACCCUAUAGUUUGUUUUCCUUAACAGGACCGAAUCUCGGAGAAGUUUGGGGAAAACCCUUCGCUGUACUUUUGUUUUGAGGUUUUCUAUUGUUAGUGGCUAUGUCCUUUGUGGGGAUUGUACUUGUGGAAUUGAAGUGUAACUUUUGGGCCUGACGUAUAUUUUGGAUUUAAGUUGUAUCUUGAACACCCUAUUCAUGGGUGGAGUAAUGGAUGAUUUUAUGCUUGAACGCUUCCGCAUUUUUUGUAUUCAUGUUGUUCUCUUCGAAUGUGUUUACUUAGGAUUUAAAUUGAAUGAAAUUGCUUGAGUCCUGGUGAGAGUUGGGCAGGCGUCCGCGGAUACCCUUUGGUCCGCCUUAGGGAGAUGUGGGGCGUCACAUUUACUAAAGGAAAUUUCGAAAAUGGAGCUGGUUAGAGGCUUGCCAAAAAUCAGUUUUGAAAAGGAUAAAAUUUGUGAUGCAUGUCAAUUUGGAAAGCAAACAAAAGUUUCUUUUAAACCAAAGAAGUGUGUAUCAACUUCUAAACCUUUAGAACUCUUGCAUCUUGACUUAUUUGGUCCUACUCAAAUCACUAGCUUGGGAGGUAAGAAAUACUGCUUUGUGAUUGUGGAUGAUUAUUCUAAAUAUACUUGGGUGAUAUUUCUUGCUCAUAAGGAUGAUGCCUUCAAGAAUUUCACUUCAUUGUUUGCUAAAGUGCAAAAUCUGCUUGGUUUAAAAAUUGUUAGGAUUAGAAGUGAUAAUGGAACGGAAUUCAAGUGUUGUGGUUUUCCAGAAUUUUGUGAUCAUAAUGGCAUAACACAUGAGUUUUCUAUUGCAAGAACUCCACAACAAACUGGUGUUGUAGAAAGGAAAAAUAGGACAUUACAAGAGGCUGCUAGAACUAUGUUAAGUGAAUGUAGUUUGCCAAAAUACCUUUGAGCUGAAGCGGUAAACACUGCAUGUUAUGUGAUGAAUAGAAUCCUUUUGAGACCCAUUUUGAAUAAAACAUCUUAUGAAUUGAUUUUUGAUAAGAAACCUACGGUUGGAUAUUUCAAAGUCUUUGGUUGUAAAUGUUAUAUUUUAAAUUUAAAGGAACAUCUUGGUAAGUUUGAGAAAAAAUCUGAUGAAGGAAUAUUUUUGAAAUAUUGUGAGAACAAAAGAGGAUAUAGAGUCUUUAAUAGAAGGACUCUUGUGGUAGAAGAAGCCAUACACAUAACAUUUGAUGAAACUAAUGAUUAUAAUUCCAAAAGUUCGUGUGAGGAUGAUGAUGUAGGUGUUCGUGAAGGAAUGGAAAAGCUAAAAAUUGGAGAUGGAGAAAACUCUAAACCGGAAGCAAAGGAAAUGGAGAAUGAAGCUCAUGAAGAUCAAGAAAGGGUAGAUGAGGACAAAAAUGAUGAUUCAUUCAAAGAUCUUCCCAAGACUUGGAAAUUUAGCCAAAAUCAUCCAAAAGAACUUAUAAUUGGUGAUCCAUCCGAGAAGGUAAACACUCGUUUCUCAUCUAAGAAAUUGAUAGACAAUUUUGCUUUAGUUUCUCUUUUUGAACCUAAAAAUAUCAAUGAUGCCUUAAAGGAUGAAAACUGGAUUUUGGCAAUGCAAGAGGAACUCAAUCAAUUUGAAAGAAAUGAGGUUUGGACACUAGUUGAUAGACCUCAAAAUCACCCUAUCAUUGGCACUAAGUGGGCAUUUAGAAAUAAACUUGAUAAUAAAGGUGUAGUUGUAAGAAAUAAAGCUAGAUUAGUUGCAAAAGGGUAUGCUCAAGAAGAAGGAAUUGAUUUUGAUGAAACAUUUGCUCCCGUAGCUAGAUUAGAAUCAAUUAGAAUGUUUCUUGCUUUUGCUUGCUUCAAAUGUUUUAAACUGUUUCAAAUGGAUGUUAAAAGUGCCUUCUUAAACGGUUUUAUUGAUCAAGAAGUAUAUGUCGAUCAACCCCCCGGUUUUGAAAAUUCAAAAUUUCCAAAUCAUGUGUUUAAACUCUCAAAAGCAUUGUAUGGGCUAAAACAAGCUCCAAGAGGUUGGUAUGAAAGAUUGAGUGGUUUCUUGAUUGAAAAUAAUUUCAAAAGAGGAGUUGUGGACACCACACUGUUUACUAAGAAAGUGCUAAAUGAACUCCUUAUUGUGCAAAUAUAUGUAGAUGAUAUUAUUUUUGGUGCUACUAAUGAGUAUCUAUGCAAGGAUUUUUCCACCAUUAUGCAAAGUGAAUUUGAAAUGAGUAUGAUGGGAGAAUUAAAUUUCUUCCUUGGACUUCAAAUACAUCAAGCCAUAGAGGGCAUUUUCAUAAAUCAAGCAAAAUACACUAAGAAAUUGUUGAAAAGAUUUGGCAUGAAGGACUCAAAGCAAGUUGGAACUCCAAUGUGCAGUUCAACAAAACUUGACAAAGAUGAAGAAGGUAAACAUGUGGAUGAAAAGCACUAUAGAGGUAUGAUUGGAAGCUUAUUUUAUUUAACCGCAAGUAGACCCGAUAUUAUGUUUGCUGUUUGCUUGUGUGCUAGAUUUCAAUCUUGUUCAAAAGAAUUACAUUUGAAUGCUGUUAAAAGAAUUUUUAGGUAUUUGAAAGGUACGUUAGACUAUGGUCUUUUGUAUGUUAGAUCUAGUGAGUUUGCACUAUAUGGAUAUUCGGAUGCUGAUUUUGGAGGUUGUCGUGUGGAUAGAAAGAGUACUAGUGGAACUUGUCACUUUCUUGAUAAUUGCUUAGUCUCUUGGUUUAGCAAGAAACAAAAUGCAAUCUCUUUGUCUACAACCGAAGUGGAAUAUAUUGCCGCUAGUGCAUGUUGUGCUCAACUUUUAUGGAUGAAGCAUACCUUGAAUGAUUUUGGAUUGUCAUAUGACUGCAUGCCUAUAUUCUGUGAUAAUACUAGUGCUAUCAAUUUGACCAAAAAUCCAAUUCAACAUUCUAGGACAAAGCAUAUAGAUAUAAAGCACCACUUUAUUCGCGAUCUUGUUUAAAAAGGUGAAGUAUGUGUAAAUUACGUUUGUUCUAAAGAUCAAUUUACUGAUAUUUUUACAAAAGCUUUGCCAUUAGAUCAGUUCAUUCAUCUAAGAUCAAAAUUAGGGAUAAUCGAAAAAUCAUCUUAAAAUUUUUCAAAGCCUUCGGACGUCCGAAAGAAGAUGAACGGACGUCUGAUAAUGUUCUUCAGCUAUUUUUUCCAGAAUGCACCUGUUCGGACGAAACUGUCGGACGCACCACUUCGUUCGGCCGUCCGACAGUGCAACGGUUCACUUUUUAAAGUAACUUUCUUCCUCAUUUGUUUCAAACUCUUCUUCUUCUAUUUCCUCUCGAACGAAAACUCUCUCGUUUCUCAAUCUCAAAUUCGUACCAUUCUGAAGCUCUCAUUCCCAAAUUGACUCAACCAAAACUUUUCCUGAUCGAUUGCGAUUCGUUCUUCCUGAUCAUUUCACCGAAUCGCAUAACAUUUCGCAAAUUCCCAAAUUUCCCUCAAAACCCUAUUUUCUCAUAACCACUCUGUCCAAUCUUCUUCAAGGCCUUUUUGUCCCAAAAUUUCUGUGUGAUUCACUUCCAUACUACUGUGUGCAUCAUUUUCAUCCUUCAUUCCACACAUUUCGUACAAUGGUGAAUCUAAGAGGAGGGAAGGUCACUGCCGGACGCAAGCAUCCACUCAGGGAUGAGGAUGAUGAUGUUCCUACGGUCAAACGAUCAUCCAAACGCGUCAAGAGGAGAGCUGUAAAGGGUCAAAUGUCACAGCCUACACCACAACCCACCCCUCAGCCUGAAUCUGGACAGGGAACCUCAUCUCAACCGCCUCCAAAAUCAACCACAGUCCCUACAUUCUUUGAUGAUGCUGCAAAAGACAAACACUCCUGGAUAUCCCAGAAAGGUGUCAUCCCUCAACGCACCGUAAAUUCUUCUGAAUUUCGCCAAAUAGGUUUAAAAUCCAUUCUGAGUCUGUUUGCUUUCCAGAAAUGGUCACAUCUCAUUUCUAUGCCUAAUGUCUAUUAUCCUGAAAUGCUGUUUCAAUUCUUUGCCAAUCUUAGGAAAGGCACUGACCAAACUGAGAUUAUGUCCAGGGUUAAUGGGGUAGACUUAGUCUUUGAUUCUGAAAUUGUGAAUGAUAUUUUAAAAACUACUAUUGAACCUGGAUGCAAGAGUAAAAUUACAAAUUUCUUUUCCUAUGAAGAGUAUCCUACUGCUGAUAAUCAUUUUGAUGGGGCUAAGAUGUUGACUUAUUUUAAAAGAAGUUUUUCUGCCCCUGCUGAUGCUAAACUGAAUGAUCUUGCCCCUGUGAAUAUAAUUGCCUUUUCAAUCAUUUCAAACCUACUUGUGCCUACUGAUGGCCAUAGAACAGAUGCAAACAAAAUGGAGUUGUAUCUCUUUUACUAUUUUCGAGAAGAGAUUCGUAUUGAUUUUGGUUUUGUCAUGUGCAAGUUUUUAUUUCGCUAUGCCACUGAUUCUCGCAGAAAAUUAUCUUAUGGAAAAUUUCUUCAAAAGAUUUUUGAGUUUUACAAAGUACCAAUUCUAGGUGUUUGUCCCAAAGAAGCAUCUUCUUAUGCCUUUACCAAAGGAUAUUUUGAAAGGAAAAAUCUUGUCUUUAAGGAUAAUCUAUGGGCUUAUAAGGGGGCAUCAUCUAGUGAACCUAGGUCUAAGGCUGCACAUGAUCCACUACACACUCCUUCAUCUGUUGCACUCACUCUCAUUCAUCCCAAGAAGUCUGCCACUAAGGCAUCUUCCUCCUCUAAUGAUGAAGUGAUUGAGCUCUUUCGUGAACUCAAACAGCAUGUUCUUCUUCUGGAACAUGGUCUAAUGCUCACCAUGUCCUCUGAGCAACAAACAGCCUACCUAGAGAAAAAGAACCUUCUUUUUCCCCCACCUGUGGUUGAGGAAGUUUUCCAUGGCAAAGAGCCACGCCCCACUGAUCCAAGUUCAUCAAUUCCAGACCCGAGCUCAUCAACUCUCGUGACUUCUCAUGGCCCUUCCACAUCAGAUAAAGGCAAGGCACCAAUUGAAGAAGCUGCUGAAGAUGAUGAAGAAACUGAAGAGGAGGACCUCUCCCAAUAUCAGCUUUCUCGAAGGACACCUGGAUCCACCUAGUUCACCAUUUAGGAUCACAUAGGGUCAUUUGCAUUUUGUUUGACUAUUUCAUGUGUUUCUAGUGUUUGUGGUGUUCAACAAUGGAUAUGUAGAUGUAAUGCUUAUGUUUAUGUUGUGUCCGUUUAGUACUUUUUGAUGGAUGAUUAUGGUUGUAAUGGUUAUGGAUAUGUGGAUGGAUGUUUACAUAUUUUGAAUGAUGAAUGUGUGGAUGUGAUAAAUGUUUUUGUUAUUAGUUCUCCGUGAUAUAUGUGAUUGAUUGGCCUUUUGUGAUGACAAAAAGGGGGAGAGGAUUGGAUUGGAUUGAUUGAUGAUUUAAUUGAAAUUGAAUUGGCUUGAUGGAUUGAAUUGGUAAAAUGUUGGAUGUUGACUUUUUAAUUGUUAUGUUUUUGGAUAAUUGAUUAAUUCGGUAGGGUAGCCAAGUGAGGGGGAGUUUUUCAAAUUUUUGCUCUAUGAUCCAUUAAGUAAGGGGGAGUUUUUGUCAAUUGAGAAAGGGGGAGCUUAUAUUGCAAUCAUCAAAUCUCAUUUCAAACCAUUGUUUUGUCAUCAUCAAAAAUGGGGAGAAUGUUAUUUUUGGUUUUGAUGAUCACAAAGUACUUUGAAAUGUUUAUCUAACUCUCUUCAAAUAUAAGUAUUUUUUGCCUAUCAAAGAAUCAGGUACGAAUAUGUCAAGAAAUGAAAAUCAACCAAAGGAAGAAGCAAAAACAGGACACUCAUGUCGGACGUCCGAAGGAAUCUGUCGGACGUCUGAAAGGAUAAAGAACAUCAAGAAGGAAGCUCCGUCGGACGCUCAUAAGGAAGCGUCGGACGUCCGGAAGGAUCGGACGCACGCCUCGGACGCACAUCAACCGCGUCGGACGUCCGAAAAAUUCCAAGAAGACUUGCCAACUCUCUAACGACGAUCGGACGCUGAUGCUGUCGGACGAUAAAAACGCAUCGGACGUCCGAACUACAACUUGGCUGUUUUCGGACGAUAGGUUCGGACGAUGAUUUGGUCGUCGGACGUCCGACAGCCCUAACGGCUAGCUGACUCUUCAUCUGCCUUCUAUCCGUUGGAAGCAUUGAUGAAACCCAUUUUCGGUCCCCUUUAAAAACAAACUGUUCUGAACCAAGAAGGGACUUUUGCACACUUUGUUUACAAGAUCUCAAGAGAUAUUUUAGCUAGAAAAUAGUCUCCAAAGCUAGAUUUGUUCUCCAAGUGUGAAUUUCUUGUGAGCAUUUCUCUUGUGGUUGAAAGUUUCAUUAGUGUAGCUUUGUUGAGGGUUAUCUGAGUGAUUGUAAGACUUCUUAACUUGACUAAGUGAGGCUUAGGGCAAGGAGGAAGUGCUCCCUCCAUUGUACAUCUAGUUGAUCAUCUUUCAUCAAAGAGAAGUUGCUCAACCUAGUGAUUGGUCUUCAAAUUUGAGAAAAGCUUGGUAGACAAUCGGUUUGAUAUUCUAUCUUAUUCUUUUUGUUUAAUAAAAUUCUCAUUGCUUAUCUAUACUUGUUUUUCUAAUCAACAUUGCUCUCUUCUUCUAAUUUACUUGAUUGAUCAUUACUAGAAAAGAAGGUAAAUUUUUAUUAAAGAAAAAGUGCAUAAAUUUGAUUAAGAUUUUAAUCAACCUAAUUCACCCCCCCUCUUAGGUUGUCUUUGGGCCUUACACUUUGUGUAAAGGAGCCGGACAUGGCAAAUACUACGUGUUGGAUGGUUACUUGUUCUACAUCGAUAAGCUUUGUGUCCCUAAUGGUUCUAUUCGAGAUUUGCUAGUGAAGGAAUCUCAUAGUGGGGGGUUAAUGGGUCAUUUUGGAGUGACUAAGACACUUAAUAUUUUGCAGGAACACUUUUUUUGGCCUCACAUGAAGAAGGAUGUUGAAAAGGAGGUAUCACGAUGCAUACAAUGCCGGAAAGCUAAGUUUAAGGUUAAUCCGUAUGGUCUCUACAGACAUUUACCUAUUCCUAGUGAACCUUGGGUAGAUUUGUCUAUGGAUUUUAUACUUAGUUUGUCUAGGACAUGAUUCUGUAUUUGUGGUAGUUGAUAGAUUUUCUAAGAUGUCUCAUUUUGUUGCAUGCCACAAAAUUGAUGACGCUUCACAUAUUGCGGACCUAUUCUUUAAAGAGGUAGUUAGGUUGCAUGGAAUACCUCGUAUUAUUGUGUCUAAUAGGGAUGUUAAAUUUCUUAACUAUUUUUGGAAGACACUUUUGGUCUAAGUUAGGGACUAAAUUGUUGUUUUUAACUACUAAUCAUCCUCAAACUGACGCCAAACUAAAGUUGUUAAUUGAACUGCGUCUACCAUGUUGUGUGCUUUAAUUAAGAAGAAUUUAAAAACAUGGGAAGAUUGUUUACCUCAUAUUAAGUUUGCUUAUAAUUGUUCUAUACAUUCUAUACUCAGUUUUCACCCUUUGAGGUUAUUUAUGGUUUUAAUCCGCUAAAACCUAUGGAUCUAAUACCUUUACCUUUGAGUGAGCAUGUUAGUCUAGAUGGUAAAAAGAAAGCUGAGAUGGUGUACAAUCUACAUGACAAAGUGCGCUUAAACUUCCUACACUUUACGUAAGUCACUAAGUUGGGGCAUCGAACAUAACAACUUAACAGAAUUCCACUUAUCUUCCCACAUUUAAUGAAAAAGUGAUAUUUUACACUCUUUCUCUAUGGAACGUUCCAAUUACAUGCCAAAAUCUCGUUUCCUAACUAAGAUAAAAUAUCAAUUAAAAUAUUAAUCUCCAAUCUCUUAACUAAGACAUAAGUAUAAUACAAAGGAAAAUACAAUUAACAUAAAAUGUCAAAAUGUUAAUCCGGCGAACACCAUUAGGUAUGCCAUUGUAGCCAACAAAAGUCAGAAUUUCUUGUUUUCAGCUAUCGAUCUCCACACUCCAACUAGGCAUGGCCACGGUUCCAGAACUGCCGGUUCUGGUUCUUCAAAGAGGUAGAACCAGAAUCGUACCAUCUAAGAUGGUUCUGGUUCUGGUUCUAGUUCUGGUUCUGGUUCCUUAUAGUUCUGAUUUCGGUUCCUUCUGGUUUCGUAUGAUUGUAUACAAUUUUAUUUAAUUCAUUAUCCUUACCAAUUUUAAUACAAAUAUAACAAUAUAUUUAAAAUUUCAAAUAGAAUGUAAAAGAUUAAAUACAAAAUAAAGAUCAUAUUUUAAUUUUAUUAUUAUUCUACAAAGUACGAAGUAAUAAAUAGAUAGUACAAAUUUUAUGAAAAGUACGUUACAUUGUCAAAUUAAAAAAUACAUUAUACUAUCAAAUGGUAAUCAUUUUAAAUGGAAAAGAAAAUACAUGAUUUUUUCAUUGAAAUUGAGAUGAAAUAUCAAAAUAAACAUUAAUUAUUUAAUCUUCUUCAUUGCUUGCGACGGCACUAGAAUUAGUUGUAUAAUUGAAUUCUUCUUCUUCAUUUUUUUCCAUUUCUUACUGUCUAUAUUCUGCUCUAGUCCAAUCAUCCAUGCAUGCUUGAAUUUCUAGUGAUUCUGGGCUUAAUCUCGACUGUGUCUCACUACUUUCUUAAACUUUCUUAAUUCUGGGCUUAAAAUUUAAACUUUCUUAAAACCUAUUAAGCACAACUAAUUUUUUUCGAAUUAUCUCACUACUUAUAUUAAUUAUUUUUUAACGGUUCUGGAACCGGUGGUUCUGAUUCUGGUUCUAUUGUUUAGAGAACCAGAACCGAAACCUUUAUCCAAGGUUCUACCACGGUUCUGGAUCCACAGUUUUGGUUCCGGUUCUGGUCCGGUUCCAAACAGUCCGAUUCCUGGUUCCAAAUUGAACCAUGGUCAUGCCUAACUCGAACUCCAAUACUCCUGGGCAAGCUCUGUUAUUUUUUUUAAUGCAAAAUAGGCAAGUUCUAUUAUUGUUUUUCUUUAGAAGAUUAUUAUUAUGUUGUCAAUAUUUAAUUAUUCAUUAUUUAGAAGAUAAUUUUUUUAAAAAAAAAAAAGUAAAAUCACUUAUACUUUUCUAAAUAGCAACAAAUAAUGAUGUUUGUAAUGUUUCGAAUUUUGAAUUUAAAUUCAUUAUUUUUUUCUUCAUUUUUCAUUGUUUGUAUUCCUAUGAUUGUUAACCCCAAGCAAAAAUCCUGACUCCGUUUAUGGCGACAAUGGACUUUGGUGAGAAUAGUUUGAUAAUGCACGCAAGUGACAGUGGGUUGAUGUUUUAAUAGCAAUAGUCUCUCUUUCAAUAAUUUAUUAACGCGACCCAUCAAAAUGGUACAUAGGUUCAAUUGCCCAGGCUACCUGUGGACCAAAAUUAUCCAUAAUCUUAUUCCCAGUUACAGCAUGUAAUCUUCAGAUUUUCCAUUUUAGUUUUCAAAAGUUGAGUUUAAUACAGCUGCACCAUUUCAGAAUUGCAUAAUAAAAAAGCACAAUUGUAACUAGUGCAAUCAAAACUCAGAACAUUUCAGAGAAAUGAAGGUAAAUUGAUCUCUUAAUAUUUUUGUUCAGUUGAUCCAAUGUACAAUUUCCAAACAAUUCGGCUGUACACUAUACAUGAUGAUCUUUUUACAAAAAGCAUACUCAGUAUACAAACUACAUGGUCUAUUACAAGUCUCUAGAACUAUAUACACUGUCCAUCCAACUAAGAAGCGAGAAUCGCAAACCUAAAUAUUCUUUUUUUCCUCAAGCACAACCAAAAAAAAAGUUAGCCUUGCAGUCUUUACCAGUUGUAUCACCAUAAACAUGACAUUCCUUGUACAGCAUAUGCUCAAGGAAAUGAUUUCAGCAAAAAAUUACCAAGGUUCAGAGUUGUUGGAGAGGAAACUUGUGCGUUCUGAGGGUCUUGACCAAUCCUCCUCCAUCUUAAUGAGCUUAAGGC